This 95634-nucleotide long non-coding RNA is filed under the name Triticum aestivum (bread wheat). RNAcentral's name for it is "long non-coding RNA (TAES_LNC012596)". Lineage: Eukaryota; Viridiplantae; Streptophyta; Magnoliopsida; Poales; Poaceae. The record is from RNAcentral.
AAAGUUUUAGAUAGCGCGCUAAGCCUCUUAGCGUCGGCCUGACCAAGAGCUAUGAAACGCUAUAGCGCAGCUAUAGCGUGCUAAGCCCCAUUUAGCGUUUCAGUAUAAAUCAAUAAAAAAAUGAAAAAAUAAACAUAGAAUCAGUCAUCAACUUGACAUAUAUAUACUUGAAAAUGGACAUAUAUCAACUACCAUACAGCCAAGUUAAUAGAAAAAUGAUACUGUAUUAUGUAGUUCCUACCAUACUCAUGCAAACAGCCACAUAACAUAGUAUUAUGUAGUUCCUACCAUACAUAAUAAGGACAUAUAUCAGGAGAUGGUUCAAUUCAUUACAUAACAGAGCAAAGUUUGGCAUAGCAACUAGCAACAUACCACCAGCACACUUUGAAUAACAAAAGUGGUACAUAAACAACAUGAGAUGGUCCGGUUUAUAAGUUCAGCCAACUAACUUGACAUAGCAACAUAACAACAUACCACCAGCACACUUUGAAACAACAAAAGUGGUACACCCAACCAUGCAAUUAAUCCGAGUCAGCAAAGGCCGAGGGAGACUCAUCUUCUGAUUCCGACGAAGAAGAAUUGGAAGAGGCAGAAAGUAUAGCUUCCUCAUCGACACUAUUAAGGAGAGAUUGCAAGCUCUUCUUCCUCUUCUUUCUAGGAGGCGCAGUAGGCCUCUUCUUCUUUUUCCCUUGUUCUUGUGAUGUUGAAGCUCUCUCUUGUUGAGUUUGAUCUUCAUCACCAACAUGUUCAACAACAUUAUCAUUUCCAACAAUGCCAGUGAUGAACUCGUUAUCCUCGUCCUCAAGAACAUCAACGAUUGUCUUCUCUAUUGGGUCUCUACUCUUGUUAUCUCUCUUAUGCUUCAUCCUAGAGUUGAACUUGAUAAAUACAAGAUCACUCAUCCUAUCAUGGAGUAGCCUGCUGCAUUUCUUUGUAUGAACCUGUGUAAGUGAACAAAAUCAAGUAUGGAACACAUGGCCUCAAUGUGAGAAGUGCAAGGAACUAUAUUUUGUACUUGUGAACCUUGUAAUUGUCUUUCUUACUUGUUCAAAUGCUGACCAAUUUCUCUCACAAGCUGAGGAGCUACAUGUCAAACUCAAAAUCUUCAUUGCCAAGUCCUUCAACAGGGGUGCACAUGUGCCAUAAUUCAGCCACCAUUUUGCUGCAUUAAGACAUUGAAACAUUAUAUUAGUUAGGCAAGUACAAAGAGGGGAGACAGAGGAAGUGUUAUGAAAUAACAUCACAAGAUUUCAGCAAACACUCACCUGGAGAAAAGUUUUUCCUUUUUCUCUGUCAUACAGCAAUGUCCAUUCCAAAGGAAUCUUCCUCCGUCUCGUAUUUGUCAAGUUCAUCAAUAAGCUCAUCUUGAGUUUUUUGAGCUUCAAUCAUCCUUGUGAGGCAAUGGACCACGGCUGCUCUAAAUGAUCCAUCCCUCUCUAUCACAACCUUGUUUGGAUAAUAAUAGUAGGGGUUCAGAAAGUACCCAGCCAAAUGUAAUGGCGACUUGAGUUUGCUGUCCCAUCUCUUGUCAAUGAUAUCAAUAACACAUUUGAAGCGACUCUCGUCAUUAUCAAAACUUGCAGCAAUUUCCUUUUUUGCAUCCAACAUACAACCAUAUAAGAAUCCCAUUGCGGGCACAUCACUAUCCAUUCUUCUUAGCACAUUAGCCAUUGGCUCAAAGUAGUUGACAGCAACGCCAACACCUUUCCAGAAGGCUUCUGGUUGCACCGUUUUGUGAGCCAUCUUCCCCUUGUCCUUCUCUAAGUAACCCAUUUCAUGUAGCUCAUCCAAUCUGAAUAGUUUAAGCAUUUCCUUCUUGUUGUCUUGCAAGCUUUUAAGAUUGAGAUAAGCCGUGGCAAACCUAGUAAUACCUGACCGUACCAAGUCUUUCCCAAGUGUUUUCCUCAUCAGAGAUAACACCCUUGUGUGAGCAUACAAGAACACCGUUACUUGUCUUGCUUGGGUAAUUAUUUUGUCAACCGAUCCAAGCUUCCCUAUGUCCUCCAACAUGAGAUCAAUACAAUGGGCUGCACAUCCAUUCCAAAAAAUGGAAGGUCGCUUUGCUUUCAUUAGACUUGCUGCUGCUACAUUGACACUAGCAUUGUCGGUCACCACUUGAACGACUUUGUCUGCCCCUAUAUAUUCAAUGCAAUUAUCAACGAGGUCAAAGAUGUAUUUGCCAUUUUUUUGGACAGAUGAACAAUCAACUGAAUUCAAGAAUAUGACUCCUUGAGAACUAUGCACAACUAGGUUCAUUACCCCCCUGCCCUUUUUAUCUGUCCAUGCAUCUGUCAUUACGGUACAACCUGUGUGCUCCCAUGCUUGCUUAUGUGGUUUGAAUGAAUCUAACACUUUCUUCUUCCUUUUCUGCAAGAAUGGUCCACUCAUCUCAUAUGCAGUAGGCCCAUCGAAGUUUGUGCCAACAUCUCCAAUGGCCUGAAGCAUACAUGCAAAGCUAGGAAGUGUGACAGUGUUAUGUGGGAUGCUAGCUUCAUAGAAAAAUUGACAUAUAUAUCCACAAGCUCUAUCCCUCCUCUGUUGUCUUUCCCGAGUUGACAACUUCGACUGAACCUUUUCGGAUUCACAAUUUCUUUUUUGCUUCCUCUUGACAGUUUCUUCUAUACUAGGCUUGCAGAAUUUGUCCAUAGGGCCACCCAUUGAGCUGCUUGUGCCUGGUUUUGACCUCAAAAUCACAACCUGAUUGCCAUCUUCUUCAUCAGUUCCUUGUUCUCCAUCGGAGUGAUCUAAGUCAACACUAGAUCUGAGCGCCUCCAAUCCCUCGAUCUUUUUUUCCUUCAGCUCAGCACUCUUUAGGAGCAAAGCUAUCAUCUCCAGCCUGACAUCACUAGGAACCUUCUUGCAUGGUAAGACACCACAAUUUGUUAUUUGUGAAAGGUGAAACUUUAUCCUUGUAAUGCCAGCUGUGCAUAUCUUGCCACAAAAGUUGCAUCGCUGCCAAUGCUUCUUGUUCACAUCUGGAAGAGUGCAAUACUUCCACGCAGGGUCAUCCGAAUCAACUUGAGGGAGUGCAGGUGCUGCUACUGAGGCAGUGCUUGAGCCACCAGCACCUAUGCAGAUUAAGGCAAUCCAAAGUACGUGAUAGAAAAUGGUACAUCAGUAGCAAAUAAACUUUCAAUGUAUCUGUAUUCUGUAUAUAACUGAAAACUUCAGCAGAUUCCUAUAGUAGUACAAGCAUCCACAAGAAGAGAUAACAAAGGAUAGAUGAGCUUACCUGCUGACGGGAUUUGCUGGCUCAUGGUCGCCUGGUGGACACCGUCGCCGCGGGGUGCUCCGUCGCCUUGUGGAUGCGGUCGUCGCCGUCAGCAGAGGAAGUGGCCAGGAGGGAGCAGCCGAGAGGAAAUGUCCGGGAGCUGCGCCGCCUGGUGGAAGGAAUACCCCGUCGCUGGAGGGAGUGGCGAGGAAGGUCAGUCGCCGGAGUGGCAGCUCGAGGCCGUCGCCAUGGUUGGUCGUUGGUCGGCCGCCGCCAUGAUCCUGUUUGAGAUGAGGACGGGAGUGGGGAUAGGGUUUCGCUCGAGAGGAGGGUUGGGGGCAUAGUAUUCGACUAUUGGUAGGCUUGGGCUUUGGCCCGCGUAGCGAUUUCAUUUUGGGCCGAAAAUUUUAGGUCAAAGACGCGGGACGCUAACGCUAGAGGCCCAAUUUUCAGCGCUAAAUGACAUCUAGCGUGCUAUUAGCAUGCUAACUCUUCGUACGUGAAAUCGAGCUUCGCGUAGCGCACCACAGUCAGGAUGCGUGUAGCGCCGCUAUAGCGCCGCUAUAGUGCGCUAUCUAAAACUUUGAUCAAUACCAAUUGAUUCAUUAUUGAAUGUACUUUCACAUGAUAUAUAUUUGUUAUAGUAAAUGUUUAUAUUCUUUUCUAUAAACUUGGUUAAACUUAACAAAAGUUUGACUUUAGUCAAAUCUAAUAUGCAUAGUAAAUAAAAAUGGAAGGAAUACAUUAGUAAAAUUGAUGACCCAGAGACAUGCGCAGGACCUAUAAACCGAAAAAGAGUAAUUAUAGUGAUCCGGGGACAUUUAGAAGUAGAAUCAGUUUUUUUUAGAAUCUCACAAAGCUUUAUUACUGAAUCAGAAUGUUCAUAGGUACAAAAAGAAGAUCGCCGGGUUGUCCUAGCCAGGUGUGUCGGCCAAACCCUAAAGAUAAAGCAUGCUUUGUGAGAUUAUGGGCCUCCGUGUUGGAGGUCCUAUACUCAUGAUUAGACGAACAUGAAAUAAAGGUAGUUGCUCUAGCCUUGAUCUCUUGGACAAUUGCUCCAAAGUAUGCUGAGCUUCCUUGCAUGAUUGCAUCUACCACCACCUUACAAUCCGGGGCCACCAGUAUUUGGUUGAUGUAGAGAUCUUAUGAAAGUGCUAGUGCCUCCCGAACAGCUAGUGCUUCUAGCACCUGGGGGCUGCGGAGUCCCCUAAAAACGAGGGCUGAAGCUCCCAUGAACAAACCCCUCUCAUCCCUGCAAAUCACACCAACUGCGCCAAACAUGCCCGAGCGUGACACAACAGCGUCCACAUUGAGCUUGUACUGAUCUGUGGGUGGCGGAAUCCACCUACGUGGUCGUGGUACUUCCAUCCCCUAUGCGUUCUCCUUCUUCUUCAAGAACUCUAUGUCUGACAAGUAAGCUUUGAUGAAGUUGUCAGUGGCAAAUGGAGUCUGGUAGAUCUCUUCAUGUAUAGCUUUCCGCCUUGCACUCCAAUUCGCCCACAAAGUAACGAUCAUCAACUUAAAUUGCUCCGGUGGAAGAGACUCAUUCAUAGCAAAGCCAUAACAUUGCGUCAGGUUCCGAUGUUGCCAACAUGUGCUCGACUAGCUCGGCUUCUGAAAGUUCCCACACACACCUAGACACAUUACAAUCCAGCAAGGAAUGUCGCCAGCUAUCCUUCCCACCAAAAAGUGAGCAAGCACUCGUAGUGGCCAUGUGACGAUGGCUUAGGACAUCUCCCGUGGGGAGCGAGUGUUGCGCCAAUCGCCAAGUGAAAAAGCGCAGCUUCGUUGGCACUAACAUCUUCCAUAGCGAGUUCCAUCCCCUCAUCUCAUGCUCAGAGUUGGAAGGAUCCUCCCUUUCCUCCAGCCAUGCCUCGCGCCCAAUCUUGAUUUUGACAAUCAUCUUAUAAGCUGACCGUACAAGAAGCGUCCCCUUGGAUCAUCAUUCCAUGCCCAGAAAUCUUCCACAUGCCGCGUACAUAGCGGGAUUUGCAAGAUAGCCUCCGCGUCAAUAGGUAUGAAAACCUGUCUGAGCAGGUCCUCUCGUCACUCAGCUCUAGUAUGGUCGAUCAUCUUUAAAACCAGUUGCAGUGGAUCAGCAACUAAAGAGGCAACCGUCUUCAUCAUUCCGUUCUGUGGGAUCCAAUUGAGUUGCCAUAUGUUCAUGGUCGCUCCAUCCCCAAUUCACCGGAUCGCUCCUUGGUGAUAAUAUUGUUGGGGAAUGUUGCAGAAAAUUAAAAAUUUUCCUAUGGUUUCACCAAGAUCCAUCUAUGAGUUCAUCUAAGCAACGAGUCAAGGGAGUGAGUUUGCAUCUACAUACCACUUGUAGAUCGCAUGCGGAAGCGUUCGAGGGAACGGUGAUGAUGGAGUCGUACUCGACGUGAUUCAGAUCACCGAUGACCAAGUGCCGAACGGACAGCACCUCCGCGUUCAACACACGUACGGAACGGACGACGUCUCCUCCGUCUUGAUCCAGCAAGGAGGAAGGAGAGGUUGAGGAAGACAACUCCAACGGCAGCACGACGGCGUGGUGUUGUUGGUGCAGCAGUACUCCGACAGGGCUUCGCCAAGCACGUACGGAGGAGGAGAGGUGUUGGGGAGGGGAGGGGCUGCGCCUUGGUUGUGUGUUGCAGCCCUCCCUCAUCCCUCUAUUUAUAGGGGAAGGGGCAAGGGGGGCCGGCCCCUCUAGAUGGGAUCUAGAGGGGGGGCGGCGGCCAGGGAGGGGGGACUUGCCCCCCAAGCAAGGGGGGCGCCCCCUCUAGGGUUCCCCCCCAACCCUAGGCGCAUGGGCCCAAGGGGGGGAGGCGUGCCCAGCCCUCCAGGGGCUGGCUCCUGCCCCACGCAGCCCAUGUGCCCCCCCGGGAGGGGUGGCCCCUCCCGGUGGACCCCCGGAGCCCUUCCGGUGGCCCCGGUACAAUACCGAUAUGCCCCCGAAACCUUCCGGUGUCCGUAUGACAACUUCCCAUAUAUAAAUCUUUACCUCCGGACCAUUCCAGAACUCCUCGUGACGUCUGGGAUCUCAUUUGGGACUCCGAACAACUUUCGGUAAUCACAUACAAGUCUUCCUAAUAACCCUAGCGUCGCCGAACCUUAAGUGUGUAGACCCUACGGGUUCGGGAGACACGCAGACAUGACCGAGAUGGUUCUCCGGUCAAUAACCAACAGCGGGAUCUGGAUACCCAUGUUGGCUCCCACAUGCUCCUCGAUGAUGUCAUCGGAUGAACCAUGAUGUCGAGGAUUCACUCAACCCCGUAUGCAAUUCCCUUUGUCAAUCGGUAUGUUACUUGCCCGAGACUCGAUCGUCAGUAUCCCAAUACCUCGUUCAGUCUCGUUACCGGCAAGUCACUUUACUCGUACCGUAAUGCAUGAUCCCGUGAUCAAACACUUGGUCACUUUGAGCUCAUUAUGAUGAUGCACUACCGAGUGGGCCCAGUGAUACCUCUCCGUCAUACAGAGUGACAAAUCCCAGUCUCGAUCUGUGUCAACCCAACAGACACUUUCGGAGAUACCUGUAGUGCACCUUUAUAGUCACCUAGUUACAUUGUGACGUUUGGUACACCCAAAGCACUCCUACGGUAUCCUGGAGUUACACGAUCUCAUGGUCUAAGGAAGAGAUACUUGACAUUGGAAAAGCUCUAGCAAAAAGAACUACACGAUCUUGUGCUAUGCUUAGGAUUGGGUCUUGUCCAUCACGUCAUUCUCCUAAUGACAUGAUCCCGUAGUCAAUGACAUCUAAUGUCCAUAGUCAGGAAACCAUGACUAUCUGUUGACCAACGAGCUAGUCAACUAGAGGCUUACUAGGGACAUAUUUUGGUCUAUGUAUUCACACGUGUAUUACGAUUUCCAGAUAAUACAAUUAUAGCAUGAAUAAAAGACAAUUAUCAUGAAUAAGGAAAUAUAAUAAUAAUGCUUUUAUUAUUGCCUCUAGGGCAUAUUUCCAACAGUCUCCCACUUGCACUAGAGUCAAUAAUCUAGUUACAUUGUGAUGAAUCGAACACCCAUAGAGUUCUGGUGUUGAUCAUGUUUUACUCGCGAGAGAGGUUUAGUCAACGGAUCUGCGACAUUCAGAUCCGUAUGUACUUUGCAAAUAUCUAUGUAUCCAUCUUGAACAUUUUCACGGAUGGAGUUGAAACGACGCUUGAUGUGCCUGGUCUUCUUGUGAAACCUGGGCUCCUUGGCAAGGGCAAUAGCUCCAGUGUUGUCACAGAAGAGUUUGAUCGGCCCCGACGCAUUGGGUAUGACUCCUAGGUCGGUGAUGAACUCCUUCACCCAAAUAGCUUCAUGCGCUGCCUCCGAGGCUGCCAUGUACUCCGCUUCACAUGUAGAUCCCGCCACGACGCUCUGCUUGCAGCUGCACCAGCUUACUGCUCCACCAUUCAACAUAUACACGUAUCCGGUUUGUGACUUAGAGUCAUCCAGAUCUGUGUCGAAGCUAGCGUCGACGUAACCCUUUACGACGAGCUCUUCGUCACCUCCAUAAACGAGAAACAUGUCCUUCGUCCUUGUACUUUAGGAUAUUCUUGACCGCUGUCCAGUGUUCCUUGCCGGGAUUACUUUGGUACCUUCCUACCAAACUUACGGCAAGGUUUACAUCAGGUCUGGUACACAGCAUGACAUACAUAAUAGAUCCUAUGGCUGAGGCAUAGGGGAUGACGCUCAUCUCUUCUUUAUCUUUUGCCGUGGUCGGGCAUUGAGCCGAGCUCAAUCUCACACCUUGCAGUACAGGCAAGAACCCUUUCUUGGACUGAUCCAUUUUGAACUUCUUCAAAAUCUUAUCAAGGUAUGUGCUUUGUGAAAGACCUAUGAGGCGUCUCGAUCUAUCCCUAUAGAUCUUGAUGCCUAACAUAUAUGCAGCUUCUCCAAGGUCCUUCAUUGAAAAACACUUAUUCAAGUAGGCCUUAAUGCUGUCCAAGAAUUCUAUAUCAUUUCCCAUCAAAAGUAUGUCAUCUACAUAUAAUAUGAGAAAUGCUACAGAGCUCCCACUCACUUUCUUGUAAACGCAGGCUUCUCCAUAAGUCUGCAUAAACCCAAACGCUUUGAUCAUCUCAUCAAAGCGAAUGUUCCAACUCUGAGAUGCUUGACCAGCCCAUAAAUGGAUCGCUGGAGCUUGCAUACUUUGUUAGCGUUCUCAGGAUCGACAAAACCUUCCGGCUGCAUCAUAUACAGCUCUUCCUUAAGAUAACCGUUAAGGAAUGCCGUUUUGACAUCCAUCUGCCAUAUCUCAUAAUCAUAGUAUGCGGCAAUUGCUAACAUGAUUCGGACGGACUUAAGCUUCGCUACGGGAGAGAAAGUCUCAUCGUAGUCAAUCCCUUGAACUUGCCGAUAACCCUUAGCGACAAGUCGAGCUUUAUAGAUGGUGACAUUACCAUCCGCGUCCGUCUUCUUCUUAAAGAUCCAUUUGUUUUCUAUCGCUCGCCGAUCAUCGGGCAAGUCAGUCAAAGUCCAUACUUUGUUUUCAUACAUGGAUUCUAUCUCGGAUUUCAUGGCUUCUAGCCAUUUGUUGGAAUCUGGGCCCGCCAUUGCUUCUUCAUAGUUCGAAGGUUCACCAUUGUCCAACAACAUGAUUUCCAGGACAGGGUUGCCGUACCACUCUGGUGCGGAACGUGUCCUUGUGGACCUAUGAAGUUCAGUAGCAACUUGAUCCGAAGUACCUUGAUCAUCAUCAUUGUUUUCCUCUUCAGUUGGUGUAGGCAUCACAGGAACAUUUUCCUGAGCUGCACUACUAUCCUGUUCAAGAGGUAGUACUUCAUCGAGUUCUACUUUCCUCCCACUUAGUUCUUUCGAGAGAAACUCUUUUUCCAGAAAGGAUCCGUUCUUGGCAACAAAGAUCUUGCCCUCGGAUCUUAAGUAGAAGGUAUACCCAAUGGUUUCUUUAGGGUAUCCUAUGAAGACGCAUUUUUCCGACUUGGGUUCGAGCUUUUCAGGUUGAAGUUUCUUGACAUAAGCAUCGCAUCCCCAACUUUUAGAAACGACAGCUUAGGUUUCUUCCCAAACCAUAAUUCAUAUGGUGUCGUCUCAACGGAUUUAGACGGCGCCCUAUUUAAAGUGAAUGUAGCUGUCUCUAGAGCGUAUCCCCAAAAUGAUAGCGGUAAAUCGGUAAGAGACAUCAUAGACCGCACCAUAUCCAAUAGAGUGCGAUUACGACGUUCGGACACACCGUUUCGCUGAGGUGUUCCAGGCGGCGUGAGUUGUGAAACGAUUCCACAUUUUCUUAAGUGUGUACCAAAUUCGUGACUUAAAUAUUCUCCUCCACGAUCCGAUCGUAAGAAUUUUAUCUUUCAGUCACGUUGAUUCUCUACUUCAUUCUGAAAUUCCUUGAACUUUUCAAAGGUCUCAGACUUGUGUUUUAUCAAGUAGACAUACCCAUAUCUACUCAAGUCAUCAGUGAGAGUGAGAACAUAACGAUAUCCUCCGCGAGCCUCAACACUCAUUGGACCGCACACAUCGGUAUGUAUGAUUUCCAACAAGUUGGUUGCUCGCUCCAUUGUUCCGGAGAACGGAGUCUUGGUCAUUUUGCCCAUGAGGCAUGGUUCGCAUGUGUCAAAUGAUUCAUAAUCGAGAGACUCUAAAAGUCCAUCAGCAUGGAGCUUCUUCAUGCGCUUGACACCAAUGUGACCAAGGCGGCAGUGCCACAAGUAUGUGGGACUAUCAUUAUCAACUUUACAUCUUUUGGUAUUCACGCUAUGAAUAUGUGUAACAUUACGUUCGAGAUUCAUCAAGAAUAAACCAUUGACCAUCGGGGCAUGACCAUAAAACACAUCUCUCAUAUAAAUAGAACAACCAUUAUUCUCGGAUUUAAAUGAGUAGCCAUCUCGUAUUAAACGAGAUCCAGAUACAAUGUCCAUGCUCAAACUUGGCACUAAAUAACAAUUAUUGAGGUUUAAAACUAAUCCCGUAGGUAAAUGUAGAGGUAGCGUGCCGGCGGCGAUCACAUCGACCUUGGAACCAUUCCCGACGCGCAUCGUCACCUCGUCCUUCGCCAGUCUCCGCUUAUUCCGCAGCUCCUGCUGCGAGUUACAAAUGUGAGCAACGACACCGGUAUCAAAUACCCAGGAGUUACUACGAGUACUGGUAAGGUACACAUCAAUUACAUGUAUAUCAAAUAUACCUUUAGUGUUGCCGGCCUUCUUGUCCGCUAAGUAUUUGGGGCAGUUCCGCUUCCAGUGACCCUUCCCCUUGCAAUAAAAGCACUCAGUUUCAGGCUUGGGUCCAUUCUUUGACUUCUUCCCGGCAACUGGCUUACCGGGCGCGGCAACAUCUUUGCCGUCCUUCUUGAAGUUCUUCUUACCCUUGCCCUUCUUGAACUUAGUGGUCUUAUUGACCAUCAACACUUGAUGUUCUUUCUUGAUUUCAACCUCUGCUGACUUCAACAUUGAAAAUACUUCAGGAAUGGUCUUCACCAUCCCCUGCAUAUUGUAGUUCAUCACAAAGCUCUUGUAGCUUGGUGGGAGCGACUGAAGGAUUCUGUCAAUGACCGCCUCGUCCGGGAGGUUAAUGUCCAGCUGGGACAGGCGGUUGUGCAACCCAGACAUUUUGAGUAUAUGCUCACUGACAGAACUAUUUUCCUCCAUCUUACAACCAUAGAACUUGUCGGAGACUUCAUAUCUCUUGACCCGGGCAUGAGCUUGGAAAACUAGUUUCAGCUCCUCGAACAUCUCAUAUGCUCCGUGUUGCUCAAAAUGCUUUUGGAGCCCCGGUUCUAAGCUGUAAAGCAUGCCACACUGAACGAGGGAGUAAUCAUCAGCACGUGUCUGCCAAACGUUCAAAUCGUCUUGCAGUGCUGGGAGAGCGGGUGGGUCAGCUAACGGUGCUUCAAGGACAUACGCUUUCUUGGCAGCUAUGAGGAUGAUCCUCAGGUUCCGGACCCAGUCCGUAUAGUUGCUGCCAUCAUCUUUCAGCUUGGUUUUCUCUAGGAACGCAUUGAAGUUCAUGUUGACAUGAGCAUUGGCCAUUUGAUCUACAAGACAUAUUUUGCAAAAAGUUUUAGACUAAGUUCAUGAUAAUUAAGUUCAUCUAAUCAAAUUAUUUUAAUGAACUCCCACUCAGAUUAGACAUCCCUCUAGUCAUCUAAGUGUUACACGAUCCGAGUCGACUAGGCCGUGUCCGAUCAUCACGUGAGACGGACUAGCCACCAUCGGUGAACAUCUCUAUGUUGAUCGUAUCUCCCAUAUGACUCAUGUUCGACCUUUCGGUCUCUUGUGUUCCGAGGCCAUGUCUGUAUAUGCUAGGCUCGUCAAGUUAACCCUAAGUGUUUCGCAUGUGUAAAUCUGGCUUACACCCGUUGUAUGUGAACGUAAGAAUCUAUCACACCCGAUCAUCACGUGGUGCUUCGAAACGACGAACUUUCGCAACGGUGCAUAGUUAGGGGGAACACUUUCUUGAAAUUUUAAUGAGGGAUAAUCUUAUUUACUACCGUCGUUCUAAGUAAACAAGAUGCAUAAACAUAAUAAACAUCACAUGCAAUUAUAUAGUAGUGACAUGAUAUGGCCAAUAUCAUAUAGCUCCUUCGAUCUUCAUCUUCGGGGAUCCAUGAUCAUCUUGUAACCGGCAUGACACCAUGAUCUCCAUCAUCAUGAUCUCCAUCAUUGUGUCUUCAUGAAGUUGUCACGCCAACGACUACUUCUACUUCUAUGGCUAACACGUUUAGCAACAAAGUAAAGUAAUUUACAUGGCGUUCUUCAAUGACACGCAGGUCAUACAAAAUAAAGACAACUCCUAUGGCUCCUGCCGGUUGUCAUACUCAUCGACAUGCAAGUCGUGAUUCCUAUUACAAGAACAUGAUCUCAUACAUCACAAUAUAUCAUUCAUCAUUCAUCACAACUUCUGGCCAUAUCACAUCACAUGACAAUUGCUGCAAAAACAAGUUAGACGUCCUCUAAUUGUUGUUGCAUCUUUUACGUGGCUGCAAUUGGGUUCUAGCAAGAACGUUUUCUUACCUACGAAUAACCACAACGUGAUUUUGUCAACUUCUAUUUACCCUUCAUAAGGACCCUUUUCAUUGAAUCUGCUUCAACUAAAGUGGAAGAGACAGACACCCGCCAGCCACCUUAUGCAACUAGUGCAUGUCAGUCGGUGGAACCGGUCUCACGUAAGCGUACGUGUAAGGUUGGUCCGGGCCGCUUCAUCCCAUAAUACCGCUGAAGCAAGAUAAGACUAGUAGCGGCAAGCAAGUUGACAAGAUCUACGCCCACAACAAAAUUAUGUUUUACUCGUGCAAUAGAGAACUACGCAUAGACCUAGCUCAUGAUGCCACUGUUGGGGAACGUUGCAGAAAAUUAAAAUUUUUCCUACGGUUUCACCAAGAUCCAUCUAUGAGUUCAUCUAAGCAACGAGUCAAGGGAGUGAGUUUGCAUCUACAUACCACUUGUAGAUCGCGUGCGGAAGCGUUCGAGGGAACGGUGAUGAUGGAGUCGUACUCGACGUGAUUCAGAUCACCGAUGACCAAGUGCCGAACGGACAGCACCUCCGCGUUCAACACACGUACGGAACGGACGACAUCUCCUCCGUCUUGAUCCAGCAAGGAGGAAGGAGAGGUUGAGGAAGAUAGCUCCAACGGCAGCACGACGGCGUGGUGUUGUUGGUGCAGCAGUACUCCGACAGGGCUUCACCAAGCACGUACGGAGGAGGAGAGGUGUUGGGAAGGGGAGGGGCUGCGCCUUGGUUGUGUGUUGCAACCCUCCCCUCAUCCCUCUAUUUAUAGGGGAAGGGGCAAGGGGGGCCGGCCCCUCUAGAUGGGAUCUAGAGGGGGGCGGCGGCCAGGGAGGGGGGACUUGCCCCCCAAGCAAGGGGGGCGCCCCCUCUAGGGUUCCCCCCCCCAACCCUAGGCGCAUGGGCCCAAGGGGGGGAGGCGCGCCCAGCCCUCCAGGGGCUGGCUCCUGCCCCACACAGCCCAUGUUCCCCCCGGGAGGGGUGGCCCCUCCCGGUGGACCCCCGGAACCCUUCCGGUGGCCCCGGUACAAUACCGAUAUGCCCCCGAAACCUUCCGGUAUCCGUAUGACAACUUCCCAUAUAUAAAUCUUUACCUCCGAACCAUUUCGGAACUCCUCGUGACGUCAGGGAUCUCAUCCGGGACUCCGAACAACUUUCGUUAAUCACAUACAAGUCUUCCUAAUAACCCUAGCGUCGCCGAACCUUAAGUGUGUAGACCCUACGGGUUCGGGAGACACGCAGACAUGACCGAGACGGUUCUCCGGUCAAUAACCAACAGCGGGAUCUGGAUACCCAUGUUGGCUCCCACAUGGUCCUCGAUGAUGUCAUCGGAUGAACCACGAUGUCGAGGAUUCAAUCAACCCCGUAUGCAAUUCCCUUUGUCAAUCGGUAUGUUACUUGCCCGAGACUCGAUCGUCAGUAUCCCAAUACCUCGUUCAGUCUCGUUACCGGCAAGUCACUUUACUCGUACCGUAAUGCAUGAUCCCGUGAUCAAACACUUGGUCACUUUGAGCUCAUUAUGAUGAUGCACUACCGAGUGGGCCCAAUGAUACCUCUUCGUCAUACGGAGUGACAAAUCCCAGUCUCGAUCUGUGUCAACCCAACAGACACUUUCGGAGAUACCUGUAGUGCACCUUUAUAGUCACCCAGUUACGUUGUGACGUUUGGUACACCCAAAGCACUCCUACGGUAUCCGGGAGUUACACGAUCUCAUGUUCUAAGGAAGAGAUACUUGACAUUGGAAAAGCUCUAGCAAAACGAACUACACAAUCUUGUGCUAUGCUUAGGAUUGGGUCUUGUCCAUCACGUCAUUCUCCUAAUGACGUGAUCCCGUUGUCAAUGACAUCUAAUGUCCAUAAUCAGGAAACCAUGACUAUCUGUUGACCAACGAGCUAGUCAACUAGAGGCUUACUAGGGACGUAUUUUGGUCUAUGUAUUCACACGUGUAUUACGAUUUCCGGAUAAUACAAUUAUAGCAUGAAUAAAAGACAAUUAUCAUGAACAAGGAAAUAUAAUAAUAAUGCUUUUAUUAUUGCCUCUAGGGCAUAUUUCCAACAAAUAUCUCUCCCAUCAAGGAUAGAUUGCCACACCUGAGAAGGAUGUGGGCCUAGUUGAGCUUCUAGAACUGAACAUUGUGGGAAAUAUGACGCUUUAAGGAUUUGUGCACUAAGAGAGGAGGGAUCAUUCAUUAAUCUCCAAACUUGCUGAGACAAAAGUGCCAAGUUGAAGAUCUCUAUAUCCCGAAAACCAAGUCCUUCCAAACUUUUUGGUCGGGUCAUCAAAUCCCAAGCUACCCAACAUGGUUUUCUCUUGCCUCUCUUGCUCCCCCACCAAAACUGACGAAUGAGUGACGUAAUACUUUCACAAAGGCCUCGAGGUAAUCUGAAACAUGACAUCGAAAAAACUGGUAAAGCUUGAGCCACAGAUUUUAUUAGAAUCUCCUUUCCUGCCACUGAUAAAAGUUUCUCCGUCCAUCCCUUUGUCCUUUCCCAAACUUUGUCUUGUAAAUAUUUGAAGGUGCCAUUUUUGGACUGUCCUACAUCGGUCGGCAGACCCAAGUACUUUUCACUCAGAGAUUCAUUCUUCACAUUGAGUAUAUUCUUUAUCUCCACUCUAAGGGUCUCCGGACAUCCCUUAGUGAAGAAGAUGGACGAUUUAUCAUAGUUUACCCUUUGGCCUGAAGCCAAGCAAUAUGAAUCAAGUAGGUUUGAAACCUCAUUUGCCCCCUGGACACUAGACCUGAAAAGCAGCAGUCUGUCAUAUGCAAACAAAAGGUGGUUCACUGCCGGAGCCGUGGGCGCCACCUUUAUGCCACCGAGCACUAAUGACUAAGAACUGUGUUUUAAAAGGCACGAAAGGCCCUCUGCUGCAAUCAAGAAUAAGUAAGGGGAAAUAUGAUCUCCCUACCUGAUACCUCUGGAAGGUGAGAAGCUCUCCAAUCUUUCUCCAUUAAACAAGACCGAGAACGAAAUAGAAGUGAUCAUGCUCAUAAAUGUAUGGAUCCAAUCUGGUGCAAAGCCAAGCUUAAGUCUGUCAUAUGCCUUCAUCAUAUCAAGCUUGAGUGCACAAAGGCUGUUUGUCUUGGAUCUGUUUCUCUUCAUGAAGUGCAAACAUUCAUACGCACAUAUGAUAUUAUCCGUGAUUAACCUCCCGAGGACAAAGGCUGAUUGCUCCUUCGAGAUAAUAUCUGGCAAUAUUAGCUUUAAUCUAUUCGCUACCACUUUAGAAGAAAUUUUAUAAAUCACAUUGCAAAGGCUGAUAGGCUAAACUGGGUAAGAAGAGUGGGGUUUUGUACCUUAGGUAUCAACACGAGUACCGUAUCAUUAAUACUUGCAGCAGUCUCCUCUCCACGGACAAUCUGAAGCACCACAUUAGUUAUUUCAUCCCCACAAAUGUCCCAGUGGCGCUGAUAGAAGUGUGCAGGGAAACCAUAUGGGCCUGGUGCCUUCGUGGGAAACAUCUGAAACAGGGCCUGCUUCACCUUCUCAUUUGUGUAAGGGGCGCAAAGAGAAGCAUUCAUCUUUGGUGUUACUUUCCAAGGCACAUGCUGUAACACGUCAUCUACCUCCUGCACACCUUCCGUCGUGUACAAAGUUUUAUAGAAUUCUGUCACGAGUUGUUUCAUCUCAGCCUUGUCGUCUACACGUAUACCCAGCGCAUUGUAUAGAGCUCGGAUCAUGUUCUUCCUUCUCCGCAUGUUUGCUCUCAUGUGAAUUUUUUUUGUGUUGCGAUCACCCGCAGACAACCACUGUAUUCGAGAUCUUUGUCUCCACAUAAUCUCCUCCCUAUGAUAAAGCUCUACCAGUCGUUCAUUCAGCUUUUGCUCAAGGUGAUUUGGAGAAGUCCUGGAUGGAAUACUCCAGAGCCUUUCUAGCUCCUCUUUUGCCUUCUUGAUCUCCUUUCUAACACUCCCAAAGGUUUCAUCAUUCCAUGCCGAGAGGUUCUUUGACAAAAGCUCUAGUUUUCUGCGAAUUCCCUCAACUCCUUGACCACCUUGAUGUUUGCUCCAUCCUGAGCUAAUGGUGUCACGCCAGGAUUCGUGUGACUCCCACAUCACUUCGUAACGGAAGCUCGGUUUAGGACGUGGUAAAGUCUCUUCAAACUGCACGAAUAUGGGUCCAUGAUCUGAGGAGGUCGAUGUUAAGUUUGUAACAUUGGCCAUAGGGUAUAGCACCGCCCAAUCUGCUGUGGCCAUCGCUCUGUCUAGCCUCACGCUGGUGUAAGAUCCCCCGGCCACCUUCUUCUCAAAAGUCCAAAAUCUGCCCUGAUAGCCCAAGUCCAUCAACAUGCAAACAUCAACCGCAUCCCGAAAACCUUGUAUUUGUGCAUUACUCCGAUUAGCAACUCCCUCAUGUUCAUCUGGACGUAACACUUCGUUAAAAUCACCCAUACACAGCCAAGGGAGGUUGCUGAAAGUCGCCAACCCCUUUAGAAGAUCCCAUGUUUGGUGUCUCAGUUGUGUCUGGGCCUCGCCAUACACGCAUGUCAACCUCCAUGGGUCUUUCCCAUCCUCUACAACCUUCACAUCAAUAUGAUAAACAAAAUCACCCAAGAUCUCAAUAUUUAUUGUAUUAUUCCAAAAAAUUCCUAUUCCUCCACUUCUUCCUUGACUAUCUAUCGCAUAGGCAUUAUCAUAGCCCAAAGUAUUAGCUAAAGCUUCUACACGUGCACCUUUUAAUUGUGUUUCAACAAUACACAACACGGUAGGGGUAAAUUUCUUCGCAAAAUCGUGAAGCUCAUGAACUGUCGCGGCUUUACCCGCACCGCGACAGUUCCAACAGAAUGAACUCAUUAUGCCCGGCGGCACUCCUCGAAGGAGCCCGCCGAUCCUGCAUCUUGGUCCUUGCCUUCUUCCACUCCAUCUGUCACCAUACUCGGUGUCCCUGCAUCAGACAGCUCCUUAAACAGGGCUCCUUUAUUUCCAACAUCUUUCUUCGGUCGUUUCACCUCUUUCCUUGGAGAAACAUAUACAUGCGGCAUCGGGGGAACCUCGACAGGCUUUCCAGAAAUUACAAGAGUUGUAGUGCUCAUUGGAGCCACAGCCCCAUCUCUCCCAUCGCUCGGCUGAGCUGUCCCUGGGUGUUUGUUGUCAGAGGAUUGUCUCUUGUUACUUCCCACCACUACCCCCAGCGCUGCAGCUCGGUGCCUCGAUCAUCACAUGGGGCUCGCUUGCCCUGAUGCAUCUGUGGUCAUUGCAAUAUCUGCCCUUCCAUCCUGCCGCCCAGCCUCACUGCGGGGUUCAUUCUGAUAUGCAUUGAAGCGCUAGCUUUGAUUGGGUUUAUAUUGAUCUCGCCCCCUACCUCUUCCUCCUCAUUCCUUGGGCCGCCUCGACCCCUCUGAUUACCAAAACCACCUCUACCCAGUUGCCUGAAGCGAAUAUUGUCAGCCAGAACAAAGUCACCCCACUCAAACUUAGUCUCAUCAUGAACACCAUCGCCACACUCCUCAUGCCAAUGCCCGCAUUCACCACAGUUAAAGCAAAACACUGGUAAUUUCUCAUACUUUACUUGGUAUCUAACUCGUUCAUGCCCCUUCUUUCUAGUGACAAACCUCUUAAUUUUUGCAUUGAUAUCGAUCUUCACCCUCACCCGGACAAAUUCACCAAAAAAACCUGCCGGUAGCUUGAGCUGAACUUCCUCCACCUUCGUGAUGCCAUCCCCCUGACUGCGGGCUCAAUUAAAAAGUUGUCAGGUAACCGAUGGAUUUGUGCCCAAACCGCCAGCUUAUCCAACUUGAUGCUAUCAGGGUUUUUGAACCCAUCAUACUCCACCAUGAUCACUGCCUGUUCUCUGAAAAGCCACGCCCCCUUUAGCAUGGCCUUAUACCAAUCCCCUAGACAACCAAACUGAGCUGUGAACAAGUUGUCCUUAAUCUUCCUCCAAACCACCAUCUUCGCCGGGUUCCAUGCUGCACGCAUAUCCCCAUACAGAGCAUUAGGGCUGAAAGUCCUUGUAGUGUGCACCCUGGCUAUGGCUAGCCACUUCGCCAGCGCCCCCAGAUCCGGCAGUUCCUCUUCCCACACAAACUCAUCAUCUUCCUCCUCUUGCAGAUUCAUCCUGGCAAGCAGUUCCUCCGUCGUCUCCUUGCCCUGCCGCCCCUGCGAGCUUGAUCCCGCUGCCAUGAAUAGACCAAUCUAGUCGUCACCAACGAAAACCCUAGGCCGAUCUGCCGGAGAAAACCACAAGAACCAAGGCCAGGUAAGGUCACGAGGGACUUCCCUUGAUCAGUCCGAGUCCAGGGGAUCACCAGCAAAAGAUCUACAAGGGAAAAGUAGGUAAAAACCGGCCGCGGCGCCGGAGUACGUCGAAACCCUAGGUUGUCGCCGUCGGGGAAAAAAGCUCUAAAAGUAGAAUCAGCUACCUAGACAUCAACACAGCAAACACAGGGGCGUGUUUCAAAGCACGGUCUGAACACUGUUUGAAAAAAAAAUCAUCGACCCAAUGGGUCUCUCCAGACCGCCGCCAUAUGUCCAGAUCGUUAGAGCAACCGAAAGGGCGCAGGAACAGGCAGCGGAUUUGUAGCGCGAAAAGCGUCCAAAUUUUUUGUUCCGCUGAGGAUUCGAGCUCGCACCAACUAGUUACAAUGCACAAAACCUUACCACUCGAGCUACAAGGAGCUAGUGAAAGAAUACAGCGUGAAAUAUUUAAAAUGUAGCCGUGCUAUUUCUUGCACAUAUAUUUCAGAAAAAAAUUGUUAUAUUCCAGGAAAAAAUCGAACAAAAUUUAAAAAAAUCACGAAUUAGGAAAAAGUUCAUCGAAUUAUUAAAAAGUUCAUAAAAUUUGAAAUAAAACUCAUCCAAUUUGAAAAAAGUUCGUUGAACUUGAAGAAAAGUUCAACAAAUUAUAAAAAAAGUUCAUCAAAUUUGAAAAAAGUUCAACGAAUAUGAGAAAAGUUCAUCGAAGUUCGAAAAAAGUUCAUCGAAUUUCCAAAAAAGUUCAUUGAACUUGAAGAAAAGUUCAUCAAAUUUUUAAAAAGUUCAUCAAAUUUGAAAAAAGUUCAACAAAUUUGAAAAAAGAUCAUCGAAGUUUGAAAAAAGUUCAUCGAAUUCAAAACAAAUCAUCAAAUUCGGAAAAGGUUCAUCGAUAUUGAAACAAGUUCAUCGAUUUUGUUAGAAGUUCAUCCAUUUUGAAAAAGUUCAUUCAAUUGUGCAAAAGAGAAGAAGAAAAAGAAAAAGUUCAUCUAUUUGAAAAAAAGGUCAUAGAAAUUGAAAAAAAGUUCAAUUUAAAAAUAAUUGAUAUAAUUUGAAAAAUAGUUCAUAAAAUUUUAAAAAGUUCAUGCAAUUCGAAAAAUAAUUCACUGGUUGAAGAAAUAGUUCAUUGAAUUUAAAAAGUUUGUGCAUUUUUGAAAAAUAUAAAAGAAAAAUAAAAUAAAUAGAAAAAGAGCAACAAAAUUGAAAAUAGAAACAAGAAAAAGGAAAAAAAAGAAACAACAAAAAGGGGGAACGAUAGCAAGUGAACACACGACGUAUUCUGUCCCAGCUGGCUUGUGGAGCUCGUUGCUACCGAAGGGAUAUGGGUUCGAAUCUAUAUCAACCAAAAUCUAGUCUAAAUAUGGGGAGGCUGUCCAAACAUGUCCCCGGGGGAUAAUCGCACGCCGCCCGCCUCCCUCUCACCCGCUCUAUCCCUGGCCACCACAGACGGGUGCUACAGCGGCAACAAUGGCUAUCGUGAGUCCGCGGCAUGGAUUGGAUCCACCGACGACUCAUCUGGGUCUUCUCCCGUGCAGGUUGUCGGACUCCGACGAGGACCUGGUGGUCUGCGGGAUCAAGUUCUGAUCUUUUGGUCACUAACGAGUCGAAUGCUCGUCGUUGUCACCGCAAGAAUGCCAAGUUGCUGCGAGAGGGCAUCGAGGCUUCAUGGAUUGAAGCUGAGCCCUCGCUGAGGAGCAAACAUGUGCCACACGCACCCUCACCAACAUGCAGGAGGACUCCAACGUCCCCGAUGGCCCCGUCAACGACCCUUACACCAUAUUCGACCUCUACUACCGAGGAUGGAAGGGGAAGAGGAACCUCGCCGGGAUUUCUUCUUUAUUUGAUGUAUGUUAGUAUUGUCCUAGAUUGAACUAGUUUUAUUUCGUCGUAUGUUGAACUACCGUUGUAUGUUGCUUCUAUCAAAUGUAUCCUAUGUUACAUGGAUUUGGGGAGGGGAAAUUUAUGUGGGGGCAGGCGGGUGCGUUGUAGGGGCGGACAAAUGGGGCUCGACCCCGUGCUGUCCGCGGACAUGCCUGCAUACAAAUGGGGGUGGGGAGCAAAUUCGCCACUUUCCCUUGAAGAUGCUCUUAAACGUUUCAGUUCAGACUACAAUUUAAUUAGCCUCUCCGCUUUGCACUCUGUUUUGAGCUAAAUACUGAAGUAACCCUCAUAGCUAGUUAGUGGCAGCGAUCUUGAAUGAGGAGGAAUUCUAGCUAAUUGUCACUGGCUGCAGCCGUGGUCUUUUUUUUUUCGAACCAUACAGGAGAGAUGUAUGUACUAUAUAUUAAGUGCUCGUUUGGUAGCAAGGGGUCCCUCGGGAUCCCUGCUCAUUUCCUGGGUGGAAACCCCCUGUCGAACAUCAGCCCUGGACCAGGUGCAUGGACAUUUGGAUGCUCGAACCCACGAGGUUUUCUCGGCCCGAUCCCCUCAAUUUCCCCGGGAUAGGAUCCACACCUCGCGACAUCGGAGAAGAUUCCCCCGUCUCAUUCACUUGCGACGCCUCUCUGACCCUCCUCGUGUGGCACACCGUGACGUUCCAAUGCAAUGUUGCCUAUCCUCUCGGUCUCCGCAUGCGCCUUUGCAUCCUCCGUCCUCGCCGGUGGCCGCCAUAACUGCAGUGGUACACCCUCCACUAGUUAGGCCAACUCCACCGCAAGACCCCAUCCAGACGUCCGUUUUGUCCUGUUUUCGUCCGUUUGGGAAGGCAAUGGGGUUGCUCAUGUCCGUUUUGGGUCGUCGCCGUGUCAGUGUGCCCAACGCGCGAGCGCACCCCAUAUUAUGUCCGGGGUGACAUAUCCGCCUGGCAUUUUGUCAAACACGUAGGUGGCAGGGAAGGUCGCAGCGGCUGGGCGCGGAGAGGCGAGGCCGACGUCUGCGGGAGCACUGGCCGGAUACGGGUGCAGGCGCGAGACGAGACCGGCGGUCAGGGCCGGUCCUGAGAUUUUGGGGGCCCGGGGCGAAACCAAAAUUGAGGGCCCUUAGUAUAAACAACAUAGUAAUAAUAAUGGAUAUAUGCAUAUAUGAAAUGUUACAAAUAAACACUUAAAUGCAUCAAAAACAAUAUACAUACGAAAUAAUCAUAUAUGUUACCUUAAAAAAACUCAAUCGUUGACGCAAAGUACAUCAUAUGAUGAAGUGAAUUUAUAAUCUUUAAUUCAGAAAAAAAAACAGGAUGUAGAUUGUGCAUGUGCACUUCUUGAAAUACUUACUAUCAGGGCCACUUACAUUUUUAUCACCUAUUUGAUGUCAACAGCUUCCUCUUGUUAAGAUUCAGAAUGCCCAUCAGUUUGAUUCUCUUCCUCCACAAAAUCGCCAAUUCAUCAUUUGGAAUCAACGAAGUAUAUUACUCUUGAUAAUUUUACAAAGAGCGCCUCUCUCAUGUAUCAACUCAUGCACAUAUUCUAUCUUUUUCCACCAUGCUGGAAAUAAAUAAAUAAUGGCAUCAAAGGCUGAUCGGUGCCAGCUAUGCACGAUGUAUGCAAAGGAGAAAUUACUUAAUUUAGUACUAAACCUAUAGGGGAAUAUAAUAUAAUAUAUCUUUGGAUGGAUUGGAUAGUUCAGCGAUGAGCCUAUGCCACGACGUGAACUCGCGUCUGGCUCUAGCACUAGCGCUAGUCGAAUCGGCGAUGUCUGUGUGCGUGUCAUCGCGACAGCGCCUGAAGGCGGGAAAAAGCGGCGGCGUAUACUGAGUAUUGACUGCAUCUCGCGAUCGGGGCACCCGGGAACCGAGAUCGCAUCGGCGAGACGGCGAACUCGCGAUCGAUUAGGAAGGAAAUUAUAAGAGAGAAGGAGCGUAAUGGCGUGCUCAUUAUCUCGGAAAAGACGGCGUAUGAUCUCGGGAUUGCUAGGUGAAGGAAUAGGAAUAAUCGCCAUGUUCGCCUGCAUCCACGCCUGAUUACCUCGCUUAAGCCACGGCCCAUAUAGAGUUUAGGAGCUACGUAAACACAUCUGAGGAGGGGCCCCUGGAUUGUGGGGGCCCGGGGCGGCCGCCCCCCCGCCCCCCUCAGGGCCGGGCCUGCCGGCGGUCGAGCUCGAACUCCACGCCGGCGAGACGCAGCAGGGCGAGCGCGGCGAGCACGGCGAUGCGUCAUGGCUGAGCGCGGCGUGCGCCUCGGCCUCGCCCUGCGCCUCCUCGCCCCGAACUCGCUAUGCCGCCUCGCGCCGCGCCGGGCUGGCCUGCGCCCGCGCCCACGCGUGCCNNNNNNNNNNNNNNNNNNNNNNNNNNNNNNNNNNNNNNNNNNNNNNNNNNNNNNNNNNNNNNNNNNNNNNNNNNNNNNNNNNNNNNNNNNNNNNNNNNNNNNNNNNNNNNNNNNNNNNNNNNNNNNNNNNNNNNNNNNNNNNNNNNNNNNNNNNNNNNNNNNNNNNNNNNNNNNNNNNNNNNNNNNNNNNNNNNNNNNNNNNNNNNNNNNNNNNNNNNNNNNNNNNNNNNNNNNNNNNNNNNNNNNNNNNNNNNNNNNNNNNNNNNNNNNNNNNNNNNNNNNNNNNNNNNNNNNNNNNNNNNNNNNNNNNNNNNNNNNNNNNNNNNNNNNNNNNNNNNNNNNNNNNNNNNNNNNNNNNNNNNNNNNNNNNNNNNNNNNNNNNNNNNNNNNNNNNNNNNNNNNNNNNNNNNNNNNNNNNNNNNNNNNNNNNNNNNNNNNNNNNNNNNNNNNNNNNNNNNNNNNNNNNNNNNNNNNNNNNNNNNNNNNNNNNNNNNNNNNNNNNNNNNNNNNNNNNNNNNNNNNNNNNNNNNNNNNNNNNNNNNNNNNNNNNNNNNNNNNNUGCGCCCCCGCGCCGGGCUGGCCGGGCCCGCGCUGGCCAGGCCGCGUCGCGCCCGCCAGGCCAGGCCGCGCCGCGCCGGCCAGGCCCGCGCCUGCCUGGUCGCGCUGCCGCGCCCACGCUGGCCACAGCGCCGGCCUGCGACAGUUUUCUUCGGAGCUGGAGUCCGCCGUCGCCCGCUGCAGCUCGCCCGCACGCCGAGCCAGCCGCUCGUGCGCACGCCGCCCUCGCACCUGCCGCGCCCGCGACGCUUGAGCUCGCCCCUGGCAGCCUCCGCGCGUGCCCGCUACGCUCCCGGCGCUCCCCCGCGCGUCCGCCUCUCGCCCCCGGCCACCACCGCCUCGUCGUGCUCGACGUCGCCCCGUCGCGCCGCGCUCGCGCCCCGCCCUCUCGCCCGGCCGCCGCGGCGCACCCGCGCCCACUGCGGCAUGUCAUGGCCGCCCCGCCGUGGACUCGCCCCAUCUUUUUCGUCUCUGUUGGUCUCGUGUGGAGAGAGAGGAUGGUAGGUGGGCAUGGUGGGCCACGUGAGAGAGAAGAGGAGAGCAGAUGACAGGCGGGCCAGGGUCACAUGCAAAAGGGACAAGGCCGGACGGGGACCACCCAGAAUGCGUCCGCUUGUGUCCGCUUUGGAUGCAAACCCAGCUCAAACUUGCGCCCAGAAUGGGGCAAAACGGACAAAAAACCGACGCUUUUUACAGAUGGGGUCGUGCGCUGGGCCGUCUCAUAUGUUCAUUUAACUCCAAACGGACAGACCCGGACGAUUUAGGGUCUUGCGGUGGAGUUGGCCUUAAAGCUGGCUAGACAGGCGACCACAGUAGAGUUCUUCGUCCUGCCCACUAGGCCGCGUCACAAGGGGGACCACCGGCGACCGCGACGGCGGGUGGUAGUGGGCGUGAAGACAACAAUAAUGGAGGGGCUGCAUGUCCAUGGGGGACUCACCAGGAGCAAGAUCUGGAUGUAGCUGCCUCAGAAGUCAGAACUAGGAACAUCCAUGGGUGGUGGUGCGCCUAGCUAUGGCAUGGAGCCUGAUAUGAUGGGGGAGGGCGUUGCUUCGGUUCAUCGUGUUUUGAUUGUGGAUUGUCCCUUUGAGCCAAAUGGCAAUGCCAGUUUUCCACGGGUCUUCUAGUUGGCCAAGAAAAUUCCACUGAGGUUGUCCAAGCCUCCAACUUUGCCACUUUUAUUCACGGGUGCAGAUGGAGCUCUUCGUGGCGGACCAUGUGCAAGUGCACAUGACGAAGGGAUAAAAGUUGGGGAAACUAAAAGAAAAGAAAAAACAUUGUAACCCAUUGACAAGCAGUCCCGUAUGACGGGAGAAAUAUUAAGAUUGUGUUCUAGGGUUUCUCAAAUUUGCUCUUGGGGCAUUUUUCAAAAAAUUACAGUGCGCUCGAGUAAGUUUAGUAAAGUUGCUCUCGGUGGGCGUACUUGCUCCCCGUUGAUUCUUACUUUUUUUUCCUGUUUUGAACCUCACAUGCAUUUGCUAUCAAGAUAUCCAUUUCACAUAUAAAAAGAAAAUAAUUCAUUUAGUGUGUUACAAACGCUGAUGUGUGGGGCCUGACUCGAUAGAAAUUUUUUUGGAUGAACCCUGGGGUAGGCAUCGGGUCUUGUCUCCUUCCUUCAUUCAUUACCAUUAUCGAGACUUUUUCCAGUGGAUAGUAUGUCAGAUCUCACCAUUGAACGUUGGCUGUCACAAUUGGACACCGACUACUUCUUAAACCGGAUAAACACAUGAUAUUAUAAUUACAUAUCACUCAAUUUAAUCAUCGACGAAGAUAACUCAACUCAUGAUGUGGUCCGUCUUCUGCCUUAUGGCUCACCCAUUAGAGCAAUAGUUGGUGUCAUUUUUUAUAUCAAAAUUUUAUACUUAUUUAAUCUUAUUUUUAUCCUAGAACAAUACUAAGGAAUAUAAUUUUAUUAGUUAGUUAGUAUACUUAACCAUAUAAUUUAGUUGGUAGGGUUAAACUAUUGUUUUUUAUCAAUUGUAACAUGUAUCACAGAAAAUUUUCUUUAUGUGAAUUUUAGUUAUAUCAUGGAAAAAAGUUAUCUUUAACUUAUUUUUUACAAUCUCACAAUUUAUACAUACAUAUUUGUAAAUAUUUCAAUUUCAUUCCAUGAAAUAUCACAGCAAAGAUCUAUAAAGAACUUAAUUGUGGUUUCUAGUGUCUUAUUAGGUUAUCAUGUUUAUAGAACCUUGUAGAGUAUAAAUUGUAUCGCUUGCAAAUGUGUUGGAGGUUAGAUUUGAUAAUAAGUUCAUAUGCAUGGUACUGAAAUAACAUUGACUAUCGACAAAUGUAAACAUAUGGCUGCACUCUCUUGUUUAAAAUGUCCAUUUCAAACAAAUCUUUAAUUGCUUACCUACAAAUAGCAAUUUGAACAAAAACACAAUCAUCUUCCAUACAUGAAUACAAGAGAAAUCCCACAAGGUAAUCACACACAACAUCUAAUUGUUAGUGCAUCUUCAAUGGCAACCCGCAAAAAAGCUCCCGCAUCCGUCCGCGGAUAGGAGGGACCAGUCCGCGGACAUGGACGCGGGAGGCAGCCAUCCAACGCUAGCCUCAUACAUUUUCAUAACAAGUCAAACCAACCGGAUGACAUUCAUGCAAACACGACCGAAUUUCAUGGAAAGUCGAUCGGAUUUCAUACAAACAUGACGGAUUUCAUACAAACUAGAUGCAAACGGUUACACUCUGGAAAUAUUUUAACUAAAAAGUUAAAACUAUGUGCACGUAUGGUCACGCAGAGCUCCACUCCCAUGACACGGAUACGCUACACUAGUCUAUGGUCGGCCCCCGCGGAUCCCUUCAUCACCGGACUACCGGGAGUCCCGAAGGAAUUCUUCCCCCGUAUCUUCCCUCGCUCGUAUCCUCCGGGCUCGGUGGGCCACCAUAUCGGCUUUUAUGUGGGAGAAUUCCUCUUCCUGCCCGUUGGAUGCCAUCAAAAUAUUGGAGAAAAUCGUGAAGGAGGAGAUGGGGGAGCGGCAGAGGGGUAUGAUUCUUGCCCGACGCAUGCCAUCAUUCCUGAAUGCGGCGAGGAGGGCAGAGGGGAGGAGCUCGGCCGGCAUGGUGUUUAAUACCGGCCCGCUCCUGAACGGACGUGUGGAUGGAGUAGGUUUCUCGGCUUCCACGCAGGGGUUAAUGGGGUGUAUGAAUGCGGCGAGGAGGCGUGUUCAGCCAGACGUGCAGCCGGCGGCGCCCUCGGCCAGCGCGCCACUUCAAUGACAUAGGCGGUGAGAGGUCGCGCCCUCCCUGAGCCGUCUUUAAUGCAGAGCGGCGCGCUCUACAGCGGCAUGGAUGCGGGCAGGUGGCGCCGGGCGAGAGCGCGCGGGAGGGUGAGGGGUAUUUUGGCGGGCCAGGGCACUCAGAAGCGGGCUUGGAAGCGGUCCGGACUCCCGCAAACCUCCCUCACUUUAUUCUCCGGUUUACGGGAGAAAUCACGUCCGGACUGCUCCGCAGACCGAUACAGGUCGGUGUUGGAUGGCUUCCACGGUCUGGACAACCCGAUCCAAACGAUUGCGGGAGGUUUGCGGAUCUGCCUUGGAGAUCCCCUUAUGUGCUAAUGUGGCGAGUGUCGACCAUGUUAGCAUGAAGCAAUCACUUGUGUGGCAAUUUCAUGCAAAAGUAUCGUCACAAAAUUCACAAUCAACAAAAGAAGAUGAUGAAUAUAAACAAUGAAAAACUUACUUGUGGUGUGUCAUCAGCAUGUCACCGCCGCUAAGAACAUGGUUAAUAGUAGAACUAGCUGAUGGUUAUAUGACGUUGCCAUGUAAUCUAUAGCCAAUGUUAUACCCGGCAUGUAUAAUAGUUAGAUAUAAAGAUGUGCUACUUUAUCAAUGCAUGACUCACGUUCCACUCUUACAUAGUGCCUAGGAGCACGUGUUUGCAGGUGACUCCUUUUCUUUCCUCUCCAUAUCAGUAGAAAUAUAAUAUUUUAACUCUUAUAGCCCGCUUACGUAAGUUUAUGGCUGUAAGAAAGUCGCCGCCCGCCGCGGCCUUGUCGCCUAGGGUAGUUAGAAGCGAAGAAGUUCAUUGGUUAAUCAAGAGAUUAAGGAGGUGAUAGAUACAACUGAAAAAAUUCAAUCAUUAGCAUCGCUUAAGGCCCGUCCUCCUUAGGUCUUGGUUUAAUUGGGAAUAAAGAAGAUUGAACAAAAUGAUCAAAAAAAAUAAUAAAAAAAUGAUAAAAAAAAGAAGAUUGAACAAGGAAAAAGAGCCGGUGGCGCUAAGCGGCAAAGAACAAAAUAAUUAGGACUUCAUCUCGUGCGCCCCCGGAUCCUUUGUUCUCAAGAGCAUGGAUAAUACUAUAGCCAACCGAUGGCUGCAUACAACUGUCAUGUUAUUAUUGGGGAACGUUGCAUGGAAAAAAUUUUCUAUGCACAUGCAAAAUCUAUCCAUGUAGAUGCAUAACUACGAGAGAGUGAGAGCAUCUUCACACCCUUGAAGAUCGCUAAACGGAAGCGUUUAUCAACUCGGUUGAUGUAGUCGUACACUUUCAUGAUCCGUUCUGAUCAAGUACCGAAUGUACGGCACCUCCGCGUGCAGCACACGUUCAAUUCGAUGACGUCCUCGCCUUCUCGAUCCAGCAAGAGAGGCUAAGUAGUAGAUGAAUUCCGGUAGCACGACGGUGUGGUGACGGUGAUGGUGAAGAACAAUCUCCACAAGGCUUCGCCAAGCACAAUAGAAAUAAUGAUGGAGGAUAAACUAGAGGGGGCGGGGUUGCCGACACACGGCUUGAUCUGUUCCGGGUGCUAGCCCUACCCCUCUAUUUAUAUGUUGAGCCCUGGGGUCGUUUCUUGGAGAAAGAGCCUCCUCAAAGUCAGUUUAGCCCGCAAGUCAAGAGUUCUUCUCGGACUCCGGGACCAGACACCACAGUCCUCGGCGUCUAGCCCAGAUGCCAUGGGCCUCGGCGUAUGGCCUAGGGCCAGAUGCCAGGGUCCCUGGCGUCUGGUCCCCGACCUCCGCAAAACUUCCUUUUGCACCGACGUAAAGCCCCAUGGGCCUUACCCCUUGGCAUAACCAUAUCAUCCUAUAUAUCAGUCUUUACCUCCGGACCAUUCCGGACCUCGUCGUCAUGUCUGUGAUCUCAUCUGGGACUCCGAACAACAUUCGGUCACCAACAUAUAUAACUCAUAUAAUACUACAUCGUCAACGAACGUUAAGCGAGCAGACCCUACGGGUCUGAGAAUGAUGUAGACAUGACCGAGAUGCUUCUCCGGUCAAUAGCCAAUAGCGGGACCUGGAUGCCCAUAUUGGUUCCUACAUAUUCUACGAAGAUCUUUAUUGGUUAAACCUUUAUGACAACAUACAUAGUUCCUUUUGUUCGUCGGUAUGUUACUUGCCCGAGAUUCGAUCUUCGGUAUCUCCAUACCUAGUUCAUUCUCGUUACUGGCAAGUCUCUUUACUUGUUCCGUAAUACAUCGUCCUGUAACUAACUCCUUAUCCACUUUGCUUGCAAGCUUCUUGUGAUUUUGUAUUACCGAGAGGGCCCAGAGAUACCUCUCUAUCACACAGAGUGACAAAUGCCAGUCUCGAUCCAUGCCAACCCAACAAACACCUUCGGAGAUACCUGUAGAGCACCUUUAUGGUCACCCAGUUACGUUGUGACAUUUGAUGGCACACAAAGCAUUUCUCCGAAGUUUGGUUGAAGAAACAUGUAUUUGACAUUAAGAAAGAAGUAGCAAUAAACUGAACUAUCAUAUGCUAUGCUAAUGGUUGGGUCUUGUCCAUCACAUCAUUCUCCUAAUGAUGUGAUCCCGUUAUCAAAUGACAACUCAUGUCUAUGGUUAGGAAACCUUAACCAUCUCUGAUCAAUGAGCUAGUCUAGUAGAGGCUCACUAGGGACAUGGUAUUUGUUUAUGUAUCCACACAUGUAUUUAAGUUUCCGGUCAAUACAAUUCUAGUAUUAAUAAUAAACCUUUAUCAUGAAUAAGGAAAUAUAAUAAUAACAACUUUAUUAUUGCCUCUAGGGCAUAUUUUCAAUAGUUAUCUAUAAACAUAAUCUAUAUUCACUCAUAUAGUAAAACAAACUAUAAGGUUGGCUACAAGACUAGUAUAUUUAUCAACCUUCUCUUUUACUUUCUUAAAAUUUAUUGCAUUUGUCUAGAAGCACAUGCAGAGCUAUACUCUUCCAAGAUCUUGCAUGGGAGCCCACUUCAUUUUUUUUACGUGUCUCUCCCCACAUAGGUAAAAGUGUCAUGUAAGUGGGUUAUUACUUAUAGGCCCCUUAUUAUGUGUGCUCUAAUGGGUUGGGUGUGCUGACUUGCUUAAUUUCGUUGGGCCUUAGGCGGCCGCACUCCUGGUUGUGACUUAGCGUCGACCCCUGCUUGUGAACAACAUCUUUAAAGUGUGCACCACUUCACCUCGUGGCUUCCGGGCGUUCAAGAAGAUUAGAGUUUUCCCUACCUUCGCUGGUCUACCUCGUCUUUGAUGGCCUUAGGGCCAUGGAGGUGAAGUGGACCCUGGCCCUUGCCGAUGGGAGGAAUCCUGAUUUGGAUUUUAGGUAGAGUUUUGUGUUCGUUUAGGGUUUCUAUCAUGCUCAACGAGGCGUGGCGGCCACGUCUUUGUUAAGAUGGAGUAAUGCCCUUCCCGCCUAGCCCUCAUCCCUGUGGUGUGUCUACUGUUGUCGGAGGGCGUGUGGAGAUGUAUCUCUGGCAGAUCUUACGGGGUCCGACCGGUGUUUGUCUUCAAUGGAUCUGUUUGGAUCCAGCCUUCAUUCAUCUCCGGUGGAUCCAUCUGGAUUUUACAGGAGACAUGGGGUUCUCAGUUUGAACAAACAAAUAACAUAGUUAAAUACCCCUAGCUUGAGAGGCACUCUGGGCCAAUGCGACAUCCGACAUCCAUAAAUCCAGCACCGGGGACGCCACGAGCACAAAGAAGGCGCCUUCAAGAAGGAUAACGACAUCAUGGUGCCAUCUGAUGGUUUCAUGGACUAGGGGGUGCUGACCACGUCGGCCCCCCAAUCAUAGGAUGUGCCGAGGAUCCCCACCCCAAGCAACCAACCUGUGGGCCCACCUACCAGGUCCCAUGGCAUAUUCAAGAUGGAAUCCUCCGAAGACUUGGCACACACUUCAGGACAUGUUUGAAUCAUCGGCAUGUUUAUCCCUUGAUGUAACCAACCUAUGUGUAACCUUAGGUACCCCCAGUGCCUAUAUAACCUGAGGGGUUUUAGACUAUAGGGUUAGAGAGAUUCACAUAUGAUCUCGAGGUAACCAUCCUAUACUUUGUACCCCAUCCACAAUCAAUAUAACAAAAGUAUGUCAUAGGGUUUUACCUCUUCGAGAAGGCCCGAACCCAAGUAAAACUUCGUGUCCCUCUUUGUCCUGUUACCUAGCCAAGAUCACCAGCUCAGGACACCCUACCCGAGAUCCGUCGGAUUCAAUCCCGACACCGUCGACGCUCGAUCCAAAGAAUCAGAACAAUGGUUUCCCUUGGUGCUCGAAGAGGGAUGCAUACAGAGGCCAUGGCAAUGCCUCCAAGGAGGAGACGACACUCACCAGUUUCGCCAUUGCCAACACAGGCAAGUCGAUCAGAAAUUUCUCCCUGACCUAGCUUUCAGCAAUCUCAUAGCCAUCGGAUCAAGAACCAAAAAUCAUAGGUCAAGACGUAGGCCAAAAACUGCCACCAUAAGAAGGGAAGCCACACAAACACAUGAGCCUUGGACAUGAGGGGGCAUUGAGUGUUGGAAAUAUGCCUAGAUGGAAUAAUAUUGUAUUAUUAUGUUUCCAUUUUCAUAACUAAGAGUUUAUAUUUCAUGCUAUAACUGAUAUGAUCUUGGAAUAUGUGAUUCAGUGGAAAACUCAUAUGCACAUGUGGAAUGAUAAAUGACAAAGGAUAGGUUCCUAGUCUUGCCUCUAAGAAUGGCUCAAGUGUUGUUGGUGAUCAUGUUUUUCUGAAUCUUAGGAUAUUGUUAAGUGUAACGAUAGUCCUAAAUCAACAUUGAGAAUAUGACAUUAGAAGAACAAACAUAUUGAGUCGACCCAAACUUGUUUGUUAUACUUUGACAUAAUAUCGUCUGAAAUCAAUUGUUAUAACACAGAGUGUUAGCAUUUGUUUUAGUUCCUCAGACCAUGAGAGCAUUGUAGUCACUUCCUACUGUAUGGUUAACUUUGGGGUUGCUCAAACAUCCUCUAUAACACGGUGAUCAUAGCGACAACAUAUAGGUGCAUCGGAAGGUUUGACAAGGGACUAGAUAGCCCGAGAGUGGGAUUUGGUCCCCCGAUGUUGGAGAGAUAUUCUUAGGGCCCUCUCGGUGUGACAACAUCAAUCAUCGUCUAGACAGACACAUGACUACAACAUGGGAUGUCAGAACACUUCAACGAGAAAGAAGAACAAAAUCAGUAACAAGGAUAUCGAUGCACCUCGUGUUUUAGUGCAAAUCAAAGGGAACAUCAUAUGAUAACCAAAGGUUCACUCGAAUGACAUUUGUGUCAUCAUAGGGAUUGAUAUGGGCGUUCACGGUUCCGCUGUUGGUCAUUGAACGAAGGGGUUUCAUUCAUGUAUAUGAUUUACCGAACCUACGGGGUCACAAGCUUAAGGUAUCAUGAUCUGCUGAGUGUUAUUAGUACGAGAGUACCGAGGAUUCAUUUGUGUAAUUGUUUCAUUAAUAUUUGGAAUAGUUUCGAGAGGAACCAGAAGCAUUUUGGAGUCACCAGAAGGGUUUUGGAGUUUAUUGGACAAUGCUGGUUAUUCUUGAUAAAUAAUAUAUAUGUGAAAAAUGUUUCAGAUGAUGUUAAAUUAUUAAUAAAAGGCUCUAGUAAUUGUUAGGGGGCUUAUAUAUUUAAUUUAGGACCCUGAUAAGUGACACACGUGUGGCAUGAAGCAAUUCCGCCCUAACAUUUUUUGAUGGCAAGUUUGGUUACCGAGGAUGGCAACAUUAGUUGUGAAGCAUGGCCACUUUCUGUUUGGAUGGCAAGUUUCAUUUUUGGGUGUUUUUUUAUGACAAUUUUAUUUGUAAAAACAUUGAAGGCGGUGUUAAUUCAUGCCACACAUGUGGCAUUUAUCAUUUGGGUUAAUUUUAAUAUCAACAAAUCUUAAAAGGCCAAGUGAUGAAAGGAAACUUGGGCCACAAAGGCCUAAGUGGAGGUGGCGCCCCCUUUCUUAAGGGGGAGGCAAAAUUGUAGUGGGGGAGGAAUCCUCCUGCCUCGUUGGCUGGCGCCCCAAUGAGGGGCUUUGCCUCCUUGGUGGCAGCCCCUGUAUCCCCCUCUAACCUAUAUAUACUUGAGUUAUUGGUCCUUUUCAAUACACAAGUUUUGGAGCCUCCUCUCACUAUUUGGGAAAACCCUAAUAGUAGUGCUGGCCAAAGGACUAUCAGUAGUGUGGGGGCCUCUGCUACUGCUAGGGCACUACAACUAAACUUUGAGCAGUAGCAUGGGUCCAGCCCCACACUGCUGCUAUUUAUUUUAGUAGUAGCAUGUGUGUCUACCCGCGCUACUGCUAAAUAGCAGCAGCGUGGGCUUAUGCCCCGCACCACUACUAUUCGCUUGUAUUUCAUUUCUUUAAAAUUAUAUAUUGUACUUAUACACUAUUAUACAAAUUUUGAUACAGUAGCAAUUAAGAGGUUGUUAAUCAUUGGGUGGAAGAAACACGGAUUAGCUUUUCGCAUAUGGAUUCAAGUGACCAAAUUGAUUUAGUAGUACGAUAUCGUCCUAUUGAUCCAGCUUGAUUGGUCACUUGGAUCCAUCGACUUUAAUCUAAUAUGUGUUUCUUCUACCCAAUGUUAUAACAACUCAUCAUUAUCAUAGGUAGACGAGAAUUUGGAGUGAAUGAGUACUAAUAUAUAUAAUAACUCAUCACCAUUCUAGCACAUGACAAGUACUACGUACUCCUCCUUAUCAUCAUCAUAGUUCUAUAACAACUCAUCAUCCGCAGUCAUAUAAUAACUCACCAUCAAUAUAGCACAUGACAAGUUAACCAACACUAGCUAAUUGUUAACCAACACUAGCUAAUUGUUAACCAACACUAGCUAGGACCUACUCCUCUCUCUUAGGUAAAAUAGCAUAAAACAGGUAAACCUGUCAUCUCCAUUAUGGAGUAUAGAGAUCCACCUGUCUCCAACUUGUGGCCUGCGCUAAUCCAUGUUGUCUGCAAGUGGUUUCCUACACACAUUCAUUACUUUGCUCAAUCCUUUGAUUUUGAGGCUUUCAUCUCUUUGAGAAAUUGAGUAUUCACUGUGAAAAGUCAUCGGCAAACUUGGUAGUAAGCUAAUAAUAUCUAAAUGACCUUUGACAAACAUUAGCUCAGGAACAACAUCCGGCGGGAGCUUCUGUUGAAGAACGUAAUAGUAACAUAAUUAGCAAUCUGGUUUUGCGUAAGAAGAAUGUAUGCAAAAGAUGCACUAGUGACACAAUAGUAAAAAAUCUUACCAUUCAUGCUAUCUGCACGGAUGUUAACAUGGUUCAACUUGUGGACUCGUGGCACGUAUCCACUAUUAUUUUGGCCAAUUUGAUAACUGAACUUAAAAUUCUCAAAAUCAUUUAAAAAUGAGACAAGAUAAUUUUUCUCCUCCCAAGUUAGCUUGAAGGCAUAACCAUAGUACGUCUUGUCUACAGCCUUCGAGUAUUUAUUGGAGAAAAGAAAUAAGUUUCAAAUUAUAAAUAAACAAGUCCAGUAGGGGUGAAUACCAACUAUCUUUAAAUAAAAAUAUAAAUUACUUAACGAAUUUGUUUAACAAACUCACAUAGAGGUAGAACUGGAACCAUGUCAACAUCCACCCAAAUGUCGAUAUUGUCUUCACGAUUAUCUUCAAGACUAAUAUCAAAGGUUAUGUUCAUAUCCUCCUCAAAGCCGUAUAGUCCUCUCCAAUUUGAACACCCAAAAUGUGAGUGAUUUACUGCAGUGUAGAGCUUAACCACAAAAGUGAAACCAUGUUUCAUUCUUAAGUGAGCUUUCUUUGUCUCCAUAGUCUCCCUAGUUCUAGUACUAGUUCCUCUAGUUCUAGUUCUAGUUGAUCAAUCUGAGAUUUACUUAGAUCCUCUAAUCCUCAUAAUUAGAAGCCCAGUGUGGUUCUAAUAUCAUCCCUAUAUUUGUGUCGGAUUAAGGGAUCCGCAAACCCUUGAGAGGUUCAAACUCUGGCGUGCGUGCGGAGAUCUCAACCUACCCAGCCUGCCUACUCGCGAUCCUCCUAAGCCCAGUGCGACAAGCUCAGAGAGACAAAGAGACACAACAGUUUAUCCUGGUUCAGGCCACCUUGCGGUGUAAUGCCCUACUCCAACAUUUUUGGUGGAUUGCCUCAGAGGGCUGAGGAUGAACUAGUACAGUGGAUGAACUGGCCUCAGGAGGUGAGGUGUUCUUGAGCUCAAGGGAGCUAGUGUGGUGUGGGCUAGUUCGACUUCUCUUUCUAUGGUGGUGGCUAGCCCUAUUUAUAGUGGCCUUGGUCCUCUUCCCAAAUGUUGGCGGGAAGGGAUCCCACAAUGGCCGGAUUUGAAAGGGGACAAGUAGUACAACUUAUCCUGACAAAAGUAGUCUUCGCCUGUGAAAAGCCUCUGGUCAUGACGUUGCGGUGGGCUCGCCGAUGACCUCCGUCCUGCCGUCCUGGCGGUCUUGGUCUCGUUGCACCAGAAUGGAAACCUUUGGCUGAUUCCUCGGGACUCCGCGCAUGAGGCUUGCCUCCUUUGCACCGAAGAGGAAACCUGCGCUUUGCGCCCGCCUGGCGCCUGCCUGGCGCCCGCCUGGCCUUGGUCAUCAUGGCUCACAUCAGCUGAGCCUCACGAGGUGAACCUUGCAUAGAACUCUCCGCCCCUCGAGAGCCAGCCUGGGGAGGUCGAUCCCCUCGGGGGUCUUGGCGUCGUCCGCCUCGCGAGGCUUGGCCCCUCGCAAGGGUCUUGAGUUGUUGAUGCUGGGCCGUACCAGGCCGUCGAUGGAGCCACGUGGUGGGCCGCAGGCAGGCAGGGCUGGAUACCCCCAUAUCUAGGACGCCGAUAGUAGCCCCCGGGCCCAAGGCGCGCUCGGACUUGGCUUCCAGGCAAAGCCAAAGGGCAAGUGCGGAGCGCCGCGGGCCCUAACAGCCCGCGGCCUUGAUGACAUGUGGCGGUUGAUGGGACGUGGGUGUCUCCACUUCCCCAUGCUGCCUUGAUAUCUGGCAGGACUAGUGGUCGCCCGUUGCCAGUGCAGCUUGCCCUUCGCAGAUUCUUGCGCUUGGGCUUGUUUCCUUCUUCCCAAUGUUGCCGCCUCGUCCAUAGACCCGGCACCGGUGCCUCGCCCCUCUUUUGGCGCUCGUCAUGGCCCCCAAGCCGAGAAGAAGAAGGGAAGCUGCUCGCCCCGGCCGGUCCUCCGCCGGCCCUGGAGCCAGCCCUUGAGCAGUCGACGGUGAUCAAUCAGGAGGGAUUGGACAAGGUUCACCACGCGCUCGCCGCUGAUUCCAAUGAGUGGAGGGCGACGACCGUCCGCCCUGCAUCUUGGCAAGUGAGAGAGAUGAGCGCCACCGAGAUCCCCAUCUAUUUCCAUGCUCUUCUUGCGGGGUUGAUUCCUCACUCCCCCCCCUUUCCUCAAUGCUGUGAUAUCGCAUUACCAGAUCCACCUGCUGCAUCUGGACCCCCGAUCUGUUAUCCUUCUCGCCGUCUUCGCCUUCCUCUGUGAGGCCAUGGUUGGCAUUACUCCUUCCGUGGCCUUAUUUCGCCAUUUCUUCUUGCUUCGGUUGGUCGAUGCCCGCCAAUGCUCUGGGUGGCUUCUCAUGGACACCCGCGCGUUCAGCCCCCUUCUUUUUGACUCCUGGGGCACCGGCCUUGCUUAGCUCCGGUUGGUGCCACGAGAGGCUCUCCGACCGGUGAUACGUCUCCAACGUAUCUAUAAUGUUUGAUUGUUCCAUGCUAUUAUAUUACCACUUUUGGAUGUUUAUGGGCUUUAUUUUACACAUUUAUAUCAUUUUUGGGACAAACCUACUAACCGGAGGCCCAGCCCGUAUUGCUGUUUUUUUUGCCUAUUUCAGUAUUUCAAAGAAAAGGAAUAUCAAACGGAAUGAAACCUUCGGGAGCGUGAUUUUUGGAACAAACGUGAUCCAGAGGACUUGGAGUGCAAGUCAAGAAGCAAUCAAGGCGGCCAGGAGAUAGGAGGGCGCGCCCACGCGCCCCUGUCUCCUGGGCCCCACGAGCAGCCACCGACGUACUUCUUCAUCCUAUAUAUACCUACGUACCCCGAAAACAUCCAGGGAGCCAACGAAAAACAAUUUCCACCACCAUAACCUUCUGUAUCCGUGAGAUUCCAUCUUGGAGCGUUCGCCAGCGCUCCGCCGGAGGGGGAAUCGACCAUCGAGGGCUUCUACAUCAAUACCAUAGCCCUUCUGAUGAGUUGUGAGUAGUUUACCAUAGACCUUCGGGUCCAUAGUUAUUAGCUAGAUGGCUUCUUCUCUCUUUUUGGAUCUCAAUAAAAUGUUCUCCCCCUCUCUUGUGGAGAUCUAUUCGAUGUAAACUCUUUUUGCGGUGUGUUUGUCAAGAUCCGAUGAAUUGCGGGUUUAUGAUCAAGUUUAUCUAUGAGAAAUAUUUGAAUCUUCUUUGAAUUCUUUUAUGUAUGAUUGAGUUAUCUUUGCAAGUCUCUUCGAAUUAUCAGUUUGGUUUGGCCUACUAGAUUGAUCUUUCUUGCCAUGGGAGAAGUGCUUAGCUUUGGGUUCAAUCUUGCCGUGUCCUUACCCAGUGACAGAAAGGGUUGCAAGGCACAUAUUGUAUUGUUGCCAUCGAGGAUAAAAAGAUGGGGUUUAUAUCAUAUUGCUUGAGUUUAUCCCUCUACAUCAUGUCAUCUUUCUUAAUGCGUUACUAUGUUCUUAUGAACUUAAUACUCUAGAUGCAUGCUGGAUAAUGGUCGAUGUGUGGAGUAAUAGUAGUAGAUGCAGGCAGAGUCGGUCUACUUGUCACAGACGUGAUGCCUAUAUACAUGAUCAUGCCUAGAUAAUCUCAUAAUUAUUCGCUUUUCUAUCAAUUGCUCGACAGUAAUUUGUUCACCCGCCGUAAUACUUAUGCUAUCUUGAGAGAAGCCACUAGUGAAACCUAUGCCCCCCCGGGUCUAUCUUUUAUCAUAUAAGCUUUCAAUCUACUUUUAUUUGCAUCUUUACUUUUUGCAUCUAUAUUAUAAAAUACCAAAAAUAUAUUUAUCUUAUCAUACUAUCUCUAUCAGAUCUCACUUUCGCAAGUGGCCGUGAAGGGAUUGAUGUCGGUGUCAAAACCGGCGGAUCUCGGGUAGGGGGUCCCGAACUGUGCGUCUAGGCGGAUGGUAACAGGAGACGAGGGACAUGAUGUUUUUAACCAGGUUCGGAACCUCUUGAUGGAGGUAAAACCCUACAUCCUGCUUGAUUAAUAUUGAUGAUGUGGGUUACAAGAGUAGAUCUACCACGAGAUCAAGGAGGCUAAACCCUAGAAGCUAGCCUAUGGUAUGAUUGUUGUUCGUCCUAUGGACUAAAGCCAUCUGGUUUAUAUAGACACCGGAGAGGGCUAGGGUUACACAGAGUCGGUUACAAUGGUAGGAGAUCUACAUAUCCGUAUCGCCAAGCUUGCCUUCCACGCCAAGGAAAGUCCCAUCCGGACACGGGACGAAGUCUUCAAUCUUGUAUCUUCAUAGUCUUGGAGUCCUGCCGAUGAUGGUAGUUCGGCUAUCCGGACACCCCCUAGUCUGGGACUCCCUCAGUAGCCCCUGAACCAGGCUUCAAUGACAACGAGUCCGGCGCACAUAUUGUCUUCGGCAUUGCAAGACGGGUUCCUCCUUCGAAUAAUUUAUAGAAGAUUGUGAACACCAGGAUAGUGUCCGGCUCUGCAAAAAGAAAUUCCACAUACCACCGUAGAGAGAAUAAUAUUACACAAGAUCAAUCUGCUGACGUAUUCUGCAGCGUGACGUCACACCACUUCCACCUCAGCGCGUUUAGUGAGGCAGUUUCCUUGGCACGUCUUGUCGAAGCAGAGAUAGUGGUCCCCUUAUUCCGGGAUUCCCAUCAAUACGGACGUGGGUAACCCAACCGCACCAUUGAUUGUGACGCUUGGGAGAUAAGCGAGUUUUACCAGGCCGGUGGGGACGCGUGUUUCUGUCCGCCCAUAUAAGGGGAUAAAGAUCCAACCUUUUUACCUGCGCCUUCUUCCUCCUUGGCUUAUCCAUCUCUGCAAACUCGAGCUCUAGCGCCCAAGCUCGCACAUCUCACCUCAACCUUCUCCAAAGAUGUCCGGAGCGGGAGGCAAAUGGAUGGCCUCCUCCGUCACGGAGGGGCAUAUCCAGAAGCUGCGCAGCGCCGGAUACUUGUCCAGCGACAUCGCGCAUCGGCUCCCCGACGAGGGAGAGCUCAUCCCCACCCCCAGGCACCAUGAGAGGGUAGUAUUCCUUCCCCAUUUCCUCCGCGGACUGGGCUUCCCACUUCAUCCCUUUGUCCGGGGGCUUAUGUUCUACUACGGCCUAGAUUUCCAUGAUCUGGCCCCAAAUUUUAUUCUCAACAUCUCGGCAUUUAUCGUCGUGUGCGAGGCCUUCCUCUGCAUCCAGCCCCACUUCGGCUUGUGGCUCAAGACCUUCAGUGUCAAGCCGAAGGUUGUGAAGGGCAGCCAAGCGGAGUGCGGAGGCGCCAUGGUGGGCAGGAUGUCCCACGUUACGUGGCUGGAGGGCACCUUUGUGGAAACCAUCAAGGGGUGGCAAUCGGGGUGGUUCUACAUCACCGAGCCGCGUGAUCUCGAAUGGGCAGCGGCCCCCGAAUUCAGAUCCGGCAUCCCCACACGGCUCACCUCCUGGAAAGAGAGCGGCCGGAUUUUGGGCGAUUCGGAGGAGCUGACCGGACUCCAAGCCUGCGUCCAAAAGCUGGUGGACAAGAAGCUCAAGCUUGUCAACGUAGUCCAGGUCAUGCUCAUCCGCCAGAUUCUCCCGUGCCAACGACGGGGCUUCAAUAUGUGGGAGUUCGAUCCGGCGCAACACCAAACUUUGAAUGGGCUCUUCAACACUACGUACGAAGAGGUCUGGAAGGUGCUGUUCAAGGGCGCUAAGGCUCCCGCAUCCGCUACCGAAGAUCGCGGAUUCAGCUCGCAGCGUCCAGCUGGUGAGGUAAGUGAUAUUGUCCUUUACGGGAUGCUUGUUAUUCAUAGUUUGACUCUAUGCGGGAUCUAAACUCCCUUUCCUUUGACAAGACUGGCUGAAGAAGGCCGCACAGGCUAUCUGUCCGGCCCCAUUGCCAGAGGACCCAGCUGACGCCCGCCUAACGGGGCUGCUGGCUCCGGUACCCCACGUGGUGCCGGAGAAGAAGGCCAAGAAGAAGGCCACGGGGAUCGGAAGAGUUCCCGUUUUCAGGUGCUAUCGGACGAUGAAUCCGAGGCCGACUCCUCCCACCAAGGCGAGGAGGAGAAGAAGAAAGCCUCUCCCCCAGCGGGGGGAGGGAAGAAAAGGAAGGCCUCCCAAACAAGGGAGGCCGAAGGGUCCAAGAGGGGAAAAACACUUCCCCCGGACUGUUCCGCCAAUGCUAGUGACGACGACGAGGACUGGCCUCCAAGGGCCAAGCCUCUGGCGAGAUCGUAAGUAUCCGGACUCCCGAGUAACUUCAAGGUUUUCGUUUUCCGCCACAUUAUGUCUUUCUAAUGCCGCAUACAACCCUGCAGUCCGCCUAAGGAUGAUCUCCCCACUUCGUCGAGCGGGUCCUUAGGGGUGUCGGAUAUGGAUUCUCUUCCGACUGCCUCCACCCCCGUGAUGUGGACGAUGCCGAGGUGGGAUCCCAAGAAGGGACCCACCAGGAGGAGAGGGCCCUGGAGGUGUCGCAGGACAACCUCCCGGACUUUGCACCGGACUCAGCCUCGGAACCCAUAGUGGCUCCGGAGUCCGGCGGGCGACCCCUUCAUAAGAAGGGCAAGACCGUGACGCCGGCUGCCUCCGUCCAACCGGAGGUGUCGGAUAAUUUGCUGGAGGCGCUCAACGGCGCCUCCAUCAAAGAGGAACACUGCACUGUUAUGAGUGCGGUGAUUCAGAAGGUUCAGCUCGCCAAGAGCGGGCUGACCGAAGCCUACAGCAGCCUUCUAACAGGCUUUGAGGUAAGAAUUUCAAUAUAUGUAAAAUGGUACCGCAUAGACAGUAGCCCCUGAUGCUCGGUUCGAUGUUCGGAAAGAAAAGCCGGACUGAAGAUCUUUAGAAAGAUAAACGCAGGAGUCAUGAAAAUAUGUCAAUAUGGGAUUGCAGGCUGUGCUGCUGACCUCUGCCGCACUGACUGCGGAGGUCAAUAUUUUGAAGGAAAACCUCGAGCGGUCCGAGAACGAGCUCGGCCAUGCCAAGAAGCAGCUCGAGGAAAAAGAAGGUGAGUAAUACCUUAUGAAAAUUGUACCUUACAGAAAAGGAUUUGGUUGCAAGAAAAAUGACAAGGAUAACUAGGGUAUUGCAGGGGCCACUAAUGAGGUGGCGACCCUGAAGGAGGCGGUGGCCGUGGCCGAACGCAAUUCGGCUGCGGAGCGCACCGAGCGAGAGAAACAGGAGGCGCGGGUGGUGGAGGUACAGCAAGAGCUCCAGGAUCUCGUGAGGAAACAUGAGAGCCUGGAGCGUGACUCGAAGACUCGAGAGUCUGAGCUUGCAACGACUCUUGAGAGUGCCAAAGCCGCUAAGGCCGAAGCCUACAAGGCCCUCCAGGAGAUAGAGGCGGUGAAGAAAAUAGCAGCGGGUAAGGCAUUUUUCAUGCAAAGUAAGCAUGUGAGUGUUAAUUACCUGUCGCCUACCCGAAUUUGGAGCUCUCCAGGAGCGUUCGCAUAUCUUCCCCGCAGCGUGUCCGAUGCUGCCACAUUCUACCGGGCCGAGGAGGGGAGCUCAAUGGAGAAGGUCUUUUGGUCUCAGUAUGCUGAGGCCGGACAUCCAGUGCCCCUUAGCGACCAGCUGAAGUAGCUGGUCGAGCUCCACAAGGCGGCCGAACAGGCCAUGAAGGGCCUCAUAGUUCGGCUAUGGACUAAGGAGGCUAUGCCUGGGAGCUACUUUGGUCUGGUGCGGCGGCUGGUGGACGCGUGCCCGUGGGUUGAAGUUAUCAAGCACUCCGCCUCUAUCGAGGGUGCGCGUCGGGCCCUUGCCCGCGCAAAGGUGCACUGGGGCAAGAUGGAUGCCCAGAAGCUUGUGACGGACCCCCCACCAGAGGGCAAGGAGCAUCGCAUGCCCGAGAUGUAUUAUAGGAGUGUGCUGAAGGGCGCCCGCAUUAUUGCGGGUGAGUGCUCCAAAGAAGUUUUUGAGUAGACUCGCGUUUUGUUAUCCUGUGCGCUGAAAACUAAGUUCAUAUGUGCGAAGCAACACUUGUUAAUUUAAAAUAUUACCUUCUGUGCGGCUGUUUAUCAAAUCUGAGAGAUGACAAGUCGUCGGCUUCGGCCCCCAUACCACGAGUGCUGGGGUGGUCGGGAUAAAUUUGGGCACUCUUAUUCCCAUAUUUGGGUCCAUCGAGGGAGGCGCUCAACACAAUGAACAAGGCAACCGGACUUAUAAUGCUUGAACACUCUCACUUAGCCAUAGAAUUCUAUAAUUUUAAAUUUCGGCGAAGCCCCUAGUUUUCGGAAGGCCGAAUUUGGGGCGCUAUCCACGCCUUGGCCGGACAGAAUCCGGCUCCUCGCUCGAAGCGGCAUAAGUCUUUAGGGACUCGCAAAGAACCUCUCGAACAGCGACCAGCUCUCGCCUCAUCAUGACGGUCAAUUUUAGCUUUCUCCACUGAGGCGUUAACCCAGCUCAACUGGGGCGCAAUCGCAGUGGUUCUCCCAGUGCUACGUUAGCCGAUAAAACGGAACGUAAGGUACCAAAACAUGGGAGCCGGGCAAACCCAACUAUUGACCCAAGAACAUGAUCCGGAGCCGAUGCAUAGAAUGCUAUAAGUUCGGGGUGCCGCACUUGUGAAAGUGUUCGGACUUAUCACACCAUAACGCGGGAAACAUAAGCCCCUGGUGUAUUUAGCCGUACCAAAACGUAUGGAUGCAACAUGUCAUAGAUGAACAUAUGUGUAAGAAAGAAAUGCAAUUGGAAGCAAAAAUGUGCUGCAUUGCUUUAUUCAAAUAAAAACUGCUGUAAGUGCAGGACGAUACAAGUGGUGCAGUAAGCAAGGGAUGGGACUGUUUAACAUGUCCCCCUCUAGGGGUAGGCUACGGAAUAAUGCAUAAAACAUAUUUAAUGCUCAUAAUGGAGACCACCUGGAUUUUCGUUGUAGCCUUUCUCCUUUCCUGGCUGUUGUAUCGUGGGUUCGGCAUGUCUGCUGCCGGACAGGGCCUCUGACGAACGGAGUCCUGUAGGUAAAAAAUAAAAGGAAAAGAAAAAGAAACGACACACUUAAGAGCCCCUGGUGCGGUUGAGCCGCAGUUUGGGCUUAUCGUGGUCGAGCCCCUUGCCCCAUGCCCAUGGUAUCUUUAGAGCGUAAUGGGGUAUGCGAAGGGUUUGUCUUAAUGUUUUACAUGGGCUGGGGUUGGGGCCGCACUGCUACGCGUGCUCGGAACGUGCCAGGUGGUCGUGUUGUAGGUUACUCCGGGCACGCUUAGUUGUGUCCGGCCGCUUGGUAGCCGGACUCGAGAAUUGCCUUAAAAGGCUGCUUUGUACUUCUGCCGCGAGAGCCGCUGUAUGUUCCUCCGUUUAGAGGGAGCGUUCAGUGUUUCCGUUGACCGUGAUGACUCCUCUAGCGCCUGGUAUCUUGAGCUUGAGGUAUGCAUAGUGGGGCACCGCGUUGAACUUUGCGAACGCGGUACGUCCGAGCAAGGCAUGAUAGCCGCUGCAGAACGGGACUAUGUCGAAGAUUAACUCCUCGCUUCGGAAGUUAUCCGGGGAUCCGAAGACCACUUCCAGUGUAACUGAGCCUGUACAAUUGGCUUAUACACCUGGUAUGACGCCUUUAAAGGUCGUCUUGGUAGGUUUAAUCCUUGAGGGGUCUAUGCCCAUUUUGCGCACCGUGUCCUGAUAAAGCAGGUUUAGGCUGCUGCGGCCGUCCAUCAGGACUCUGGUGAGAUGAAAUCCAUCGACGAUUGGGUCUAGAACCAAUGCGGCGAACCCGCCAUGGCGAAUGCUGGUGGGGUGGUCCCUUCGGUCAAAGGUGAUCGGGCAAGAGGACCAUGGAUUGAACUUCGGGGCAACUGGCUCCAUCACGUAUACAUCCCUGAGUGCAUGCUUCCGCUCCCUUUUGGGUAUGUGCGUGGCAUAUAUCAUGUUCACCGUCCGCACCUGUGGGGGGAAACCCUUCCGUCCUCUAUUGUUCGGCGGUCGGGUCUCUUCCUCGUCGUCGCUAUGUAGCCCCUUGUCGCUAUUUUCGGCAAUUAACUUGCCUGCCUGCUUGAACACCCAACAGUCCCUAUUGGUGUGGUUAGCUGGCUUUUCAGGGGUGCCAUGUAUCUGGCACAAGCGGUCGAGAAUUCAUUCCAAAUUGGACGGACCCUGAGUUGUUCUUUUGAAUGGCUUUUUCUGUUGACCGGGUUUAGAGCCUCUGAAUCCGGCAUUGACUGCAGUAUCCUCACUGUUAUCGCCGUUAAUGUGGCGUUUGUUUUUGUUGCGACGUGACCUGCCACUACGGUCCUUGAUAUCCGGACUGCCAGAAUUUUUGUUGAGGUUGUUGCUGCGUGCUAGCCAGCUGUCCUCACCCGCACAGAAGCGGGUCAUGAGUGAUGUAAGGGCUGCCAUGGAUUUCGGCUUUUCCUGUCCCAGGUGCCGGGCAAGCCACUCGUCGCGGAUGUUAUGCUUGAAGGCCGCGAGGGCCUCGGCAUCCGGACAGUCGACGAUUUGUUUUUUCUUGGUUAAAAACCGUGUCCAGAAUUGUCUGGCCGAUUCGUCUGGCUGCUGAAUUAUGUGGUUUAGGUGAUCUGCAUCUGGUGGUCGCACGUACGUGCCUUGGAAGUUAUCAAGGAAUGCGGCUUCCAGGUCCUCCCAACUCCCGAUUGACUCUACUGGCAAGCUAUUAAGCCAGUGCCCGGCUGGUCCUUUAAGUUUGAGUGGGAGAUAUUUGAUGGCGUGGAGAUCGUCUCCGCGGGCCAUGUGGAUGUGGAGGAGAUAGUCCUCGAUCCAGACCGCGGGGUCUGUUGUGCCAUCAUAAGAUUCAAUAUUGACGGGUUUAAACCCUUUUGGGAUUUGAUGAUCCAUUACCUCAUCUGUGAAGCACAGUGGGUGUGCGGCGCCUCUGUACUGGGCGAUAUCGCGACGGAGCUGAAAAGAGCUUUGUCUGUUGUGUUCGGCCUGGCCGGACUUACUGUGUCCAGGGUGACGGUGAUCGUCACGUAUCGUGGGGCGCCCACGUGAUCCAUAGAUCGAUCUUGAUUGUCUUACCUUAUCCUCCAAUAUGUCUCGCAGGUCCGGAGUGUUCCCCUGUGGCCUUGUGCUUUUCGAGCGAUGCCGGGGUACAUGUCUAGGGCCUUGAGGCCUCUCUGUCGCGACCACGGGGUGGUCGAUCAGCCGUAUUGUCUCCUGGUGAAGCGGGAUCAUAUGCCUCCACCUCUAAUCGGGGGAGCAGCUUAUGUUUGGGGUAGCUUUUGGAGGGGCGUUCGAGUUCAUGCUCUUCGGCCGUGAGGACUUCCGUCCAUCUGUCGGCUAGCAGAUCUUGAUCAGCUCUAAGCUGCUGCUGCUUUUUCUUGAGGCUGUUUGUCGUGGCCAUAAGCCUGCGUUUGAAACGCUCCUGUUCGACGGGAUCCUCAGGCACGACGAAUUCGUCGUCGUCGAGGCUUGCCUCGUCUCCGGAGGGAGGCAUAUAGUCCUCUACCUCUUCUUCGGCCGCUCUCUCAUGAGGGCUGGCGUCCCCCUCCUCCUGUGCUGGAUCUUGCUGGAGUGUGUUGUCUUCGGCGCUAUCCGGUGUAUUAUUGUCUCCGGUGCCGGAAUCCUCAUUCUUGCUAUGGCGGGAUUUAGAGCGGCGCCGCUGACGCCGGCGCUUGGGCUGUUUCUUGGAGGGGUCAUCCUCCGCUAUUCCUUCGCCGUUCCCAUCCUUUGGGAUAUCCACCAUGUAUAUGUCGUAUGAAGAGGUGGCUUUCCAGUGCCCAAUGGGCACUGGUUCUUGGUCGUCUCCGGCAUCGUCGUCCAUACCGUCGAUGUCCUCAGAGUCGUAAUCUAGCAUGUUGGUUAGAUCGUCAACAGUGGCUACCAAGUGGGUGGUGGGUGGGCUCUGAAUUUCCUCGUCGUCCGCAUCCCAACCGUCCUGGCCGCAGUCCGGCCAGGCCUCUCCUGAUAACGAGAGGUACUUUAGCGAACUCAAGAUGUCGCCAAAAGGUGAGCGUUGAAAGAUGUUCGCCGCGGUGAACUCCAUGAUCGGCGCCCAAUCAGAUUCGACUGGAGGGGGCGCGGGAGGUCCGGAGUCCGGCAAGGAGUCCGGCACCUCGAAGUCAUGAGCUUCAUGGGGGACAAGAUAGGUGUUCGGCUCUAUCGCCGUAGAGGUUGCAGCCCCCGAAGCGGUGUCUAGCCAUCCAUCCUUGGUCUGCGCAGCCGGCUCCGUGUCGAAGAUCGGAGCGGGUUCGAGUGCGGCCUCCAGGGUACUGUCCGGCUGCAGAGCUAAAUCAUGACCAUCGUGACAGUAUGUCAUGCUCAGCUGUGGCUCGAAUCCGUCGAGGAUCAAGUCCCCGCGGAUGUCAGCCAUGAAGUUCAAACUUCCAAAUCUGACCUGACGGCCAGGGGCGUAGCCUUCGAUCUGCUCCAGCUGGCCAAGCGAAUUGGCCCGCAGUGCGAAGCCGCCGAAUACGAAGAUCUGUCCGGGGAGGAAGGUCUCACCCUGGACUACAUCGUCGUUGAUGAUCGAAGAAGCCAUCGAGCCUAUCGGUGACGACACAGAGGAACUCUCAAUGAAAGCACCAAUGUCGGUGUCAAAACUGGCGGAUCUCGGGUAGGGGGUCCCGAACUGUGCGUCUAGGCGGAUGGUAACAGGAGACGAGGGACACGAUGUUUUUACCCAGGUUCGGGCCCUCUUGAUGGAGGUAAAACCCUACGUCCUGCUUGAUUAAUAUUGAUUAUGUGGGUUACAAGAGUAGAUCUACCACGAGAUCAAGGAGGCUAAACCCUAGAAGCUAGCCUAUGGUAUGAUUGUUGUUCGUCCUAUGGACUAAAGCCAUCCAGUUUAUAUAGACACCGGAGAGGGCUAGGGUUACACAGAGUCGGUUACAAUGGUAGGAGAUCUACAUAUCCGUAUCGCCAAGCUUGCCUUCCACACCAAGGAAAGUCCCAUCCGGACACGGGACGAAGUCUUCAAUCUUGUAUCUUCAUAAUCUUGGAGUCCGGCCGAUGAUGGUAGUUCGGCUAUCCGGACACCCCCUAGUCCGGCACUCCCUCAAUUGACAACCCCUUUAUUGCGUUGGUUGCGAGUUCUUUGUUUGUUUGUGUAGGUGCGUGGGACUUUUGAGGAGCCUCCUACUAGAUUGAUAUCUUGGUUCUCAAAAACUGAGGGAAAUACUUACGCUACUAUUGCUGCAUCACCCUUUCCUCUUCAAGGAAAUCCAACGCAAGCUCAGGAUAUAGCAACCGACGUCUUGCUUUCGUCUGGAAGAGAUUGGCGAGGCUUCAGGAGCUGGAACUGACUGCUCCAAUGGUGGUGAAGGAAUUCGUCAGGCAGCACAUCGCUCCCCUCCAGCACCAUUCUCGCCCAAUGCGGCACUUCACAUGCGUCGAAGAUCCGAUGAGGCUGCAGAGGCCAUCAAUGACUGCUGGGACCUUGAGGAUGGUGCUCAAACUCCUGAUGGGCGAGCCCGAGUCUGCUGAGGGUGGCUUCCUUCUCUAUCCGUGCUCGAACAAGGCGGCCUUCAUUGGGCAGAUGCCUCUGUUCAAGGAGUGGGGGUUGCUUAUAGAGGGCCUUGAGGGGUCCCGCGAGAACCCCGUAUUUGUGGCUCCUCUCCUGAUCGAUCCUGCCGCGUGCGCCCCGAGUAUGGAAGCAGGGGGGGCACGCCUCCAGCAGCUAUCGAGGGCUCCUCCGGAGGCCUGGCGUCGAUAGAGGCCCUGGAGGCCAAGGCUCCUGAGGCCCUAGAAGGGGUUGCCACAAAGUCGACGCGACCCCAAGCUCUGGAGGCAGAGGCCUCUGAUGCCCGGGGUGAUGGCUCCUGAGUGGCUGCUGACGGCGAGGAGCCCACCAAUGGCAUCGGAGCCAUAAGCUAGGAGAUCUCGUCGGGCGCCCCUGCUCUCGGGGUCCCUGCCCCGGCUGCCCUGCCGAGCGCUCCUCCUCCCGAGGAUUGCCCGUCGGGGUCUGGUCGGCCCCGCCUGUGCCUUGAGUCACUCCUGAAGAGGAAGAGGUCCCCGUGCCGCAGCGAUGGCACCCGUCGGCCACUGAAGCUGAGGAGAUACAUAGCUGCCGAUGAGUAAGUAUCUUUGCUCUUGAUCCCUUGCGCACCUUGUUUUCUCACGAUUGGGGUCUUGUAGGGCUCCCAUGAAGGCGGAACCUCGGGAAGCAGACGUCCCUAAGGAUUCCAGCUUGACGCCCGCACGCAGCUGAUACGUCUCCAACGUAUCUAUAAUUUUUGUUUGUUCCAUGCUAUUAUUUUACCCGUUUUGGAUGUUUAUGGGCUUUACUCUACACUUUUGUAUCAUUUUUGGGACUAACCUACUAACCGGAGGUCUAGCCCGAAUUGCUGUUUUUUUGCCUAUUUAUGUGUUUCGAAGAAAAGGAAUAUCAAACGGAGUCCAAACGGAAUGAAACCUUCGGGAGCGAUCUUUUUGGAACAAACGCAAUCCAGGGGACUUGGAGUGGACGUCAAGUAACAAGCAAGGCGUCCACGAGGGUGCCCGGCGCGCCCUGACCCUCGUGGGCCCUGAGGGAGUCCUGGACUAGGGGGUGUCCGGAUAGCCAAACUAUCAUCAUUGGCCGGACUCCAAGACUAUGAAGAUACAAGAUUGAAGACUUCGUCCCAUGUCAGGAUGGGACUUCCCUUGGCGUGGAAGGCAAGCUUGGCGAUACGGAUAUGUAGAUCUCCUACCAUUGUAACCGACUCUGUGUAACCCUAGCCCUCUCCAGUGUCUAUAUAAACCAGAUGGCUUUAGUCCGUAGGACGAACAACAAUCAUACCAUAGGCUAGCCUCUAGGGUUUAGCCUCCUUGAUCUCGUGGUAGAUCCACUCUUGUAACACACAUCAUCAAUAUUAAUCAAGCAUGACGUAGGGUUUUACCUCCAUCAAGAGGGCCCGAACCUGGGUAAAACAUCGUGUCCCUUGUCUCCUGUUACCAUCCGCCUAGACGCACAGUUCGGGACCCCCUACCCGAGAUCCGCUGGUUUUGACACCGACAUUGGUGCUUUCAUUGAGAGUUCCUCUGUGUUGUCACCGAUAGGCUCGAUGGCUUCUUCGAUCAUCAACAACGACGCAGUCCAGGGUGAGACCUUCCUCUCCAGACAGAUCUUCGUAUUCGGCGGCUUCGCACUGCGGGCCAAUUCGCUUGGCCAUCUGGAGCAGAUCGAAAGCUACGCCCCUGGCCGUCAGGUCAGAUUUGGAAGUUUGAACUUCACGGCUGACAUCCGCGGGGACUUGAUCCUCGAUGGAUUCGAGCCGCAGCCAAGCGUGCCGCACUGUCACGAUGGGCAUGAUUUAGCUCUGCAGCCGGACAGUAUCCUGGAGGCCGCACACGAGUCCGCUCCGAUCUUCAAUUCGGAGCCGGCUGCGCAGAUCGAGGACGGAUGGCUAGACACCGCCUAGGGGGCUGCAACCUCUACGGUGAUAGAGGCGAACACUGAUCUUGUCCCUUGUGAAGCCCGUGACUCCGAGGUGCCGGACUCCUCGCCGGACUCCGAGCCUCCCGCGCCCCCUCCAAUCGAAUCCGGUUGGGCGCCGAUCAUGGAGUUCACCGCCGCGGACAUCUUUCAACACUCACCUUUCGGCGACAUCUUGAGUUCGCUAAAGUAUCUCUCGUUAUCAGGAGAGCCCUGGCCGGACUGCGGUCAGAACAGUUGGGAUGCGGACGACGAAGAAAUUCAAUGCCAGCCACUGUCGACGAUCUAACCGACAUGCUAGACUUCGACUCCGAAGACAUCGACGGUAUGGACGACGAUGCCGGAGACGACCAAGAACCAGCGCCUAUCGGGCACUGGAAAGCCACCCCAACUCACGACGUAUACAUGGUGGAUACACCAAAAGGAAGUGAUAAUGAGGAACAACGGGACGUGGCGAAGGACAACUCCCCCAACAAACAACCAAAACAGCGAUGCAAGCGCCACCCGAAGUCCCGCCUCGAUAAAAAUGGCACCCAUACGAACCCGGCCCUAGAGCAGGGCAAAGCAGUGGACGGCGAACAUGCCACCAAGCAACCAUCCGAAUAUGAUGAACUGGACAAGCAACCCAUCCCCGACGAAAACAAGAGCCUAGACAAUCUCACGCCGAACACAUCACCAGAGGAUAGGAACCUUCAUAAAAGGCUCGUCGCUACUGCUAGAAGUUUGAAGAAGCAAAAGCGGAAGCUCAAAACAGCAGAGGACGCACUCAGAAUGAGAUGGAGCAAAGUACUCAAUACCGCAGAUAAAUAUGAUGCUAGUCGCCAGGCAAAGAGCUACCCGAAGCGCAAGCCGUUGCCCGAAUUUGAUGAGGAGGCCUUAGAGCCCCCGCAGUCAAAAAAGAAAGAGGCCGCCUGGCCGGAUAGACGACCAGAUGACAGGCUAAGAGCAGCAAGGGGCUCCACACACAAGCCGGCACACGAUCAGCAUAAAGAUCCUCGGAAAAAGGAUGACCCGGUCAAUUCUAUCUAUGGGCCAAAAAAGAAGACUCCAGGAAGCAACACAACCCGCCGAGCGUUUGAAGACAACUGCACACCUAAAUACAGGGGCGCCGCACACCCACUAUGUUUCACCGACGAGGUACUGGAUCAUGAAUUUCCAGCGGGAUUCAAACCCGUAAACAUAGAGGCAUAUGACGGAACAACAGACCCCGGAGUCUGGAUUGAGGAUUAUAUCCUACACAUACAUAUGGCCAGAGGAGACGAUCUCCAUGCCAUAAAAUACCUACCCCUGAAGCUCAAAGGGCCAGCUCGGCAUUGGCUCAAAAGCCUCCCAGAAAAUACCAUUGGAAGUUGGGAAGAGCUCGAGGAUGCGUUUCGAGCAAAUUUUCAAGGGACUUAUAUCCGCCCUCCGGAUGCAGACGAUUUAAGUCACAUAACUCAACAGCCCAGAGAGUUAGCACACAAAUUCUGGAACAGGUUCCUCACCAAAAAGAACCAAAUAGUCGACUGCCCGGACGCCGAAGCCUUAGCAGCCUUUAAGCACAACGUCCGAGACGAAUGGCUCGCCAGACACCUCGGCCAGGAAAAACCAAGAACAAUGGCCGCAGUAACAAGCCUCAUGACCCGCUUUUGCGCGGGGGAAGACAGCUGGCUGGCUAGAUGCAGCACCAGCGACCCGAGUACAUCCGAAGUCAGGGAUGGAAAUGGGAAAUCACGACACAGAAAAGAUCAGCGCUGGAAUAAGGAAAAUGGCCCAAAUAGCACGGCGGUCAACGCCGGAUUCAAAAGCUCUCGGCCGAAUAAUAAAACACUGCCCCUCAAGGACAACAGCGACGAGCUAUCCAACCUAAACAAAAUUCUGGAUAGGCUAUGUCAAAUACAUAGUACCUCCGAGAAGCCUGCAAACCAUACCCACAGAGAUUGUUGGGUCUUCAAACAGUCCAGCGGACUUAACGCUGAACGCAAGGGGCUCGACACACCAAGCGAAGACGACGACGAACCCCACAAGCAGCACGCCAAAAAACAGAAGACUUUCCCACUAGAAGUCAAAACAGUGAACUCACUUCAUGUGAUAACACGAAAACACAGUGCGGCACCUGCCAUACCAGGACACCGACCACAGAAUGGGGAUAGACCCUACCAAAAUUCGCCGUAGCAGCACUUCCUUCAAAGGAGUGAUGCCAGGCCUUUAAGCCAAUUGAGUAGGCUUUGUACCACUAGAGGUUGUGUUCGGUUCAUCCGGCAACCUCCGUCGCAAAAAGCUCACUCUCCAUAUCGCCCCAUUUCACAGUGGCCCUCAAGAACUACUGGGACGCAAAGCUUUCGCCCGCUUUAACGCAAUAACACAUUACGCGUCUCUUACGCUUAAAAUGCCCGGUCCACUCGGCAUAAUCUCAUUAAAGAGUAACUCCGAGUGUUCCUCGACCACGGAGAACGUGAGGCCGCCUUGACAGCCACACACUAAUCCGACCUUGUAGGUCAAAGCCUCUAAAAACAGGUCAUUCAGACCUCGGACACGGUUAGGCGAGUCCGGCGUAAAUAAACAAGGGGCUUCCCAGCCGCAUACCCCUUUACAAGGGGCUGCACGUAUAAACGAUGAGAGCCAAUAAAGCUCAAAUUUAUUCAUCUUCCAAAUUAUACUUUAUUUUAAAUACAUCCUUUGCACGAUAUUUCUUCCAAACUAAGUCCUUCUCUUUUACAGAUGAAGCACGUGCUACACCCGUCCAGGAUACAGCACAACAAAGACACAGGCGCAGACGUGCAGCAGGGACCCAUUGCAAGUAUUCUUUUCAGAUUACGACCUUGCGUAAACCUUUCUUACUGUCUCUUGUUGAUACACAUCCCCCGGUUUUCUACCAUAACCGAGGAGGAGGCUGGCGUUUUGGCAUCGGCCGCGUCAGAAGUUCCCGCCUGUACCUGGACACUAGGGGCUUAGGGCAUUGUUCUGCCCAGUAUCAUAAAGACCAAACACCUCAGGGAGUGUUCGGCGUCUCGAGUUAGGCCUUAUAUGCAUCAGCUCCGAAUCAUGUCUUUGGUCAAAUGUUGGGUUUGCCCGGCUCCUGUGUUUUGCUGCCUUAUGUUCCGCUCCAUCGCUAACGCGGCACCAGGAGAACUACUGCGAUUGUGCCCCGGUUCGGCCGGGCGAGCACCUCAGUAGAGAAAGCCGAAAACUGACUGUCAUGAUAUAGCGAGAGACUGGUCAACCACUCGAUCGACUAUUGGAAUGUUUAGAAUUCCUCCACUUUGACGAAGGACCGCUUCCCGGUCAGGCACAUACGUGCCCCGAGUUCGGAGAGCGCGCCCCACCUUCGAGCUCCUAUGGCUAAGUGAAAGUGAUAAAGCAUUAUAGUCCGGUUGCCUAGUUUGCUAUGCUAUCACCUCCUUCAAAAGGACCAAGACGUUGGAUUAAGUGUGAAAAAGCGCUUUUCUUUUUGCAAACACCCCCGCACUAUGUGCGUGGGGGCUGAAGCCAAAGACUGCUAUCUUUCAGGUUAUUCAUACAUAUACGGCCGCACAGGAGAUAGUUCAAUACUUGAACGCACAAGUAUAAAAAGCUAUUGCAUUAUAAACAUGAUCUCACAAAUCAUACACGUCAUUUUAACAUGACAUCUUUCGAGCAUUGCGACUCUAUUAAACGAGCGCCCUGCAGGACUUCCUCAAAAUAGUGCUCGGCGGGUAAUCGGCUUUUGUCCGAACCCCGGGAUGCAACAGCGGUGGCAUCCAUGUCCGCCCAGUAUGUCUUCACACGGGCGAGAGCCAUCCAUGCACCUUCUAUGCAUGCCGACCGCUUCAUCGCCUUGAUAUGCGGCACCGCCCCAAGGAAUUGCUGCAACAAGCCAAAAUAACUCUUCGGCUUGGAACUUCCCGGCCACAGAUGAGCGACCACAUCCGUCAUGGCAAGUCCGGACAAUCUAUUCAGCUCAGCCCACUCAGCCAGCCGAUCAGCCAACGGGAGUGGACACUCCGGACUAUGGAAUUGAGACCAGAAAAGCUCUUCCAUUUCGUGAUCCUCCUGGCUUCGGAAGUGCACGACUGCGUCCGUUGCACUCGCUGCCAAAUCCAGAUAAGGAUCCUCCACACCACACAAUUGGCCCAACUGAGCAUACUUCGGAUCCAUAAACUUCCUACGCAGUAGAAAGGGCUUUCCAGCCGCAAUGUCUCCGGCCUAACGCAGUUCCUCCUUCAUAGCCCGCAUCGCACCACGGGCAUCCUUGGCUUCGGCGGCGGCCUUCUUCAGGUCCUCUUGCUCCGCUCGGUGUUCUCUUUCAAGAACGUCAUAGCAGUCGGCAACAUCUUUUAAUUUCGCGGCCAUUCCGGCCAUCUCCUCCCUGCUUCGGCAGUGAGCAGCCUUUUCGGCUUUUAGCUCUUCCGCUGCCUUUGAGGCAGCCGCAUCACUCUUCCUGGCUUGCUCCUUGGCUCGAGCAAGCUCUGCUCGAAGGUCUUCCACAGUAGCGGCACCAUCUGCAUCAAGCAUACAAAUUGUAAGGAACGGGCAUCAUCUCCCUUACUAGGCAACCGCGGAGCAACCACCUACCUUGCGACUCAUUAAGUCGCUUAUUGACCAGCGUGAUGUCCGCAUCCGCAACAUCGAGUUGCUUCUUCAGUCCGGCAACUCCAUCAGUCCGGCUGGCCACCGAACGUUUUGCCACCUGCAUAGGAAAGGCGACAUUCUAUAACUGAGAUUAUGAUCCUUGGCACACUAUCGCUUUCGACACCAUACCAAGUCUCAGGGGCUACUAUCUAUACAGGGCGCACUCCAUGUGCAAAACUGUCAAAAGGUAUGUCAUUUUUUGCAUACCUCAAACCCCGUCAGCAAACUUCCGACGGCCUCAUACAACCCGCUUUCGGCGGGUGAGAUCCUCUCAAUUACCAUACUCAUUAAUGUGCGGUGAUCUUCCGAGAUAGACGUCCUCUUGAGCAAAUCCUGCAGCUCCACCGGCUGUACUCCAAUGGGUGCCGAACUCUUCGGCCCCGCCGGACUCGGGGAGACCCUCCGUGACGACACCUCAGGGUCGUCCGCCCCGCCCGACGGGGCGGCAGAUGGAGGCGUCUCGCUCUCCAUCAUCUCCGGACGAAGGUCCCCCGAAGAUGAGCUCUGCUGAGAUGGGCUGAGAUCCGAACUACAAGGUGAAAACUUCGGUUACCUUUGGAAAUAAUACAGGGGCGUUCCCUAUUACAAAAUUCCCCCUUUUUACUUACGGCUCGCUGAAGGGAUGAUUCCUCUGGGGAGACUGUGCGGCCGGGGCUCUUCCCAGUGCAGGACCUUCCGGCGCAGAUUUCCUUCCCCGCUUUGAGGCCUUGGCCUCCGGGUCUUUGGAAGCGGUCCUCUUCUCCCCCUGGAAGGAGGGAUUCUCGAUUCCCCCCUUACUGAAAGCCUCCUUGGCAGAGGUGGUAGUUUUCCUGUGCCCCCCUUCGCUCUCAUCCGAAGGCGCAACCUCCAACAUCUUGACUAACACGGGAUCCGGCGUGGUCUUAGGGAGGGGGGCCGGACACCGUAUCAGUUUUGCUUGCGCUAUCCACUCCUGUCCAAGGGAUAGCUGGUUAAAAGGCAAACCCAUGAUAAAUAAAUGGACAAUAUGUCCGGACACAGGGCUACUUACUUGAGUAUCCGGGCGAUUGCAGCUUAGGCCAGCGUCCUCGGUCAAGUCCGGACGCAUCUCUUGCGAUCCGAAGAACAGUUUGUACAUCUCCGCGGGUGUCAAACCCAUGAAGUGUUGGAGAGCUCGUGGCCCCUCCGGAUUAAAUUCCCACAGGCGGAGGGGCGACGUUUGCAGGGCAGAAGGCGCCGAAUUAGCAUAACCUGUGCCACUACGACCAGAUUAAUCUCCCUUUCUUGGAGGCCUCGAAUCCGGUCCUGCAACAGGGGUACGUCUUUGGACGACCCCCAGUUAAGCCCCUUGUUGACCCAUGACGUCAGCCGUUGUGGAGGGCCCGAGCGGAAGACGGGCGGCGGCCUCUGCCUGCUGCCCCUGGGAGCGGUGAUAUAGAACCACUCCUGUUGCCAUAAGCCGAGCUCCUCCUGAAAAGAGCCCUCGGGCCAUGGAGCAUCGGCCCUCUUGCUUAUAACCGCCCCUCCGCACUCUUCCUGACGCCCCUCAAUCAUCUUCGGCUCCACGUUGAAGGUUUUGAACCACAGGCCGAAGUGAGGGGUAGUGCGGAGGAAGGCUUCGCAGACGACAAUGAAUGAUGAGAUGUGGAGGAUGGACUCCGGAGCCAAGUCAUGGAAUUCCAGCCCAUAGUAAAACAUGAGCCCCCUCACGAAGGGAUCCAUCGGGAAGCCUAAACCCCGACGGAGGUGAGACACGAACACGACGCUCUCACCAGGCUCAGGAGUAGGAAUAACUUGCCCUCGGGCAGGCAACCUAUGCGAAAUCUCGUAGGUCAAGUACCUGGCGUCUCUCAGCUUUAGCACGUCCUCUUCCGUGACGGAAGAGGGCAUCCAUCAGCCUCGUAGGUCGGAGCCGGACAUCAUCGAAAGUCGAAAGUACCCGAAUCUGGAGCCCGGGAUGUUGGAACUCGGGGCAAGGGGCGGAUUCGAUUGAGGAUUGAAGAAAAAGAACGGGCCUUGGUCUCAUUAUAAAGAGGAAGAAUGCCAAGAGCCGUCCCCGUGACCGUUUGGAACCCGCCUUCGAUGGAGGGGGCAUGGCAACGGGCGCGGUUGGGUUACCCACGUCCGUAUUUAUGAGAAUCCCGGAAUAAGGGGAACACGAUCUUUGCUUCGACAAGACGUGCUAAGGAAACCGCUUCGCUAAACACGCUGAGGUGGCACAAUAAAAACGAUUCAAGAAAAGGCUUGGUAGUGGUGUGACGUCACGCCACCAAAUACUUUAGCAGAUUGAACUUGUGUAAAUAUUAUUCUCUCUACGGUGGUACGUGGAAUUUAUUUUGCAGAGCCGGACACUAUCCUGGUGUUCACAAUCUUCUACAAAUUAUUCGGAGGAGGAACCCACCUUGCAAUGCCGAAGACAAUAUGUGCGCCGGACUCGUCGUCAUUGAAGCCUGGUUCAGGGGCUACUGAGGGAGUCCUGGACUAGGGGGUGUCCGGAUAGCCGAACUAUCAUCAUUGGCCGGACUCCAAGACUAUGAAGAUACAAGAUUGAAGACUUCGUCCCGUGUCCGGAUGGGACUUUCCUUGGCGUGGAAGGCAAGCUUGGCGAUACGGAUAUGUAGAUCUCCUACCAUUGUAACCGACUCUGUGUAACCCUAGCCCUCUCCGGUGUCUAUAUAAACCGAAUGGCUUUAGUCCGUAGGACGAACAACAAUCAUACCAUAGGCUAGCCUCUAGGGUUUAGCCUCCUUGAUCUCGUGGUAGAUCCACUCUUGUAACACACAUCAUCAAUAUUAAUCAAGCAAGACGUAGGGUUUUACCUCCAUCAAGAGGGCCCGAACCUGGGUAAAACAUCAUGUCCCUUGUCUCCUGUUACCAUCCGCCUAGACGCACAGUUCGGGACCCCCUACCCGAGAUCCGCCGGUUUUGACACCGACAGGCCCCUUGAGCGUCCACCGACCUACUUCUUCCUCCUAUAUAUACCCAUGUACCCCGAAAACAUCCAGGAGCACCAUGAAAAACUAUUUCCACCGCCGAAACCUUCCUUAUCCGCGAGAUCCCAUCUUGGAGCCUUUGUCGGCGCUCCAUCGGAGGGGGAAUCAACCACGGAGGGCCUUUACAUCAUCUCCAAGGCCUUUCCGAUGAGUUGUGAGUAGUAUACCAAAGACCUUCGGGUCCAUAGUUAUUAGCUAGAUGACUUCUUCUCUCUCUUUGAAUCUCAAUACAAAGUUCUCCUCGAUCUUCUGGAGAUCUAUUCGAUGUAACUCUUCUUGCGGUGUGUUUGUCGAGAUCCGAUGAAUUGUGGGUUUAUGAUCAAGUAUAUCUAUGAGAAGUAUUUCAAACUCCUCUGAAUUCUUUUAUGUGUGAUUAAGUUAUCUUUGCAAGUCUCUUCGAAUUAUCAGUUUGGUUUGGCCUACUAGAUUGAUCUUUCUUGCAAUGGAAGAAAUGCUUAGCUUUGGGUUCAAUCUUGAGGUGUCCUUUCCCAGUGACAGCAGGGGCAGCAAGGCACGUAUUGUAUUGUUGCCAUCGAGGAUAAAAAGAUGGGGUUUAUAUCAUAUUACAUGAGUUUAUCCCUCUACAUCAUGUCAUCUUUCUUAAUGCGUUACUCUGUUCUUCAUGAACUUAAUACUCUAGAUGCAGGCAGGAGUCGGUCGAUGUGUGGAGUACUAGUAGUAGAUGCAGAAUCGUUUCGAUCUACUUGUCAUGGACGUGAUGCCUAUAUACAUGAUCCUGCCUAGAUAAUCUCAUAACUAUGCGCUUUUCUAUCAAUUGCUCGACAGUAAUUUGUUCACCAACCAUAAUACUUAUGCUAUCUUGAGAGAAGCCACUAGUGCAACCUAUGGCCCCCGGGUCUAUCUUUUAUCAUAUAAGUUUUCCAUCUACUUUUAUUUGCAUCUUUUAUUUUCCAAUCUAUAUCAUAAAAAUACCAAAAAUAUUUAUCUUAUCAUAUUAUCUCUAUAAGAUCUCACUUUCGCAAGUUACCGUGAAGAAAUUGACAACCCCUUUAUCGCGUUGGUUGUGAUGUUCUUGUUUGUUUGUGUAGGUGAGUGGGACUUUUGAGGAGCCUCCUACUGGAUUGAUACCUUGGUUCUCAAAAAACUGAGGGAAAUACUUACGCUACUUUGCUGCAUCACCCUUUCCUCUUCAAGGGAAAAACCAACGCAAGCUCAAGACGUAGCAAGAAGGAUUUCUGGCGCCGUUGUCGGGGAGGUCUUCACUCAAGUCAAGACAUACCAAGUACCCAUCGCAAACUCGUCUCCCUCGCAUUACCGUUUGCCUCUCGUUUUCCUCUCCCCACUUCACCCUUGCCGUUUUAUUCUCCCUCUCCUUCCCAAUCUUCUUCUCUCUCUCUCUCUCGCUUGCCUUUUUGUUUGCUUGUGUGUUGGAUUGCUUGUCACGAUGGAGCAAGAUAAUACCAAAUUAUGUGACUUUUCCUAUACCAAUAAUAAUGAUUUCCUUAGCACUCCGAUUGCUCCUCUUAAUGAUGUUGAAUCUUGUGAAAUCAGUGCUGCUUUGCUGAAUAUUGUUAUGAAAGAUCAAUUCUCCGGCCUUCCUAGUGAAGAUGCCGCUAUCCAUCUAAACAAUUUUGUUGAUUUGUGUGAUAUGCAAAAGAAGAAAGAUACGGAUAAUGAUAUUGUUAAAUUGAAGUUAUUUCCGUUUUCACUUAGAGAUCGUGCUAAAACAAUAGGUGUAGAAAUCAAAGCUUUCUUAAGUAUUUCAAAUGAUUCUACACAAUCAUCAUCAAAGACAAAAGGAAUAUCUUUUUGCAAUAAAUUAGUUAGAGGCCUAGAGAUUUUAGAAAAGUCCUUAAUGAACCUCCUAUAAAAACCGGCAUGACCAAGGAAACUUAUUAUACCUUUAACGUCCUUGGGAUAUGGCAUUUUUUCAAUAGCAUCAACCUUAGCUUUAUCAACUUCAAUACCUCUUUUAGAAAUUUUAUGCCCCAAGACAAUGCCUUCAUUAACCACAAAGUUUUCUCCCAAUUCAAGACGAGACUAGUGUCUUUGCAUCUCUGCAAAACUCGAUCAAGGUUGCUCAAGCAAUCAUCAAAAGAGGAUCUAUAAACGGAGAAAUCAUCCAUGAAUACCUCACAAAUCUUUUCACAAAAGUCAGAGAAUAUAGCCAUCAUGCAUCUUUGAAAGGUUGCAGGUGCAUUACAUAAACCAAAAGGCAUACUUCUAUAAGCAAAAGUACCGAAAGGGCAAGCAAACGUAGUCUUUGCUUGAUCGUCCGCUGACACAGGUAUUUGAGAGAAACCAGAAUAACCAUCUAGAAAGUAGAAAUGUGUAUGUUUGGAUAGUCUUUCUAGCAUUUGAUCAAUAAAAGGUAAAGGGUAAUGAUCUUUCUUAGUAGCUUUAUUUAAUUUGCGGAAAUCAAUUACCAUCCUAUAACAUGUAAUAAUUCUUUGCGGGAUCAAUUCAUCUUUAUCAUUAGGAACAAUAGUAAUACCUCCCUUCUUAGGGACACAAUGGACAUGACUUACACACUCACUAUCAGCAACGGGAUAAAUUAUACCUGCCUCAAGGAGGUUUAGUAUUUCUUUUCUUACCACUUCUUUCAUCUUAGGAUUUAACCGUCGUUGAUGAUCUCUAACUGGUUUGGCGUCUUCAUCCAAUUUAAUUUUGUGUUGGCAUAGAGUGGGACUAAUGCCCUUAAGAUCAUCAAGAGUAUAUCCAAUAGCAGCACGAUGCUUCUUCAGAGUUUUCAAUAAUCUUUCCUCUUCCUGCUCUGAAAGGUUAGCACUAAUAAUAACAAGAUGUAUCUUCUUUUCAUCAAGAUAAGCAUAUUUAAGAGUAUCAGGUAAUGGUUUAAGCUCAAACACGGGAUCACCCUUGGGUGGAGGAGGAUCCCUAGGAUUUCAACAGGCAAGUUGUGUUUCAGAAUAGGUCCCUAUUUAAAUAAUAUUUCAUCUAUUUCCCUUCUUUCAUUCAUAAACAUAUCAUUUUCAUGGUCUAGCAAAUAUUGUUCUAAAGGAUCAGUAGGAGGCACGACAAUAGAAGCAAGACCAAUUAUUUCAUCCUUACUAGGAAAUUCUUUAUCAUGGGGUUGUCUACGAAACUUAGCAAAAUUAAACUCAUGUGUCGUAUCCCCCAAACCAAUAGUAACAACAUCCUUUUCGCAAUCUAUCCUAGCAUUAACAGUAUUCAAGAAGGGUCUACCAAAUAUAAUGGGACAAAAGCUAUCUUGUGGGGAACCAAGAACAAGAAAAUCAGCAGGAUAUUUAACUUUCCCACACAAGACUUCGACAUCUCUAACAAUCCCAAUUGGUGAAAUAGUAUCUCUAUUGGCAAGCUUAAUGUAACAUCAAUAUCUUCUAACUUAGCGGGUGCAAUAUCAUGCAUAAUUUCUUUGUAUAAGGAAAUAGGUAUUGCACUAGCACUAGCACCCAUAUCACAUAAGCCAUGAUAACAAUGAUCUCCUAUUUUAACAGAAAUAACAGGCAUGCCUACAAUAGGUCUAUGUAUCUUAGCAUCGGGUUUAGCAAUAUUAGCAGCUUCAUCAUAGAAAUAAAUAACAUGCCCAUCAAUAUUAUCAGCCAAGAGAUCUUUAACCAUAGCAAUACUAGGUUCAACUUUCAUUUGCACAGGAGGUGUAUAUGUUCUAGUAUUACUCUUAUGAGCCACAGUUGGAGCUUUAGCAUGAUCCUUUAUCCUAACAGGGAAAGGUGGUUUCUCAACCUAACUAGUAGGAACAAUAGGAUCAGUGUAAGUGAUAGUCUUUUCUUCAACUGUAACAGGUGCAACUACUUUUACUUUAGUGGGAGGAUUAUAUUUAAACCAAUUCUCCUUAGGGAGAUCAACGUGACUAGCAAAAGAUUCACAUAAAGAAGCUACUAUCUCAGAGUCAAGUCCAUAUUUAGUGCUAAAUCCACGAAAAGCAUCGGUAUCCAUAAAACACUUAACACAAUCAAACUUAGGUGUCGUAACUGACUCCUUACCAUCGUAGGAACCCGAGUCUUCAGAGUUGCAUUUAAUUCUUUCCGAUAAGUCCCUCUUGAAUUCAAUAGUCUUUAGCAUAUAAGAACCAGCACAAGAAGUAUCGAGCAUGGUGCGAUCAUUGAGAGAAAGCUGAGCAUAAUUUUUUUGAAUAAUCAUUUCUCUUGAGAGCUCAUGAUUGGGGCAUGAAUAUAACAUUGACUUAAGCCUCCCCCAAGCUUGAGCGAUGCUUUCUCCUUCGCGAGGCCAAAAAUUAUAUAUAUAAUUACGAUCACGAUGAACAAGAUGCAUAGGAUAGAACUUCUGGUGAAAUUCCAAUUUCAAUCAUUUAUAGUCCCAAGAUACAGUAUCAUCAUGUUGGUGUACUAGAGUAGGGGUACCCUAGUAUCCCGAACUUGUGCAUGGGCAGUUGCAGCGCCCCGCGGCAAGGCUUGCCGGGUGACCGCCAAGGUCCUCCGUGGUUCCUUUGGAGCCAUUCAAGAACAAAGUAUUCAAGCCAAGGAGACAAGGCCCCGGCAAGAGGAGCUUGCCGGGUAGGCCAACCAAGGCAUCUCAAGGAAUUUACCGCGACGCGCCUCGCGUACCGGCAAGGCCCGGUGAGCGACAAGCUUCCGGACGCGGCAAGACAACGACCGCGGCAAGGUGCUUGCCGCGGAAAGCGACCACUCUGUGCCCAUGCUCCAGCACAUCCACCAACGUGUCGUCCUGGGGCCUUUCCAGGCGCGCGUGGUGAGAGGUUGUGCAGCCAGCGGGGCACGGUGGCAUGCGACGCUGACAAGAUAGCCAUCGUGGCAAGCGGUGGCGUCCCUGACGGUCCUUUUCUGCACUGUUUGGACGACACAGACGGGCAUUUAAUGCCUUUGUCCCCUGCCGUCAGGGUUAGGUAGGAUACACUGUACAGGUAGCUGUACCAACCACCCCUCUUUUUCCAUUUUUACCCUUGCCUACGUUGUCACCUGUCGGUGACCCCUUUAGCAUAUAAAAGGAGGCCCAUGCGCAACGUAAAGGGGGUUCGGUUCGAAACCAGAAAACACUCACGCUCGGUCUCGUUAGCAGCUGGUGUGUACUGUAGCACUCAGCGCUCCCGAGCAAGAACUCAAUACAAUCAGAACCGCAGCAGUAGGAGUGUUAUCUCUCCGGAGAGCUCCGAAGCUGGGUAAACUGCUCGUGUGCUUCGCCUCGAUCCGCUCUUCGUGUGAUCUCCGCCCCCCGCCGAACCGAAAGGGGCUCGGUCCGCCGGUCCCAUAGGUGUUCGUGGAUCAGCUACCUGUACAGUGUAUCCUACCUAACCCUGACGGCAGGGGACAAAGGCAUUAAAUGCCCGUCUGUGUCGUCCAAAUAGUGCAGAAAAGGACCGUCAGGGACGCCACCGCUUGCGACGAUGGCUAUCUUGUCAGCGUCGCAUGCCACCGCGCACCGCUGGCUGCACAGCCUCUUGCCACGCACGCCUGGAAAGGCCCCAGGACGACACGUUGGUGGAUGUGCUAGAGCAUGGGCACAGAAUGGUCGCUUGCCGCGGCAAGCACCUUGCCGCGAUUGUUGUCUUGCCGCGUCCGGAAGCUUGUCGCUCGCCGGGCCUUGCCGGGACGCGAGGCGCGUCGCGGCAAAUUCCUUGAGAUGCCUUGGUUGGCCUUCCCGGCAAGCUCCUCUUGCCGGGGCCUUGUCUCCUUGGCUUGAAUACUUUGUUCUUGAAUGGCUCCAAAGGAACCACGGAGGACCUUGGCGGUCACCCGGCAAGCCUUGCCGCGGGGCGCUGCAACUGCCCGUGCACAAGUUCGGGAUACUAGGGUACCCCUACUCUAGUAGACCGACAGGAGCCCCCGGGCCUGGGCCACACACGGUGCCGAGCGCUGUUGGGUCAGGCCCAAAAUAGGGCACGGGCACACGCAGCCUGGGUUACGCCGUAUCUUACUCCGCAUCCACCGCGCCCUCCCCCAACGGCACGCGUCGAAUGCGGCGUCGUGGGAGAGAUCGUGGGUGGAUUCUUUAUUCGGAAGGACGUAACGUUCGCCCCCUCCCUCUUUAUAAGCAGGAGAAACAGGGGCAGUUCGCCCAUCUUGCCGGUUGUUACUCCAAUUUCACAAAUCUCCGCCGCUCCCCCCUUCUUCCCGAAGCUGAAAGAUAGCAGCGCUCCGCCCCCAUUGCCACCAGCACCACCAACGCCGUCGAUCCCCCCCACCACCUCCGCCAUGGCUCCGAAAGCCGACAAGGGGAAGGGCUUGAAAUCGGUCGAGGCGCAGCGGCUCGCGGCGCUGCGAAAGGAGCGGGCCAUCUUCCCCCAUCAGCUUGCCGCGAAGGAGCUGAGGGAGUACUACUACCUUUUCUGGUCGACGGAGAAGCGAGCGCAUCCACGCACGAGGGUACUCCCGGCUGCCGCUUCGGAACUGGAUCCAAAUGGGUACCCCUUCUUCGCGCUGUUCUUCUACUGCGGGCUCUGCCCACCCUUCUCUGAAUUUUUCUGCGACAUCAUGAACACCUACGGGUUCCGCCUCCUUGACUUCACCCCCAACGCCGUUUUGACCAUGGAAGUUUUCGCACAUCUCUGCGAAAACUUUGUCGGAGUCCACCCAAACGUUGAACUUUUUUGCCACUUCUUUAUGCCCCGAGUUGAGAGAGGAGAGCCUCUUGCCGGCGGGAUCGCCUGGAUCUCGAGAGUCGGCAAGAAGGAAGCUUAUCUGGAGGGGGAGCUCCGCAGCAAAUGGGAGGAAUGGAGAGCAGAGUGGUGCUGGAUUGUCGAGGAGAACCCGCAGCCAUUUACUGCCCUGCGCCAAGCCCCAAUAGUGCGUGGCAAUGAUUGGAGCAACGUGGACCUGGAAGACGAGAGGCUGAAGAUUGCCGUCACCCGAUCCUACGCCUCAGGCUUGCCGGGCUCACCGUAGGCGCCGUUGGCGCAGAUUUUCUUCGCCGCUGCAUCGCCCCCUUGCAGGAGAGGAGGAGACCCGCCUGGGAGUUCCAGAACUCGACGGAUAUCAUGAGGCUGCGCCCGGGCCUCAACUUCAACUUCACCGUCCUGGAGCUGGAUGUGAUGCUCCUGGAGCUGUUCAAGCGCGAUCCUCAACAUCCAUUCAUGUUGCCGAGGAGUGUCGUUCCGUUGUGCAACAACUCUUCGCUCGACCGCAUCCGCGCAAUGAUGCCGCUGUGCGACUCGCACGGAAUCGUCCCGACUUGGCAAGAGCCUACAGACAACGUCGUGCGGGAUUUCUUUGACGGCUUGGUAGAAGUGCCAGUCCACGCCGACGAGUAGAAGAGCCUUACUCGCGACACCACCGACGCAGAGAUGCAGCGCAUCGCCACUAGGCUGGAGGAGGCGGCGGCAGCCGCUGCCGUGGGUGAGUUUGGAUUCACCAUGGAGGAGGCAGAGGCAGCGGAGGCGGCAAGCCUUGCCGAGCGCGAGGAGUUUGCCGGCGAGGAAGAGCUUGCCGGGCCCGAAGAUGAGCCGAGUGAGCCCGCCGAGGAGGAGCUUGUCGGGCCCGAACCUUCAGACAGCUUGCCACAAGCGGAGCCCCCAGCUCCACCAAGAAGGCGUCUCCGCAGGGCCGGGGACGUAGCGGGGCGGCAAACGAGUCAACAGCCGCCGUGCCGCGCGACAUGCUCUACCGUGGCAAGCACAGUUGCCGCGGGAGCGCCUCACGCCGCCGCGGCAACUGGAGCGGGGUCUUCCCGGUCCACCGCUGCCGCCCCUGCCAAGCAGGCAAGGGAACCUACUCCUCCGCCUCGUCGCACCGGAGGCGAGCCGGACUUCGAUCUCUCCGCGCUCAGCUCCGACGAGGAAGAAGAAGAGUAAGAUUCUUUGCUGUUCUUGUAACUCUUCAAUUUUGUUGCUUUGUCUUGUAUCUGACUUGCUUUUACUCUGAACCUAUUUCUUUUCAGGACGCUGGCCCAGAGAGCGGCGAAGAGAGCCAAGGCCCCGGUGAUUGUCAUCGAGGAUGAUCCCACCGCGACGGCAGAGGACAUGUCUGAGACCACCUUGUUGGACCCGGCAACCAUUCCCCAAAGCAGCCCCCAGCGCAGCCCUCAGCGUAAGUAUAUGGUUUACUUCCUGCUGUCAGGCGCGCAUAGGUGAUCUUUCCUUGCUGAUAUCUGAUUGCUGGUUCAUGCAGGAGCAGAGCAGCUCACCAGGAGGGCCCAGAGGCCGCUCCCGAAAUGCCAUCUGCUUCUACUACACCGCCAAGGGAGGAUUCCCCAGCAAGGGAGCGUUCUCCGGCAAGGGAGAAUUCUCCGGCAAGGGGUAGUUCUCCGGCAAGAGACAGCACUGGCGAUCCUCCGGUGGUUGAGACCUCGACCGCAGAUCCUAGCACAGGUAAUCCUCUUGCUUGAAAACUUCCCUUGGGUUCUUCUUCUUAUUUUCUUUCUGGAUAUUUUCUUGAGUUUUCUCCUUUUCCCAUUCGUCAGAUCCAUCUGCCAUGGAGCCGAUGGAAACUGAAGGAGAAGCCGGCGCUGAUGAUCCCGCCGACGAAGAGGCCACCAAAGCCGCCGGCACAGAAGCUGGCGAGGGAUCCGGCGAUCGCACUGACGGCCCCGAGGCCGCAGGAGCACCAGGCUCUACGCCGACCGCUGAUCCCUCCGCCGCUGCUGCAGCGCCAGGCUCCGAAGAGCCCCAGCCUGGCGCCUACUUGAAGGCCGGCGACGACAUCUUCAUCAAGCUCCCCUGGGCGUCAAGCUCCAGGGCGCCAGUCGAAGGAGAAAUCUUGGAUGGAGAGGUGCUUGCCUCCGCUGGGCUGACGUUGGUCGACACGCGAAGCAGCAGUAGCGACGAGCCUGAGGAGGAGCGGCUGCUGCGGAAGCUGCUGUCGCUCUACCGCGCCCGACAAGCCAAGCUGGCAUCCCGAGAGGCACUCGUAGCGAAGGCGGGAGUGAAUAUCGAGAAGCGUGCGGAGGAGCUCCGGGGUCUCAGGCAGGAAGCUCUCCGGUCCCUAGCGGAGGAGCAGGAGCAAGUUCUCGAGGAGCGGAAAGCCUUCCUCCUCGAGAAGGCUGAAGUUGAAGAGAAGCAACGGCUUGUCGCCGAAAGUCUAUUUGCGCAGGAAGGAGAGUUGGCGCAGCGCAAGGUCAACCUUGACAGCCACGAGGAGGAGCUUGCUGCGCGCGAGCAAGCAAUUGGUGGGGCUCUCAAGGAAGCAAAGGAUGCUGCCGCAGCUGCCGAGGCCGCCAAGAAGGAGCUGGAGACAAAGGUAGCGCAGCUGGAGGCUGAUCUCAGGGCGAGCGGCGAGGAGCUUGCCGCGCUCAAGCGUGAGCGCGAGAAGGACACUGCCGCUCAUGGUGAGCUGUAGGGCCUUCUUGCUGAGAGGAGCAAGGAGCUCAGCUCCACCAAGGAUUCCAAUGCAGAUCUCGAGUUGAAGCUGGCUACUUUGACUCAGACGCUGGACGACGCCAAGGAGCGGGAGGUGGCCUUGUAGGAGAAGAUCAAGGCCGACGAGGCACUGCUGGCGAGUGCUACUGCCGCCCAGGAUGCUUUUAGGGAGACUGUGGAACACUGGACCGAGGGUCUGGUGAAUGUUGCCGCAGCCAUCGACAGGGAGCUGGCGCAGCUGGGGAUGGAGGAUCUCGGGUACUCCUCCGAUGAGCACCUCCAACCCAGCGCCAAGCUCAGCUUGUUCUUCAAAGGCGUGGCGACGACACUCCAGCGACUCCGGGAGAAGAUCCCAAAGCAGCUGGCCGACGAGUCGCGCAAGAUUUGCGCGGGAGUUCUUCAGAAGGUGCUGGUGAAGGUGGCCUUCCGCAACCCAGGCCUCAACCUCACCAACGUCCUCAGGUACCUGCCUCCGGAUGCUGAUCUGGAAGCGCUCAAGGCCCUUGUCACACCCAUUGUGGACAAGGUGAGCGAGAUCAAGAGGGUUGAGGGCGAUCGCGUAGAUUAGGCCGCCCGUUUUCUCUUUUUCUUGCCACUGUUGGUCAUGUUAUGAGAACAAUCUAUUAGAGCUGCGACAAGUUAUCUUGUAAUAUAACUCUAUUUUGGGUAGAGAUUGCUAUGUUAUUUCCUUUACUUGAUUCCUUCCUUUGUAUGUUUUUGCCCUGCGCUUUUAGGGAACUUGUCGGCGCAGGCACCUGUGCCGCGAGCACUGAGUGCGGGACAUCAGCAGCCUGCUGGCAGUGCCGCUUCCGACAAGUAACCUUGUCGCAACUAGUCGCAGCUCACUUAAGUUGUUGAGCGGACUCGAAACAAAGUAAGGGCGCAACUAGCUACGAGUUGGUUCCUUUGCGCACAGGUUUUCCAUACAAAGUAUGGUCGUUCGAGGAAGAUAACUUAAAAAUUAAAACUAAUUGGUCAAACUUUGGCAACUUAGCUUUUCUGUCGUUCGCUUUCCGGUAAGGCGAAACUUCCUUGAACGAUGCCUGGUCCACACCAUUAUCUUCUCCUUUCCCCCCGGCAAACUUGUGGGCGAGGGAACCUUCUUUUCCUUUUUGAGAAAAAGAGAGAAGAGAAAGUAAAGAUAUGGAGCCUUACGGCUCGUUAUUGCUUACCGGGGGUAGGCUCUGCACAAAGUGUCAGAUAAUGCGUGCAAAGAUAGUAGAAAGCAUGAAAUUGACAAGAUGUGCGGAGCACAUGAGCUUUACUUAUGCACGGGUUCUGCGCCCGGCUUCGUACAAAGGAUUACAUGCAACAUCGGCAAGACUUGUACAAAAGGUGGUUGCCGGAACAGGUUCCAGCAACCGCGCCUUACGGGUAAAACUUACAAAGAUGCUCAAUGUUCCAGGAGUUGCUCACCGGAAUGCCAUCUCCGGUCUCAAGGCGGACAGCGCCAGGCCUAGUGACUCGUUUCACCCGAUAAGGGCCUUCCCACUUUGGCGUCAACUUGUUGGAAUUCUUGGCGGACUGAACGCGCCGAAGAACAAGGUCGCCUUCCUCGAAACUUCUGGCAUUAACUUUGCGGCUAUGGUAGCGGCGCAAAGCUUGCUGGUAUCGAGCAGCUCAUACAGCAGCCUGAAGACGGUCUUCCUCAAGGAGCAGCGCGUCAUCUUGUCGCAGCUGCUCUUGCUCAAGCUCAUCAUAAGCGAGCACUCGAGGCGACCCGUAUACGAGUUCCGUGGGGAGAACUGCCUCCGCUCCAUAGACUAGAGCGAAAGGUGUCUGGCCAGUGGCUCGAUUUGGCGUCGUCCUGAUCGACCAAAGAACCACCGGCAGCUCCUCAAUCCAGUUCUUUCCGCACCUGUGCAGCCUGUCGAAAGUCCUGGUCUUGAGCCCACGCAGCACUUCAGCAUUUGCCCUCUCCGCUUGACCGUUGCUUCUUGGAUGAGCAACAGAAGCGAAGCAGACCUUGGCGCCAAGAUCUUGGACGUACUGCAUGAAGGUGCGGCUCAUGAAUUGUGUGCCGUUCUCGGUGAUGAUCCUGUUAGGGAUCCCGAAACGGCAAACAAUCGACCUGAAGAACUUGACUGCUGACUGUGCUGUCACCUUCCUCACUGGUUCCACUUCCGGCCACUUUGUGAACUUGUCGAUUGCAACGUACAAGUACUCAAAGCCCCCGACAGCUCGAGGAAAUGGGCCGAGGAUGUCGAGCCCCAGACCGAAAAUGGCCAGGAUAAAGGGAUCGUCUGGAGAGCUUGAGCUGGCUGGUGUAUCUGCUUGGAAUGGAACUGGCACGCUUCACACUUGGUUACUUGUGCAGUUGCAUCCUGGAGGGCUGUCGGCCAAAAGAAACCUUGCUGGAACGCUUUGCCGGCAAGUGCUCUUGCGCCAAUGUGGUGACCACAUAUGCCUCCAUGUAUCUUUGCCAACAGCUUUUGUCCGUCUUCCCGGUGAAUACACUUCAAUUUCACACCGUUGAGUCUUCUUCUGUACAGUAUGUUGUCGACAAACUGGUAGAUACUUGACUGCCGGGCUACUCUUUCCGCUUCUUCUUGCUCUUCGGGGAGUUCUCCUGUCUGAAGAAAAAGGACUAUCUGCUGUGCCCAUGCUGGAGCUUGUGGCUCGACAACAAGGACUAAAGGCACAUCUGCUGCUGUGGGAACAUCCGCUUCUAUGGCGAGAACCUGUGGCUCAGCCGGAGCUUGAUGUUCCCCGGCAAGCUUGCCGGAGCAACACUUGUCGGGAGCGUCUGCUUCAACGGAACAAACCCUAGGGCUCGCCGGAGCAGACUGCUCCUCAGCACCCUUGGUGUUGAUUUUGAUGACCUUCUUGGCGGCGGCUUCGAGGAGCUCUGCCGGAAAAUAGUCACCAGAAAUCAACUUCCUCUUGAUGGCGUUACGGAUGGUUGAGUCAGCUUGAGCACAAAGAUCCCUGGUUCCACAGGUAACUUAAGUGCAGCGCACUUCGACAGGCCAUCGGCAAUGUCGUUCUGAGCUCUUGGAACAUGUUCCAUCUGCAGGCCGUCAAAGUGCUCUUCUAGCUUUCUCACUUCAUCAACGUAAGUUUCCAUCAACGGACUCUGACAAUUCUUGUUCACUUGGCGGACGACAAGCUGUGAGUCACCCCUGACAAUGAGCUUCUUGAUCCCAGGUCUGCUGCGAUCCUGAGACCGGCAAGCAAACCUUCAUACUCUGCGGUAUUGUUCGUUGCUUGCUCCUUGGGAAAGUGCAUCUGGACUACAUACUUGAGGUGCUCUCCGAUGGGUGCAACAAGUAGCACGCCCGCACCGGCGCCUUGUAGCGAGAAGGCACCAUCAAAGUACAUCAGCCACUCUUUGCUUGCUUCCUUGACGGGGAUGCUUGUCUCUGGGAUUUCUUCAUCUUGUGUUGGCGUCCACUCUGCUAUGAACUCCGCCAAUGCUCUGCUUUGGAUAGUUGAAGUACUCUCGAACUUGAGGCCAAAGCUUGACAGUUCCAGUGCCCACUCGACAAUCCUGCCUGUUGCUUCUGGAUUUUGCAGUAUCCUCUUCAGCGGAAAAAGAGUGACGACUGUGAUCUCAUGUGCUUGGAAGUAAUGGCGCAGCUUUCUCAGGCCAUGAGAAGGCCGAAAAGCAAUUUCUGCACACCAGAAUACCUUGACCUAGCCCCCUGCAGAAGGGAACUGACAAAGUAAACUGGGAGCUGCACUAUUUUUUUCUGCAUUUCCUUAUGCGCCUGCGCAGAUCCAUCUUUGUCGGGACCAGAGCUUGCCGGUGAAGUCCCCUGCUUGUCGCUGGAUGCAUCUGCCAUGGUUGCUGGCUCAUCAUCCGUCUCCCUCUCCGCUACUAAUGCAGCACUAACCACUUGAUUGGUUGCCGCUAUAUAUAGCAGCAACUUCUCUUGUGGCUUAGGUGCGACAAGUGUUGGAGUAGAGGACAGGUACCUCUUCAAGUCCUGCAGCACAGCCUCCGCCUCAGGAGUCCAUUUCAUUGGACCUGCCUUUUUCAAUAUUUUGAAAAAUGGCAGGGCGCGCUCAGCAGAUCUAGAGAUAAACCUGCUGAGAGCAGCCACGCAACCGGCAAGUCUUCGUACAUCCUUGACGCGCUUUGGUGCUUCAAUCUGCUCAAUGGGCUUGAUCUUGUCGGGAUUGGCUUCAAUUCCCCGCUGAGACACGAAGAACCCGAGAAGCUUGCCGGAGGGGACUCCAAACACACACUUCUCGGGGUUAAGCUUGAGGUUGAUCUUGCACAGGUUUGCAAAGGUUUCGUCUAAAUCUUGAAUCAGAGUUGCCUUGUCCUUGCUCUUGACCACUAUGUCAUCCAUGUAGGCUUCCACAUUUCUGUGCAUUUGCGGCUCAAAAGUGUCAUGGACUACCCUUGCAAAUGUUGAACCAGCAUUCGCCAAGUUCUUCACGAAUGACAGCAAGAAGAUGCUCGCACUCGCAUCAAGCGCCGAAGAGAACGCGACGUCAAUCCGACCAGCGCGCUGGGCCCUCUGUCGACAUGCAUGCGCCAAGGGAACCAGGCGACUUGCCGUACGCGGUAGGUUGCCCUGCGUUCACCCGUGAGCUACGGCAAGUCCAGUGGCCCAGCAAGAAGAAUUUCAAACCGGACGUACCAGAGAAGUAUGACGGCAAGUCGCAUCCGUCGGAGUUCCUCAGCAUCUACACCAUUGCGGUGCAAGCUGCCAAGGGACGGGACGACAAGAUCCUUGCCAACUACUUCCUGCUGGUGCUCAAGCCCAAUGUCAGAUCCUGGCUCAUGCACUUGCCGGACAACUCCAUAUCCUCCUGGGCAGAUCUAUGCCAUCAGUUUGUCGGCGCCUUUACAGGCGGCCACAAGCCUCAUGGCCAAGAGAGUGACCUUCAUCUGCUCGCCCAGAAGGAAGGAGAGCCCCUGCGCAAAUAUAUUCAGAGAUUCAGCCGCGUGCAGCACAACAUCCCAGAUGUCCACCCUGCCGCGGUAAUCAGCGCGUUCCAUCAGAAGGUGCGAAACCGCAGGAUGCGGGAGGAGAUGGCGAUGUGCAAGAUCAGGGACGUCAGUGAGCUAUAUGCCCUGGCCGACAAGUGUGCACGUGCUGAGGAAGGGAGGAAACUCCCCGGAGAGAAUACAGAAGCAGGAGGAUCUGAUAGUGAGGAUGCUGCCACGGCAAGUAAAAACCGGCGGUGGAACAACAGGAAGAAGAAAGGCAAAGAUGUGCUAGUCGUUGAGCAGUCCGGCAACGGAGGCGGCGCCAAGAAAGCCAAAGCUGGUAGCUCCGGCAAGGAGACUGCCGCAGGCACCAACUACCAGGCUGUGGCGGUCGCAGACAAGCAGGACGACAACAACAAACAGUACUGCAAGAUCCACCGCACCAAGGGCCAUGACCUCCAGAGUUGCAAGAAAGUCGAGCAGCUUGUCGAGCAGCAAAAGGCUGAAUACGAGCGACGCGACAAGGAGAAAGCCCAGGAAGGUGCUGGGGGAGCUAGCAAGAAACGCCCCGGCCGAGGAGGACGCCGCGGCAAGGCCAAGCAGCGGCAAGGAGACAGACCUCCUCGCGGCCGCGACAAGGAUGAAGAUGACGACGACGAUGAAGAUAUGGAUGAUGACGAGACCGAUGAGCAGGAGUUCCAGAAAGCUACAGAGGUCCUGUGCGUUGACGGUGGUGCUUCUCUGCAUACUUCGCACCGCCAGCUCAAGCAGUGGGUGUGGGAAGUCAAUGCGGCAGAACCACCCGUCGAGUCACGCAGGCCUCUGAAAUGGUCCAGCACGCCUAUCAUCUUUGAUAUUGGGGAUCACCCUGAUCGCAUAACUGCGGUCGGCUGCUUGCCGAUGUUGGUUUCACCAACUAUCCGCAACCUCAAGGUCACUAAGAUGCUAGUUGAUGGCGGAGUCGGCUUGAACCUGAUCUCCUCCGCGGUACUCCAGAAACUCCAGAUCCCUGACAGUGAGCUCGAAGAGACCGGCACAUUCCAAGGAAUCAAUCCGGGAAGGAGCAAGCCGAAGGGAAAUAUCACGUUGCUGGUGACAUUCGGCAGCGAAUUGAACUUCAGGACUGAGAGGGUCACUUUUGACGUUGCUAACUUUCCAUUGCCUUACAAUGGGAUACUCGGCCGUCCAGCACUCGCCAAAUUCAUGGCAGCCUCUCACUAUGCGUACAACGUGCUGAAGAUGCCAGGCCCGAUAAGUGUCAUCUCUGUCUCUGGCGACAAGAAGGACUCUCUUAUCUGCGCCGACAAGAUCUACCGGGAAGCAGCAGCCGCAACAGAUCAAAAAUCACUUNNNNNNNNNNNNNNNNNNNNNNNNNNNNNNNNNNNNNNNNNNNNNNNNNNNNNNNNNNNNNNNNNNNNNNNNNNNNNNNNNNNNNNNNNNNNNNNNNNNNNNNNNNNNNNNNNNNNNNNNNNNNNNNNNNNNNNNNNNNNNNNNNNNNNNNNNNNNNNNNNNNNNNNNNNNNNNNNNNNNNNNNNNNNNNNNNNNNNNNNNNNNNNNNNNNNNNNNNNNNNNNNNNNNNNNNNNNNNNNNNNNNNNNNNNNNNNNNNNNNNNNNNNNNNNNNGUUCUGAUGCCCACUCCGGCAAGCGCACCUCUUCGGAGUGCUGCGCUACCGUCGAGGACGCACCAUCGAGCUCCACCGGCAAGUGUAAGAAGGCAAUGGCAGCUCCACCAGAGACCAAGAAGGUGUCCGCCAAGGAGGACGGCACUGGUGGUACCUUAACCAUCAGUGCCAUUCUCGACCCUAAAUAGGAAAGCGCGCUCGUUACUUUCCUGGGGGCGAACGUCAACGUGUUUGCGUGGCAACCGUCCGACAUCCCCGGUGUUCCCAGGAAAGUAAUUGAGCACCAUCUUGCCGUCUGUCCUCAUGCGCGGCCCGUCAAGCAGAAAGUCAGAAAGCAGGCAGUGGAGCACCAAGAAUUCAUCGCAGAAGAAAUCAAGAAAUUGGAAGCAGCAGGCCUUGUCAGAGGGGUGCUCCAUCCUACGUGGUUGGCCAAUCCUGUAGUCGUGCGUAAAGCAAACGGGAAAUGGAGGCUUUGUAUCGACUUUACUGAUGUCAAUAAAGCUUGUCCCAAAGACCCAUUUCCCUUGCCGCGCAUCGACCAGAUUGUGAACUCCACGGCCGGAUGUGACUUGCUUUCAUUUCUUGAUGCAUACUCAGGGUACCAUCAGAUCUUCAUGGCAGAAGAGGAUGAGGAGAAGACCACAUUCAUCACCCCAUGUGGCACAUACUGUUUCGUAUGGAUGCCCUUCGGUUUGAAGAAUGCUGGUUCAACAUUUGCAAGGGUAGUCCAUGACGCUUUUGAGCCGCAAAUGCACAGAAAUGUGGAAGCCUACAUGGAUGACAUAGUGGUCAAGAGCAAGGACAAGGCAACUCUGAUUCAAGAUUUAGACGAAACCUUUGCAAACCUGCGCAAGAUCAACCUCAAGCUUAACCCCGAGAAGUGUGUGUUUGGAGUCCCCUCCGGCAAGCUUCUCGGGUUCUUCGUGUCUCAGUGGGGAAUUGAAGCCAACCCCGACAAGAUCAAGGCCAUUGAGCAGAUUGAAGCACCAAAGCGCGUCAAGGAUGUACGAAGACUUGCCGGUUGCGUGGCUGCUCUCAGCAGGUUUAUCUCUAGAUCUGCUGAGCGCGCCCUGCCAUUUUUCAAAAUAUUGAAAAAGGCAGGUCCAAUGAAAUGGACUCCUGAGGCGGAGGCUGUGCUGCAGGACUUGAAGAGGUACCUAUCCUCUACUCCAACACUUGUCGCACCUAAGCCACAAGAGAAGUUGCUGCUAUAUAUAGCGGCAACCAAUCAAGUGGUUAGUGCUGCGUUAGUGGUGGAGAGGGAGGUGGAUGAUGAGCCAGCAACCACGGCAGAUGCAUCCAGCGACAAGUAGGGGACUUCACCGGCAAGCUCUAGUCCCGACAAAGAUGGAUCUGCGUAGGCGCAUAAGGAAAUGCAGAAAAAAAUAGUGCAGCGCCCAGUUUACUUUGUCAGUUCCCUUCUGCAGGGGGCUAGGUCAAGGUAUUCUAGUGUGCAGAAAUUGCUUUUUGGCCUUCUCAUGGCCUCGAGAAAGCUGCGCCAUUACUUCCAAGCACAUGAGAUCACAGUCGUCACUCGUUUUCCGCUGAAGAGGAUACUGCAAAAUCCAGAAGCAACAGGCAGGAUUGUCGAGUGGGCACUGGAACUGUCAAGCUUUGGCCUCAAGUUCGAGAGUACUUCAACUAUCCAAAGCAGAGCAUUUGCGGAGUUCAUAGCAGAGUGGACGCCAACACAAGAUGAAGAAAUCCCAGAGACGAGCAUCCCCAUCAAGGAAGCAAGCAAAGAGUGGCUGAUGUACUUUGAUGGUGCCUUCUCGCUGCAAGGCGCUGGUGCGGGCGUGCUACUUGUUGCACCCACCGGAGAGCACCUCAAGUACAUAGUCCAGAUGCACUUUCCCAAGGAGCAAGCAACGAACAAUACCGCAGAGUAUGAAGGUUUGCUUGCCGGUCUCAGGAUCGCAGCAGACCUUGGGAUCAAGAAGCUCAUUGUCAGGGGUGACUCACAGCUUGUCGUCCGCCAAGUGAACAAGAAUUAUCAGAGUCCGUUGAUGGAAACUUACGUUGAUGAAGUGAGAAAGCUAGAAGAGCACUUUGACGGCCUGCAGAUGGAACAUGUUCCAAGAGCUCAGAACGACAUUGCCGAUGGCCUGUCGAAGUGCGCUGCACUUAAGUUACCUGUGGAACCAGGGAUCUUUGUGCUCAAGCUGACUCAACCAUCCGUAACGCCAUCAACUGGACAGAGCAAGAAGAGGAAGUUGAUUUCUGGUGACUAUUUUCUGGCAGAGCUCCUCGAAGCCGCCGCCAAGAAGGUCAUCAAAAUCAACACCAAGGGUGCUGAGGAGCAGUCUGCUCCGGCGAGCCCUAGGGUUUGUUCCGUUGAAGCAGACGCUCCCGACAAGUGUUGCUCCGGCAAGCUUGCCGGGGAACAUCAAGCUCCGGCUGAGCCACAGGUUCUCGCCAUAGAAGCGGAUGUUCCCACAGCAGCAGAUGUGCCUUUAGUCCUUGUUGUCGAGCCACAAGCUCCAGCAUGGGCACAGCAGAUAGUCCUUUUUCUUCAGACAGGAGAACUCCCCGAAGAGCAAGAAGAAGCGGAAAGAGUAGCCCGGCAGUCAAGUAUCUACCAGUUUGUCGACAACAUACUGUACAGAAGAAGACUCAACGGUGUGAAAUUGAAGUGUAUUCACCGGGAAGACGGACAAAAGCUGUUGGCAAAGAUACAUGGAGGCAUAUGUGGUCACCACAUUGGCGCAAGAGCACUUGCCGGCAAAGCGUUCCGGCAAGGUUUCUUUUGGCCGACAGCCCUCCAGGAUGCAACUGCACAAGUAACCAAGUGUGAAGCGUGCCAGUUCCAUUCCAAGAAGAUACACCAGCCAGCUCAAGCUCUCCAGACGAUCCCUUUAUCCUGGCCAUUUUCUGUCUGGGGGCUCGAUAUCCUCGGUCCCUUUCCCCGAGCUGUCGGGGGCUUUGAGUACUUGUACGUUGCAAUCGACAAGUUCACAAAGUGGCCGGAAGUGGAACCAGUGAGGAAGAUGACAGCACAGUCAGCUGUCAAGUUCUUCAGGUCGAUUGUUUGCCGUUUCGGGAUCCCUAACAGGAUCAUCACCGAGAACGGCACACAAUUCACGAGCCGCACCUUCAUGCAGUACGUCCAAGAUCUUGGCGCCAAGGUCUGCUUCGCUUCUGUUGCUCAUCCGAGAAGCAAGGGUCAAGCGGAGAGGGCAAAUACUGAAGUGCUGCAUGGGCUCAAGACCAGGACUUUCGACAGGCUGCACAGGUGCGGAAAGAACUGGAUUGAGGAGCUGCCGGUGGUUCUUUGGUCGAUCAGGACGACGCCAAAUCGAGCCACUGGCCAGACACCUUUCGCUCUAGUCUAUGGAGCAGAGGCAGUUCUCCCCACGGAACUCGUAUACGGGUCGCCUCGAGUGCUCGCUUAUGAUGAGCUUGAGCAAGAGCAGCUGCGACAAGAUGACGCGCUGCUCCUUGAGGAAGACCGUCUUCAGGCUGCUGUAUGAGCUGCUCGAUACCAGCAAGCUUUGUGCCGCUACCAUAGCCGCAAAGUUAAUGCCAGAAGUUUCGAGGAAGGCGACCUUGUUCUUCAGCGCGUUCAGUCCGCCAAGAAUUCCAACAAGUUGACGCCGAAGUGGGAAGGCCCUUAUCGGGUGAAACGAGUCAGUAGGCCUGGCGCUGUCCGCCUUGAGACCGAAGAUGGCAUUCCGGUGAGCAACUCCUGGAACAUUGAGCAUCUUCGUAAGUUUUACCUGUAAGGCGCGGUUGCCGGAACCUUUUCCGGCAACCACCUUUUGUACAAGUCUUGCCGAUGUUGCAUGUAAUCCUUUGUACAAAGCUAGACGCAGAAUCCGUGCAUAAGUAAAGCUCAUGUGCUCCGCACAUCUUGUCAAUUUCAUGCUUUCUACUAUCUUUGCAUGCAUUAUCUGACACUUUGUGCAGCGCCUACCCCCGGUAAGCAAUAACGAGCCGUAAGGCUCCAUAUCUUUAUUUUCUCUUCUCUCUUUUUCUCAUAAAGGAAAAUAAGGUUCCCUCGCCCACAAGUUUGCCGGGGGGAAAGGAGAAGAUAAUGGUGUGGACCAGGCAUCGUUCAAGGAAGUUUCGCCUUACCAGAAAGCAAAUGACAGAAAAGCUAAGUUGCCAAAGUUUGAGCAAUUAGUUUUAAUUUUUAAGUUAUCUUCCUCGAACGACCGUACUUUGUAUGGAAAACCUGUGCGCAGAGGAACCAACUCGUAGCUAGUUGCGCCCUUACUUUGUUUCGAGUCCGCUCAAAAACUUAAGUGAGCUGCGACUAGUUGCGACAAGGUUACUUGUCGGAUGCGGCACCGCCAGCAGGCUGCUGAUGUCCCACACUCAGCGCUCGCGGCACAGGUGCCUGCGCCGACAAGUUCCCUAAAAGCGCAGGGCAAAAACAUACAAAGGAAGGAAUCAAGUAAAGGAAAUAACAUAGCAAUCUCUACCCAAAAUAGAGUUAUAUUACAAGAUAACUUGUCGCAGCUCUAAUAGAUUGUUCUCAUAACAUGACCAACAGCGGCAAGAAAAAGAGAAAACGGGCGGCCUAAUCUUCGCGAUCGCCCUCAACCCUCUUGAUCUCGCUCACCUUGUCCACAAUGGGUGCGACAAGGGCCUUGAGCGCUUCCAGAUCAGCAUCCGGAGGCAGGGACCUGAGGACGUUGGUGAGGUUGAGGCCUGGGUUGCGGAAGGCCACCUUCACCAGCACCUUCUGAAGAACUCCCGCGCAGAUCUUGCGUGACUCGUCGGCCAGCUGCUUUGGGAUCUUCUCCCGGAGUCGCUGGAGUGCCGUCGCCACGCCUUUGAAGAACAAGCUGAGCUUGGCGCUGGGUUGGAGGUGCUCAUCGGAGGAGUACCCGAGAUCCUCCAUCCCCAGCUGCGCCAGCUCCCUGUCGAUGGCUGCGGCAACAUUCACCAGACCCUCGGUCCAGUGUUCCACAGUCUCCCUAAAAGCAUCCUGGGCGGCAGUAGCACUCACCAGCAGCGCCUCGUCGGCCUUGAUCUUCUCCUACAAGGCCACCUCCCACUCCCUGGCGCCGUCCAGCGUCUGAGUCAAAGUAGCCAGCUUCAACUCGAGAUCUGCAUUGGAAUCCUUGGCGGCGCUGAGCUCCUUGCUCCUCUCAGCGAGAAGGCCCUGUAGCUUACCACGAGCGGCAGCGUCCUUCUCGCGCUCACGCUUGAGCGCGGCAAGCUCCUCGCCGCUCGCCCUGAGAUCAGCCUCCAGCUGUGCUACCUUUGUCUCCAGCUCCUUCUUGGCGGCCGCGGUAGCUGCGGCAGCAUCCUUUGCGUCCUUGAGAGCCCCGCCAAUUGCUUGCUCACGCGCAGCAAGCUCCUCCUCGUGGCUGUCAAGGUUGACCUUGCGCUGCGCCAACUCUCCUUCCUGCGCAAAUAAAUUUUCAGCGACAAGCCGUUGCUUCUCUUCAACUUCAGCCUUCUCGAGGAGGAAGGCUUUCCGCUCCUCGAGAAGUUGCUCCUGCUCCUCCGCCAGGGACCGGAGAGCUUCCUGCCUGAGACCCCGGAGCUCCUUCGCGCGCUUCUCGAUAUCCACUCCCGCCUUCGCGACGAGUGCCUCUCGGGAUGCCAGCUUGGCUUGUCGGGCGCGGUAGAGCGACAACAACUUCCGCAGCAGCCGCUCCUCCUCAGGCUCGUUGCUGCUGCUGCUUGGCGCGUUGACCAACAUCAGCCCAGCGGAGGCAAGCACCUCUCCAUCCAAGGUUUCUCCUUCGACCGGCGCCCUGGAGCUUGACGCCCAGGGGAGCUUGAUGAAGAUGCCGUAGCCGGCCUUCAAGUAGGCGCCGGGCUAGGGCUCUUCGGAGCCUGGCGCUGCUGCAGCGACGGAGGGAUCGGCGGUCGGCGUAGCGCCUGGCGCUCCUGCGGCCUCGCGGCCGUCAGUGCGAUUGCCGGAUCCCUCGCCAGCUUCUGCGCCGGCAGCUUUGGUGGCCUCUUCAUCGGCGGGAUCAUCAGCGCCGGCUUCUCCUUUAGUUUCCAUCGGCUCCGUGGCAGAUGGAUCUGACGAAUGGGAAAAGGAGAAAACUCAAGCAAAUAUCCAGAAAGAAAAUAAGAAGAAGAACCCAAGGGAAGUUUUCAAGCAAGAGGAUUACCUGUGCUAGGAUCUGCGGUCGAGGUCUCAACCACCGGAGGAUCGCCAGUGUUGUCUCUUGCCGGAGAACUACCCCUUGCCGGAGAAUUCUCCCUUGCCGGAGAACGCUCCCUUGCCGGGGAAUCCUCCCUCGGCGGUGUAGUAGAAGCAGAUGGCAUUUCGGGAGCCGCCUCCGGGCCCUCCUGGUGAGGCUGCUCUGCUCCUGCACGAACCAGCAAUCAGAUAUCAGCAAGGAAAGAUCACCUAUGCGCGCCUGACAGCAGGAAGUAAACCAUAUACUUACGCUGAGGGCUGCUCUUGGGGCUGCUUUGGGGAAUGGUUGCCAGGUCCGACAAGGUGGUCCCGGACAUGUCCUCUGCCCUCGCGGUGGGAUCAUCCUCGAUGACAAUCACCGGGGCCUUGGCUCUCUUCGCCGCUCUCUGGGCCAGCGUCCUGAAAAGGAAUAGGUUCAGAGUAAAAGCAAGUCAGAUACAAGACAAAGCAACAAAAUAGAGUUACAAGAACAACAAAGAAUCUUACUCUUCUUCUUCCUCGUCGGAGCUGAGCGCGCAGAUAUCGAAGUCCGGCUCGCUUCCGGUGCGACGAGGCGGAGGAGUAGGUUCCCUUGCCCGCUUGGCUGGGGCGGCAGCGGUGGACCGGGAAGACCCCGCUCCAGUUGCCGCGGCGGUGUGAGGUGCUCCCGCGGCAACUGUGCUUGCCGCGGUAGAGCGUGUCGCGCGGCACGGCGGCUGUUGACUCAUUUGCCGCCCCGCUACGUACCCGAGCCUGCGGAGACGCCUUCUUGGUGGAGCUGGGGGCUCCGCUUGUGGCAAGCUGUCUGAAGGUUCGGGCCUGACAAGCUCCCCCUCGGGACGACGUCGUCUGUAGGCUCUUGGCAAGUCGGGACGAUUCCGUGCGAGUCGCACAGUGGCAUCAUUGCGCGGAUGCGGUCGAGCGAAGAGUUGUUGCACAACGGAACGACACUCCUCGGCAACAUGAAUGGAUGUUGAGGAUCGCGCUUGAACAGCUCCAGGAGCAUCGCAUCCAGCUCCAGGACGGUGAAGUUGAAGUUGAGGCCCGGGUGCAGCCUCAUGAUAUCCGCCGAGUUCUGGAACUCCCAGGCGGGUCUCCUCCUCUCCUGCAAGGGGGCGAUGCGGCGGCGAAGAAAAUCUGCGCCAACGGCGCCUACGGUGAGCCCGGCAAGCCUGAGGCGUAGGAUUCGGGUGACGGCAAUCUUCAGCCUGUCGUCUUCCGGGGCCACGUUGCUCCAAUCAUUGCCACACACUAUUGGGGCUUGGCGCAGGGCAGUAAAUGGCUGCGGGUUCUCCUCGACAAUCCAGCACCACUCUGCUCUCCAUUCCUCCCAUUUGCUACGGAGCUCCCCCUCCAGAUAAGCUUCCUUCUUGCUGACUCUCGAGAUCCAGGCGAUCCCGCCGGCAAGAGGCUCUCCUCUCUCGACUCGGGGCAUAAAGAAGUGGCGAAAAAGGGCAACGUUUGGGUGGACUCCGACAAAGUUUUCGCAGAGAUGUGCGAAAACUGCCAUGGUCAGAACGGUGUUGGGGGUGAAAUCAAGGAGGCGGAACCCGUAGGUGUUCAUGAUGUCGCAAAAAAAUUCAGAGAAGGGUGGGCAGAGCCCGCAGUAGAAGAACAACGCGAAGAAGGGGUACCCGUUUGGAGCCAGUUCUGAAGUGGCAGCCGGGAGUACCCUCGUGCGCGGAUGCGCUCGCGUCUCCGUCGACCAGAAAAGGUAGUAGUACUCCCUCAGCUCCUUCGCGGCAAGCUGAGGGGGGAAGAUGGCCCGCUCCUUUCGCAGCGCCGCGAGCCGCUGCGCCUCGACCGAUUUCACGCCCUUCCCCUUGUCGGCUUUCGGAGCCAUGGCGGAGGUGGUGGGGGGAUCGACGGCGUUGGUGGUGCUGGUGGCAAUGGGGGCGGAGCGCUGCUCUCUUUCAGCUUCGGGAAGAAGGGGGGAGCGGCGGAGAUUUGUGAAAUUGGAGUAACAACCGGCGAGAUGGGCGAACUGCCCCUGUUUCUUCUGCUUAUAAAGAGGGAGGGGGCGGACGUUACGUCCAUCAGAAUAAAGAAUCCACCCACGAUCUGUCCCACGACGCCGCAUUCGACGCGUGCCGUUGGGGGAGGGCGCGGUGGAUACGGAGUAAGAUACGGCGUAACCCAGGCUGCGUGUGCCCGUGCCCUGUUUUGGGCCUGGCCCAACAGCGCUCGGCACCGUGUGUGGCCCAGGCCCGGGGGCUCCUGUCGGUGUACUAGAGUAGGGGUACCCUAGUAUCCCGAACUUGUGCACGGGCAGUUGCAGCGCCCCGUGGCAAGGCUUGCCGGGUGACCACCAAGGUCCUCCGUGGUUCCUUUGGAGCCAUUCAAGAACAAAGUAUUCAAGCCAAGGAGACAAGGCCCCGGCAAGAGGAGCUUGCCGGGAAGGCCAACCAAGGCAUCUCAAGGAAUUUGCCGCGACGCGCCUCGCGUCCCGGCAAGGCCCGGUGAGCGACAAGCUUCCGGACGCGGCAAGACAACGACCGCGGCAAGGUGCUUGCCGCGGCAAGCGACCACUCUGUGCCCAUGCUCCAGCACAUCCACCAACGUGCCGUCCUGGGGCCUUUCCAGGCGCGCGUGGCGAGAGGCUGUGCAGCCAGCGGUGCGCGGUGGCAUGCGACCCUGACAAGAUAGCCAUCGUGGCAAGCGGUGGCGUCCCUGACGGUCCUUUUCUGCACUGUUUGGACGACACAGACGGGCAUUUAAUGCCUUUGUCCCAUGCCGUCAGGGUUAGGUAGGAUACACAGUACAGGUAGCUGUACCAACCACCCCUCUUUUUCCAUUUUUACACUUGCCUACGUUGCCACCUGUCGGUGACCCCUUUAGCAUAUAAAAGGAGGCCCAUGCGCAACAUAAAGGGGGUUUGGUUCGAAACCAGAAAACACUCACGCUCGGUCUUGUUAGCAGCUGGUGUGUACUGUAGCACUAAGCGCUCCCGAGCAAGAACUCAAUACAAUCAGACAAGCAGCAGUAGGAGUGUUAUCUCUCUGGAGAGCUCCGAAGCUGGGUAAACUGCUCGUGUGCUUCGCCUUGAUCCGCUCUUCGUGCGAUCUCCGCCCCCCGCCGAACCGAAAGGGGCUCGGUCCGCCGGUCCCAUAGGGGUUCGUGGAUCAGUUUCCCCGACACAUCACAUAGCCUAUACCAUGUCAAUGUGUAUCCCUUCAAAGAUAAAGGGAAGACCUUCCUCUUACCAACAUCAUCGGGAAUACCUGCAAGCAUAAAUAAUCCACAAACUUCAUCCACAUAGAUAAGGUGUAAAUCGGGAUGCAAUGUUGCAUCUCCUGCAAAAGUAUUAGCUAGCAGUUUCUCUAUCAUACCCGAAGGAAUCUCAAAGUAAACAUUUUUAGUAGGUUCAGUAGGUUGAUGAGAAACUCUUUGCUCUACUGGUCAUGGCGAAGAUGCCUCGAACAAGCACCUCAAAGGAUUAGUUUCCAUAGUAACAAGUGACAGUAAAUUCCAGCACACUAUAUAAAUGUUUCCUUACAAUGUUCCACUCACCAAAGGCGCUUCACUCCCCGGCAAUGGCGCCAGAAAAGAGUCUUGAUGACCCACAAGUAUAGGGGAUCUAUCGUAGUCCUUUCGAUAAGUAAGAGUGUCGAACCCAAUGAGGAGCAGAAGGAAAUGACAAGCGGUUUUCAGUAAGGUAUUCUCUGCAAGCACUGAAAUUGUAGGUAACAGAUAGUUUUGUGAUAAGAUAAUUUGUAACGGGUAACAAGCAAUGAAAGUAAAUAAGGUGCAGCAAGGUGGCCCAAUCCUUUUUGUAGCAAAGGACAUGCCUGGACAAGUUCUAUAAUGAGAAAAGCGCUCCCGAGGACAUAUGGGAAUUAUCGUCAAGAUAGUUUUCAUCACGCUCAUAUGAUUCGCGUUCGUUACUUUGAUAAUUUGAUAUGUGGGUGGACCGGUGCUUGGGUGCUGUCCUUUCUUGGACAAGCAUCCCACUUAUGAUUAACCCCUAUUGCAAGCAUCUGCAACUACAAAAUAAGUAUUAAGGUAAACCUAACCAUAGCAUUAAACAUAUGGAUCCAAAUCAGCCCCUUACGAAGCAACGCAUAAACUAGGGUUUAAGCUUCUAUCACUCUAGCAACCCAUCAUCUACUUAUUACUUCCCAAUGCCUUCCUCUAGGCCCAAAUAAUGGUGAAGUGUCAUGUAGUCGACGUUCACAUAACACCAGCAGAGGAGAGACAACAUACAUCUCAUCAAAAUAUCGAACGAAUACCAAAUUCACAUGACUACUAAUAGCAAGACUUCACCCAUGUCCUCAGGAACAAAAGUAAAUACUCACAAAGCAUAUUCAUGUUCAUAAUCAGAGGGGUAUUAAUAUGCAUUAAGGAUCUGAACAUAUGAUCUUCCACCAGAUAAACCAACUAGCAUCAACUACAAGGAGUAAUCAACACUACUAGCAACCCACAGGUACCAAUCUGAGGUUUUGGUACAAAGAUUGGAUUCAUGAGAUGAACUAGGGUUUGAGAGGAGAUGGUGUUGGUGAAGAUGUUGAUGGAGGUUGACCCCCUCCCAAUGAGAGGAUCGUUGGUGAUGACGAUGGUGAUGAUUUCCCCCCUCCCUAAGGGAAGUUUCCCCGGCAGAACAGCUCCGCCGGAGCCCUAGAAGGUUCCGCCAAGGUUCCGCCUCAUGGCGGCGGAGUUUUGUCCCGUAAGCUUGCCUAUGAUUUUUUCCAGGGUAAAAGACUUCAUAUAGAAGAAGAUGGGAACUGGAGGGCCACCAGGGGGCCCACGAGGCAGGGGCGCGCCCUGUAGGGGUGGGCUCUCCCCCCACCCUCGUGGCCAGGGUGUGAUCCCCCUUUGGUACUUCUUUCACUCAAUAAUUCUUAUUAAUUCCAAAAAUGACUUUCCUAGAGUUUCAGGACUUUUGGAGCUGUGCAGAAUAGGUUUCCAAUAUUUGCUCCUUUUUCCAUCCCAGAAUCCAUCUGCCGACAUUCCCCCUCUUCAUGUUAAACCUUGUAAAAUAAGAGAGAAUAACCAUAAGUAUUGUGACAUAAUGUGUAAUAACAGCCCAUAAUGCAAUAAAUAUCGAUAUAAAAGCAUGAUGCAAAAUGGACGUAUCACACACCGAAAGAUCUACUAGUAAAAAAGUGCAUGCUAUAGAAGAAAUUAAUGUUUUGAGUGGAAAGAUGGAUGAUCUUAUGAAAUUGUUUGCUACUAAGAGUGCCCCUAUUGAUCCUAAUGAUAUGCCUUUGUCUACCUUGAUUGAGAAUACUGAUGAACCUAUGGAUGUGAAUUUUGAAUUUUGGUAACAAUGCUUAUAGAUGAAACUUUAAUCCUAGACCGUUUCCUAGUAAUUCCUCUAAUAAUUAUGGUCAUUCCUACAACAAUUCUUAUGGAAAUUUUAGUAAGAUUCCCUCUGAUCUUGAGAAUAGUGUUAAAUAAUUUAUGAUCUCUCAAAAGAAUUUUAAUGCUUUGCUUGAAGAAAAAUUGCUUAAACUUGAUGAAUUGGCUAGGAACGUUGAUAGACUUCCUCUUGAUGUUGAUUCUUUGAAACUUAGAUCUAUUUCACCUAAGCAUGAUAUCUAUGAGUUUCUCAAAUCCAUGAGAAUUUCCAUUGAUGAGUGCAAAGAAAGAACCGCUAGGUUGCAUGCUAAGAAAGAUUGCUUUGUAAAAGCGUGUUCUUCUAGUUUCCAUGAAAAUAAUGAUGAAGAUCUAAAAGUUAUUGAUGUGUCCCCUAUUAAAUCUUUGUUUUGCAAUAUGAAUCUUGAUAAUGAUGGGACUGGAGAUGAGUCAACUUUAGUUAAAAGGCGUCCUAAUAAUUCGGAGUUUUUAGAUCUUGAUGCUAAAUUUGGUAAAAGUGGGAUUGGAGAGGUCAAGACUUUAAAUAGCAUUGAACCCACUAUCUUGGAUUUCAAGGAAUUUAAUUAUGAUAAUUGUUCUUUAAUAGAUUGUAUUUCCUUGUUGCAAUCCGUGUUGAAUUCUCCCCAGGCUUAUAGUCAAAAUAAAGCUUUUACCAAACAUAUUGUUGAUGCCUUGAUGCAAUCUUACGAAGAAAAACUUAAUUUGGAAGUUUCUAUAACUAGAAAACUUUAUGAUGAGUGGGAACCUACUAUAAAGAUUAAUAUUAGAGAUCAUGAGUGCUAUGCUUUGUGUGAUUUGGGUGCGAGUGUUUCCACGAUUUCAAAAACUUUAUGUGAUGUGCUAGGUUUCCAUGAUUUUUAUCAUUGCUCUUUAAACUUGCACCUUGCGGUUUCCACCAUUAAUAAACCUAUGGGAAGGAUAAAUGAUGUUCUUAUUGUUGAAAAUAGGUAUUAUGUGCCCGUAGAUUUUAUCGUUCUUGAUAUAGAUUGCAAUCUUUCAUGUCCUAUUAUUCUUGGUAGACCUUUCCUUAGAACGAUUGGUGCAAUUAUUGAUAUGAAGGAUGGGAAUAUUAGAUUCCAAUUUCCAUUAAGGAAAGGCAUGGAACACUUUCCAAGAAAGAAACUUAAAUUACCUUAUGAAUCUAUCCUGCGAGCUACUUAUGAAUUGAAUGCCAAAGAUGGCACUACUUAGAUCUAUCCUCGCUUUUAUGCCUAGCUAGGGGCGUUAAACGAUAGCGCUAGUUGGGAGGCAACCCAAUUUUAUUUUUGUUUCUUACUUUUUUGCUUAUGUUUAGUAAUAAAUAUUUUAUAUAGCUUCUUUUUAGAUGUGUUUUCAUGUUUUAAUUAGUGUUUGUGCCUAGUAGAACCUAUAGGAUAACCUGUGGUGAUAGUUAAUUUGAUUCUGCUGAAAAACAGAAACUUUGCGCGCAUGAAAAUAAUUUUAGUAAUUCACAGAAACGUUCUUUUGUGUUGAUUCUUUUUGCUGUAGAUAAUAGAAAAAUUGCCCAGGACUUCCUAUUUUGGUAGAGUUUUAGAGUUCCAUAAGUAUUCGGAGGUUACAGAUUGCUAUAGGCUGUUCUGUUUUUGACAGAUUCUGUUUUUCGUGUGUUGUUUGCUUAUUUUGAUGCAUCUAUGGCUAGUAUCAGGGUGUAUGAACCAUAGAUAAGUUGGAAUACAAUAGGUUUAACACCAAUAUAAAUAAAUAAUGAGUUCAUUACAGUACCUUAUGUGGUGGUUUUUCUUUCUUGCACUAACAGAGCUUAUGAGAUUUGCUGUUGAGUUUUGUGUUGUGAAGUUUUCAAGUUUUGGGUAAAGAUUUGAUGGACUAUGGAAUAAGGAGUGGCAAGAGCCUAAGCUUGGGUAUGCCCAUGGCACCACAAGAUAUUCAAGGAUAACCAAAAGCCUAAGCUUGGGGAUUCCUCGGAAGGCAUCCCCUCUUUCGUCUUCGUCUAUCGGUAACUUUACUUGUAGCUAUAUUUUUAUUCGCCACAUGAUAUGUGUUUUGCUUGGAGCGUCUUGUAUGAUAUUAGUCUUUGCUUUUUAGAUUUCCACAAUCAACCUUUCUGUACACACCUUUUGGGAUAAGCCCACAUGAUUUAUAAUUUAUUAGAAUAAUGUAUGUGCUUCAAUUAUAUCUUUGAGCUAGAAAGUUUUGCUCUAGUGCUUCACUUAUAUCUUUUAGAGCACGGCGGUGGCUUUAUUUUGUAGAAAUUGUUGAUCUCUCAUGCUUCACUUAUAUUAUUUUGAGAUUCUUCUAGAACAGCAUGGUAUUUGCUAUGGUUAUAAAAUUGGUCCUAGAAUGAUGGGCGUCCAAGUUGGGUAUAAUAAAAACUAUCAUAGGAAGUGAAUUGGAUGCUAUGAUCAAUUUGAUACUUGAUAACUGUUUUGAGAUAUGGAGGUGGUGAUAUUAGAGUCAUGCUAGUUGGGUAAUUGUGAAUUUAAAGAAUGCUUGUGUUGAAGUUGGCAAGUCCCAUAGCAUGCAUGUAUGGUAACCGUUGUGUAACAAAUUUGAAACAUGAGGUGUUCUUAGAUUGUCAACCUUAUGAGUGGCGGUCGGGGACGAGUGAUGGUCUUUUCCUACCAAUCUAUCCCCCUAGGAUCAUACACGUAGUGCUUGGUUUUUGAUGACUUGUAGAUUUUUGCAAUAAGUAUAUGAGUUCUUUAUGACUAAUGUUGAGUCCAUGGAUUGUACGCACUUUUACCUUUCCAUCAUUGCUAGCCUCUUCGGUGCAGUGCAUUGACCUUUCUCACCUUGAGAGUUGGUGCAAAAUUUGCCGGUGCAUCCAAACUCCGUGAUAUGAUACGCUCUAUCACACAUAAACCUCCUUAUAUCUUCCUCAAAACAUCCACCAUACCUACCUAUUAUGACAUUUCCAUAGCCAUUCCGAGAUAUAUUGCCAUGCAACUUUCCACCAUUCCGUUCAUCAUGACACGCAUUAUCAUUGUCAUAUUGCCUUGCAUGAUCAUGUAGUUGACAUCAUAUUGUGGCAAAGCACCUUCAUAAUUGUUCAUACAUGUCACUCUUGAUUCAUUGCCCACCCCGGUACACCACCGGACGCAUUCAUAUAGAGUCAUAUCUUAUUCUAGUUUUGAGUUGUAAUUCAUGGGUUGUAAAUAAAUAGAAGUGUGAUGAUCAUCAUUAUUAGAGCAUUGUACCUUGAAAAAAGAAGAAGAGAAAGGCCAAAUAAAAAAGGAAAGGCCAAAUAAAAAAAGAUAAAGGCCAAAUAAAAAAAGAAAGGCCCAAAAAAAGGGGGGGCAAUGCUACUAUCUUUUUCCACACUUGUGCUUCAAAGUAGCACCAUGUUCUUCAUAUAGAGAGUCUCAUUUGUUGUCACUUUCAUAUACUAGUGGGAAUUUUUCAUUAUAGAACUUGGCUUGUAUAUUCCAACGAUGGGCUUCCUCAAAAUGCCCUAGGUCUUCGUGAGCAAGCAACUUGGAUGCACACCCACUAGUUUCUUUUGUUGAGCUUUCAUACAUCUAUAGCUCUAGUGCAUUCGUUGCAUGGCAAUCCCUACUCAUCAUGUUGACAUCAAUUUAUGGGCAUCUCCAUAGCCCGUUGAUUAGCCUUGUUAACAUGAUACUUUCUUCCUUUUUGUCUUCUCCACACAACCUCCAUCAUCAUAUUCUAUUCCACCCAUAGUGCUAUAUCCAUGGCUCACGCUCAUGUAUUGCGUGAAAGUUGAAAAACAAUUGAUAUUACUAAAGUAUGAAACAAUUGCUUGGCUUGUUAUCGGGGGUGUGCAAGAUGAGAGCAUUUUUGUGUGACGAAAAUGGAGCAUGACCAAACUAUAUGAUUUUGUAGGGAUGAACUUUCUUCAGCCAUGUUAUUUUGAGAAGACAUGAUUGCUUUAAUUAGUAUGCUUGAAGUAUUACUAUUUCUUAUGUCAAUAUGAACUUUUAUUUUUAACCAUUUGGAUCUGAACAUUCAUGCCACAAUAAAGAAAAUUACAUUGAGAAUUAUGCUAGGUAGCUUUCCACAUCAAAAAUUCUAAUUUUAUCAUUUACCUACUCGAGGACGAGCAUGAAUUAAGCUUGGGGAUGCUUGAUACGUCUCCAACGUAUAUAUAAUUUUUUUAUUGUUCCAUGGUAUUAUAUUAUCCGUUUUGGAUGUUUAUGGGCUUUCUUCUACACUUUUAUAUCAUUUUUGGGACUAGCGUACUAAUCGGAGGCCCAGCCCGAAUUGCUGUUUUUUUUUGCCUAUUUCAGUGUUUCAAAGAAAAGGAAUAUCAAACGGAGUCCAAACGGAAUGAAACCUUCGGGAGCGAUCUUUUUGGAACAAACGCAAUCCACAGGACUUGGAGUGGACGUCAAGCAACAAGAAAGGAGGCCACGAGGGGGCCUGGCGCGCCCCUGGGGGUGGGAGCGCCCCCACCCUCGUGGGCCGCUCGGGCAUCCAACGACCUACUUCUUCCUCCUAUAUAUACCCGCGUACCCUGAAAACAUCCCGGAGCACCACAAAAAACUAUUUCCACCGCCACAACCUUCUGUAUCCGCGAUAUCCCAUCUUGGAUUCUUCACCGACGCUCCGCCGGAGGGGGAAUCGACCAUGGAGGGCCUCUACAUCAUCUCCAAGGCCUCUCCGAUGAGUUGUGAGUAGUUUACCACAGACCUUCGGGUCCAUAGUUAUUAGCUAGAUGGCUUCUUCUCUCUCUCUUUGAAUCUCAAUACAAAGUUCUCCUUGAUCUUCUUGGAGAUCUAUUCGAUGUAACUCUUUUUGCGGUGUGUUUGUCGAGAUUCGAUGAAUUGUGGGUUUAUGAUCAAGUUUAUCUAUGAGAAGUAUUUGAAUAUCCUCUGAAUUCUUUUAUGUGUGAUUAAGUUAUGUUUGCAAGUCUCUUCGAAUUAUCGGUUUGGUUUGGCCUACUAGAUUGAUCUUUCUUGCAAUGGGAGAAGUGCUUAGCUUUGGGUUCAAUCUUGCGGUGUCCUUUCCCAGUGACAGCAGGGGCAACAAGGCACUUAUUGUAUUGUUGCCAUCAAGGAUAAAAAGAUGGGGUUUAUAUCAUAUUGCAUGAUUUUAUCCCUCUACAUCAUGUCAUCUUUCUUAAUGCAUUACUCUAUUCUUCAUGAACUUAAUAUUCUAGAUGCAGGCAGGAGUAGGUCGAUGUGUGGAGUAAUAGUAGUAGAUGCAGAAUCAUUUCGAUCUACUUGUCACGGACAUGAUGCCUAUAUACAUGAUCAUGCCUAGAUAAUCUCAUAACUAUGCGAUUUUCUAUCAAUUGCUCGACGGUAAUUUGUUCACCCACCGUAAUACUUAUGCUAUCUUGAGAGAAGCCACUAGUGAAACCUAUGGCCCCCGGGUCUAUCUUUUAUCAUAUAAGUUUUCCAUCUACUUUUAUUUGCAUCUUUUAUUUUCCAAUUUGUAUCAUAAAAAUACUAAAUUUUUUUAUCUUAUCAUAUUAUCUCUAUCAGAUCUCACUUUCCCAAGUUACCGUGAAGGGAUUGGCAACCCCUUUAUCGCAUUGGUUGCGAGGUUCUUGUUUAUUUGUGUAGGUGCGUGGGACUUUUGAGGAGCCUCCUACUGGAUUGAUACCUUGGUUCUCAAAAAACUAAGGGAAAUACUUAUGCUACUUUGCUGCAUCACCCUUUCCUCUUCAAGGGAAAAACCAACGCAAGCUCAAGACGUAGCAGCAGCCCCCGAUGCCCUGAUCCUGUGCAAGGCGUGGGGCCGACUCCAGUUGCCGCAACGCCGUGAGGGUGCCCCAAAACCGGGCUCCCUGCUCCAUCUCCCCAUGACUUAGCCCAUGAGACGGGGGAUGCACCGGUGAUCCUUUCUCUUGCCAUUGCCGGUAGGGGGUGCCUCCUGGGCGGCCUUCGUCUUCAAGUUGUGGGGCUACGCCAGCCAGCCCCCAGCCGGCGGCUGGCGGGGCAUCCAGCGCCUCCCGGGCAGCCUCCGGUGCUGACGAAGAUCUUGGCGACGAGCUUUCGCUUGCUUGUGGGCGCAGUGUCGUGCGCUUCAGACUUAUUGGUGAAGCGAUGCGUGCGAUGAUCCAUCUUGGCGGGGAGCUCGCCAAUGUUGACACCAGGCUCGAGGCAGAAAACUGCCGCCUGGAGCAUGAGUGGCAGCGGCUGAAGGUUGCCAUUAAUCUUGGGAAACUUCAGCAUGACGAAGCCGAAGCGCGCGCAGCAGCCUCGCUCGCAAUUUCUUGCGAAGCUUGCGCCCGCGCCAUGGAAGAGGCCGAGGCAGCCAACCACCGCUGCGAGGUGGCCGAGGAGCGGGAGCAAGAUCUUCUGUCUUCAAAUGCGGCUCUUGAGCGCAAAGUCGAGGAGCGUCGCUCCCUUCUGGCCUCCUCACCAGGCGAGGCGGUCCUUGCCGAGACAGAGCUCCUGAGGUGCCAUGGAGAUUUGAUGUUGGAGACCAUGGAUCACAACAUUGCAUUGGAGAGGCUGGAGGUGAGGGAGCAGCAGGCUGCCACGGCUAAGGACGCCAUCGCCACCCGGGAAGCUCGGGUCCAGCUGGAGGUGGAGGAGAGGGUGGUGAAGGCGUGUGCUGAGUUGGCCGAGAGGCACCGCCUGGAUCUGGAGCUGCUCGAGGCCAAGCUUGAGGGCCGGACCUCUGCCCUGAAGGCUAAACUGGAGUCUAUGGAGCAGCGUGAGAGCGCUACCCGAGGAGCCCUGACUUCCUUCGAAUCUUCCCUGAAUUCUGCCCGUGCUGAGAUAUCCUCUCUCCGGAAGCAAGUCGAAGACACCGCCUCCCUCCUGAACAAGGCCACGAGUGAAAAGUCGCGGCUUGACAUUGGAAUGUGAGCACGGCUCCAUGCUCCAAGGCCCGCGCGUCAGAGCCAACAACGCCUUGGGUGCUAUCUGUGACGAGAGUGCUCCUCACCCGCACGGGAGCGACUAUGCCAGCCAUGUCAACUUCUUCACUGAUAUCAUGACCCGCCUGGAAGAUCAGGCCGUGAAGGCUCGACAGCUUGUUGAGGAGAGGAGCCGGGGCCUCCUCGGGCGUGCACUCUCGCACAUCUUCAGCAGCCUCCUGAACCUCAAUUCCCACUUUGAUUUCAGCAUCGUGCUAGCCCCCAUGCUUGCGGCUACCCAAGACAAGCUUGCCAAGUGGGUGGAUGGCCAUGUGGACGCCUUAGUGAAGGAGUUGACUCCUGAGGAUAACACGGCUGUGCUCGUGGCCGAAGAAGCUGGCGCGGGUGGCGAUGGCGAGGAGGAUGGCAGCUACGGCGCAAGCAGCGCGGAUGGGAGCAACGAAGAAGGCGCAUCCAGCUAGGCCCGUGUUUCUUUUGCUUUGACCUGUAUGACAAAAACUUGAACGCAUUCUUGUGAGAGAAUUUUGAAAAGGGGGUGCCCCUUAUGAUGUGUGAGAUUGUGAAAUGCUUUUGAAGUAGCACCCAGAGCAGGGCCUCGCAGGGCUGCGGGUCACCGAGCAAGGUAGUUGUUUAUGACUUAUCUUUGAUUUCGUGGGUCUCGAGUGAGGCCUGGUGUCGUGGCUGCACUCCUUCUCCUGAGGCGAGCCUACCGCGAGCUCGCGAGGUUCUAUGCCUCCUGAGGGGCCUACUGGUCUGCCGUAGAGUGCCUCGUGAGGAGCCAACUGCCGGACUGUGGUGAGGUGGGUGCGCGGGGUGGCCGCACCCUUGAGCCCCCCCCUCGGGGGGGGGGAUCGGCACCAGCGCAUGCACCAUACCCAGCCCCCACUCGUUAGGCGCUUGAGGGCAGAGCAACAGUCACGAGCUCUAGAAAGAACACAAUAAGUGAAGGCAAGAGAGCGACACGAAACGAGAAAACUCCCCCAUUUUUAUAAAUGCACGAAAAACAAACUGCUUCAAGAAGUCGACGAGCAAGUACAAAAAGGAGGGAAAAAGCAAAUGGCCACGUCCGGCUUCUAGCUAGUCUUCAGUCUUCAAGUCUUCUCACUACCGCGGAGCUAAGUGCUUCCACUGGCUGGGCAUAGUCAUUGGGGACAGUGUCGACGGCCAGCGUGGAGCAUGGUGCUUCCACUAGGACGUGGGCGGGAGCCCCCAUGAGGCCCCAGGGCGGCACUCAGGAGACUCCGGGGCGUGUAUAAACCCACUCAUUAUUAAGUGAGAGUGUCACGAGCGGAGACCUUCACAGGCCAGAGCCUUGCUUCAUGUCGCCCGACGAGGACCCCACCGUGCGCCACCCCCGACCACCGUUGGGGAGACCAGAAACCAGGACAAGACCAAGGGGCCAGGGGGACGCUGGCGGCGUCCUCGGCGACCAUAGGCCCCCCACCGGGAAGAAGGCCUCGCUGGCGCCUUCCCCGGUGGGGAACCUACCUCCAGGCAGGGCCCUGCUCCGUGUGGUGCAAGGAGGGCCCUGCCACCUAGCUUCCCCCGCGCUGCUCCCAACGUCCUUCAUGCUCCUGCGGGGGAUCCGUCGUCCUGAGAAUCCUGGCGGCAGCUGCACCCUGCUUCACUUGCAAUCCAUGGUCAGCGUAAGGAUGCUCCUGCGGCGUUAGUUGUACCCAGAGGCUGUCGCCGUUGGAGAUGUCGGCGGGGCUUGGUGGCGGCUCGAAGAAGAGCUCGGCCUCGUGUAUAUGCAGCGCUCAGCCUGGCGUGAGGGAUCGGCUGGGGCCCUCUCCCAGCGUGUGCCUUGGAUCCAUCGUGACGGGGACAUAGGCUUCCGGGAUGUCCGCACCAGAAGCGCCGCCCGGUUGCCUCACGUUCCCGCCUUCUUCAGUCGCCCUCUGGUCCUAUUGGCUAGGGACCAAUACUCCAGCGCGGCCCUUGGUGAUGUCGCCUGGAGCAGCCCCGCGCUUAGGUGGCACAUUCGGAGGGGUGCGGGCUGCUCCGCGGGGCUGGUCGGCGAUGAGAGGCUCUCCAGGGGCCCUGGGAGCACUACAAAAAAAAGACACAUCCAUGACAUUUUGGGCCGAACGAAAUUUUUUCUGUCAUACAUAUGACACUUCUAUGACGUUGUGACAAAACCCGGUAUCAUCAUAGAUGUGGUGGGCUCCUACUUCUAUGACAAAAAAUUAUGACAGAAAAUGGGCUUUUCGUCCUGGGCGGGACGGAGACGCAACUGCAUGACAUUCUUUGGGCCGUCCAUGACAGAAAAAACCAUGGUAGAAGCGUGGGGAGGAAAAUUUCGGGGAGUUGCCGGUUACGGUGGGAGGUCGGGGGCCGACCGAUGCGCGUUUCUCUCGUACACGUACGUGCGUGUGUGCGAGGCGUUGGUUCUAACUGAAGCCGAGCGAGGCGUUGGGCUCUAACUGAACCCGAGCAAGGCAUUGGGCUCUAACUGAACCCGAGCGAUUGCACUGCAGGCUACGCGUUACUGAACCCGAGAAAUCGAUCGAUGGCUGUUAAAUGAACCCGAUCGAGCGAUUCCUUCGCUACUGCUACUAACUGAAGCCGAUCGAUUGGAUGAACAGUGAGUGUUGUGGGGGGGGGUUGGAUGAACAGUGAGCGGUGGCGUUGCCUCUGGAUGAACAGGACCCCGUGGUGUGGAGGGCUGGAUGAAUAGUAGACGGUGGAGGGGUGGAUGAACAGGACCCCGUGGUGUGGAGGGCUGGAUGAACAAUAAACGGUGGAGGGGUGCCCGUGGAGGGGUGGAUGAACAGGACCCUAUGGUGUGGAGGGCUAGAUGAACAAUAGACGGUGGAGGGGUGCCCGUGGAGGGGUUGUUGAACAGUAGCCGGUGGAGUAGCGCACAGUGGAGGCUGGAUGAACAGGAGCCCGUGGAGGUUGGAGGAGGUCGACGGUAGCCCGUGCAGGUUGGAGGAGGUCGAUGGUGGAGAUGAACAGUAUCCUGUGGAGUCCCAUUUUGUGGUACGCCACACCCCUCCCGAUGAACAGGACCCCCGUUUCGACCAUAGGAGGUCCAUUUCAUCAGUUUUGCGGUACGCCACACCCCUCCCGAUCAACAGGACCCCGUUUCGACCGUAGGAGGUCUGUUUCGUCUGUUUUGCGGUACGCCACACCCCUCCCAAUCAACAGGACCCCCGUUUCGACCGUAGGAGGUCGGUUUCCUCCGUUUUGCGGUAUGCCACACCCCUCCUGAUCAACAGGACCCCCGUUUCGACCGUAGGAGGUCCGUUUCCUCCGUUUUGCGGUACACCAGGCCUCAUUUCCAUCGCCUGUUCCGUCCAAGCCCUCCUGAUGAACACGGCCACACAUUCCGUUCCGACCCAGCCGCUUGGCUCCCACGCGUUUCGUUGCCUCCCGAUGAACACGACGUAGUCCAUUGCCUCCCCAUGAACACGACACAUUCCGUUGCCUCCCCAUGAACACGAGCCCUCGCCGUACGUAUGCGCGAGUAGGCGUUCUAGACCCCACCCGUAUGUACACAUACGUGGCCGUAUUUUCUUUCUUGCACCCUGAUCGUUGUACGUACGUGUACAUGCUACGUGCGCGCCUCUACUAUGACACGUGCGCGCCUCUACUACGACACAUGCGUGCCUCUACUACGACACGUGCGCACCUCUACAUCGACCAGUAUGUACGUACACGUUCAUGGCCAUGAUGACAACACUACGUACGCUUCGACCAGGUGGGUCCCGACUGUCAGGCACUUCCUUGCCUAUGAAGAUGUAGCUGGUGAGUCCGAGUAGUUAGGGGGGUUGUCGGUGUCAAAACCGGCGGAUCUCGGGUAGGGGGUCCCGAACUGUGUGUCUAGGCAGAUGGUAACAGGAGACGAGGGACACGAUGUUUUUCCCAGGUUCGGGCCCUCUUGAUGGAGGUAAAACCCUACGUCCUGCUUGAUUAAUAUUGAUGAUGUGUGUUACAAGAGUAGAUCUACCACGAGAUCAAGGAGGAUAAACCCUAGAAGCUAGCCUAUGGUAUGAUUGUUUUUUGUCCUACGGACUAAAGCCAUCCGGUUUAUAUAGACACCGGAGAGGGCUAGGGUUACACAGAGUCGGUUACAAUGGUAGGAGAUCUACAUAUCCGUAUCGCCAAGCUUGACUUCCACGCCAAGGAAAGUCCCAUCCGGACACGGGACGAAGUCUUCAAUCUUGUAUCUUCAUAGUCUUGGAGUCCGGCCGAUGAUGAUAGUCCGGCUAUCCGUACACCCCCUAAUCUAGGACUCCCUCAGUAGCCCCUGAACCAGGCUUCAAUGAUGACGAGUCCGGCGCGCAUGUUGUCUUCGGAAUUGCAAGGUGGGUUCUCCCUCCGAAUAAUUCAUAGAAGAUUGUGAACACCAGGAUAGUGUCCGGCUCUGCAAAAUAAUUUCCACAUACCACCGUAGAGAGAAUAAUAUUUACGCAAGUUCAAUCUGCUGACGUAUUUGAUGGCGUGACGUCACACCACUACCAAGCCUUUACUUAAAUCGUUUUUAUUGUACCACCUCAGCGCGUUUAGCGAAGCGCGGUUUCCUUGGCACGUCUUGUCGAAGCAGAGAUCGUGUUCCCCUUAUUUCAGGAUUCCCAUCAAUACGGACGUGGGUAACCCAACCGCGCCAUUGAUUGCGGCGCUUGGGGGAUAAGCGAGUUUUAUCAGGCCGGUAGGGACGCAUGUUUCCGUCCGCCCAUAUAAGGGGAUAAAGAUCCAACCCUUUUACCUGCACCUUCUUCCUCCUUGGCUUAUCCAUCUCUGCGAACCCGAGCUGCAGCGCCCAAGCCCGCACAUCUCACCUCAACCUUCUCCAACUAUGUCCGGAGUAGGAGGCAAGUGGAUGGCCUCCUCCGUCACGGAGGGGCAGAUCCAUAAGCUGCGCAACGCCGGAUACUUCUCCAGCAACAUCGCGCACUGGCUCCCCAACGAGGGAGAGCUCAUCCCCACCCCCAAGCCCCAUGAGAGGGCAUUAUUCCUUCCCCAUUUCCUCCGUGGACUGGGCUUCGCACUCCAUCCCUUUGUCCAGGGGCUCAUGUUCUACUACAGCCUGGAUUUCCAUGAUCUGGCCCCGAAUUUCAUCCUCAAUAUCUCGGCGUUUAUCAUCAUGUGCGAGGCCUUCCUCUGCAUCCAGCCCCACUUCGGCUUGUGGCUCAAGACCUUCAGUGUCAAGCCGAAGGUUGUGAAGGGUAGCCAAGCGGAGUGCGGAGGCGCCAUGGUGGCAGGAUGUCCCACGUUACGUGGCUGGAGGGCACUUUUGUGGAAACCAUCAAGUGGUGGCAAUCGGGGUGGUUCUACAUCACCGAGCCGCGUGACCCUGAUUGGGCAGCGGCCCCCGAAUUCAGAUCUGGCAUCCCUACACGGCUCACCUCCUGGAAAGAGAGUAGCCGGAUCUGGGGCGAUUCGGAGGAGCUGACCGGACUCCAAGCCUGUAUCCAAAAGCUGGUGGACAAGAAGCUCAAGCUUGUUAACGUAGUCCAGGUCAUGCUCAUCCGCCAGAUUCUCCCGUGCCAACGACGGGGCUUCAACCUGUGGGAGUUCGAUCCGGCGCAGCACCAGACUUUGAAUGGGCUCUUCGACACUACGUACGAAGAUGUCUGGAAGGUGCUGUUCAAGGGCGCCGAGGC